Molecule: long non-coding RNA, 143025 nt
Filed under: Setaria italica (foxtail millet)
Lineage: Eukaryota; Viridiplantae; Streptophyta; Magnoliopsida; Poales; Poaceae
Description: long non-coding RNA (SITA_LNC006222)
Source: RNAcentral
CAGGACUGAUGUCAGAUCAUGUUGUGGAAGAGGAAGAAGAAGAUAAAGGUUCAUCCGGUGAUGUGCCAGUAGCACCUGAGAUGCCUGAUAUACAUGACACAAUUGCAUCUUACUACUUCCACAGCAACCUGACCAAGCUGCACCAAACGGAGGUCCCUCAGCGAGUUGAUGAACGUUUGUUCAUCGUGCUCAGCCUGGGUUCAAUAUGUCAGAAUGGCCAGUGCUGCAGCAGUUCUACAGGGCGAUUUCAACCCGAUGCAUCUACAUGGUCACAACAUGAUCCUUCUUGCACAGGGGUUUGGUAACUUCGACGCCGCGAAAGAUGUUGCAAAAUACAACUUGGUGAAUCCACCGGUGAAGAACACCAUUCUUGUCCCAAAUCAUGGGUGGGCUGCCAUCCGAUUUGUUGCGAACAAUCCAGGUGUGUGUAAGAUUUAUUUGCGUUAGUUGGGUUUCAAAGUCGACGCUGUCAGAUCUAAUGCUUGUCUUAUAUGAUUUAAGGGGUAUGGUUCAUGCAUUGCCACUAUGAAUUCCAUUUGACUAUGGACAUGGCGGAAGUAUUCAUUGUAGAGGAUGGUCCGACAGUGGACACAUCUCUCCCUCCACCACCUGCUCAUUUUCCAACAUAUUGUGGUCAUGACGACAAUCUCCUUCUGGGUGAACUGUGCCUCCAAACUAAGAAGAUGCAUGAAAUCCCACGCAUAAAUGUAGUCUGAAUAAAUAUUACUGCAACCGCCGGUUAUCAAAUUAAAUAAUGGAUGGCCCACGCUAGUACCUAGAUUCAAGUAUGCAUAUUAAAACUACUGUAUCGUCUUCACUCUAUCAAUAAUGUGAGGCCAAUUAUAGGACAAUCCCCUUUUAUAUCCAUAUAUGCAUAUCUUUCUUUUUUCUAUAUUCGAUUUUACAUCCUAGUGAAUUGCAAAUUUUAUCUAUAAUUGCAUAUACUCUCUCCGUCCCAAAUUGCAGAUCGUUUUGGCAUUUCUAGCUAGAUUCAUAUCUUUUAUUAAUAGCUUUUAUAAAUACAUGUACUUACAAAUUAGACCCGUGUUCAAGUGGAAGUGACUAGAGGAAUAAUGAAUCAUGUCGAAAGUCCCCCAAACACGAUUAAAAAUGUUCAGUCACCCUUCUGACGUACAGUCCAAAGUUCAAAGCACGGGAGCUGCAAACAAUUAUUUCACCACCGUUUUACACUUAAGCCAUAUAUAUCCUUCGUACAAAGACCAGGCGGAUUACACAUAAAGAGGUCCAACUAGCUAGCUUCUCAACAUGCGACUAGUAAACCUGAAGCAAGAUCGAAAUAAUAAUCAAGAAGCCAAGCAGUUUCAAUGUCUAUUUUGUUUUGUCUACAUACAUGUAGAACGUGGUAAACUAAAACUUAUACUAUAAUCUUUUAAGAAAACACCGUUGACCUAAAAAGGAAGACAUCUAACAUUAUUUUAUAAAAAAUAAACUAGUGAACAAAGAUAUUGCAAUAAGAAAGACAUUACCAAUACAUUAGCUGGUGUCUUCUACGUAUUAAGUAAUAGAGUGCAACUAGUCGUACGUGAAGUAUUUCCCCGAUACAAAGUAUGUUUAAAAAUGAAAAUUCCGGCCUACUAUCUUUCUCUCUUCCCAUAGUUAUCUCUAUGAAUCCUAAAAUUGUAACCUUUUAAUUAGAAUACUAACUUCAUGUAUCAGUAUUGAAAUUGAUGGCACAUAUAAUAGAUAUUGAUAAGUUUUUAUUAACAAUAUAAGAUAUCGAUCACGUUUGGAUGCCCCCCCCCCCAUCCACCCACUUAGAAUUUCUAGUUCCACUACUGGUUGGGUGAUACCAUAUGAUCUUUCCUAAAAGGUUCUAGAAAGGUAGUUUACCUAGGGUAUAUGCACUUCUUAGUGGAAGGACACCAGUACCGAAGUAAGCAGUUCCAUAAUUUUUUUGGCAGCAUGCCCGAAAUUGAUUCUGCUCCAAAAUUUUUUCACCAGGGCAGUGUCUUCAAGCAAGGCACUAAAAAAAUAGGUUUAAGUACUAUUUCAUGGAAACACUUGCGGAGCAGCAGCAGUCUGGGCUAGUAUUGAUGAACCAGCCACAUCAGUGGGCCACCUAGUGAGCUAGUAUUGGAAAUGGGUUACAAUGUCAAUUCUGUUAUUUGGAUGUAGAUGAAAUUGCUACAUGGAAUCAAAUAAGAUGGCAAAUACCAAUUCAUAUUUGGAUGUUUAAAUGGUGAAAUUGAGAGAGAGAGAGAGAGAAGGGGAGCGACGGGCGGCGCAGGCACCCGCCACAGGCCACCUCUGAGCCGCACUACGCGUGGACGGCCAUUGGCUGCAACUCUGCCUAGCUUGCGUUGGUUGCAAGGAAGAUCGGAGGGGGCGCUGCCGCGUGGAAGAUGGGAGAGGGCGCCGGGCACGAUGAAGAAGGAAGGGGGCACCGCGCAUGCGGAAGAUGAGGAGGGGGACCAGGGCAGAGGGGCGGACACUUGCGCUUUUCACACUUGCGCGGACAACAUUCUAGCAGUUUGAAGAUAGAAAGUGCAUUAUGGAUGGCAACGGGUACAAAUUACCCACGUGCCCACAGGUAAAAACCCAUUAGGGUGAGGAUACGAGUACCAUUUAGUAACUACGGGCAUGGGUGCGGGUUUGAUUUUGUGCCCAUGGGUAAAAAAUUUGCGGGUAUGAAAAUACCUUACCCAUGCCCGCAAACCCGCGAACCCGCUUGAGAUGUGGGCCUGCUACACAUGUAUAUAAUAUAAGGAUUUUCUAGGGUUCCCUUAUCCCUUGUCCUCCCCCAGGCCCCAGAGGCCAAGUCCCCUACAGAGCCGCAAUCCUAGCCUCCCACAGACCGCAUGCCCGCAGCGGUGCAGCCUCCCUCCAUGGCUCCGUCCCUCGACUUCCGCCGCCAGUUCCCUCCGGCCACCGUCUGCCCUCCAGCCGCCAGCCAUCCCUUCCCUUCCCGCCGGCAGCCACCUCCCCGCCACCAUUUUUCCAUCCGCCCUCGCUGCCCCCACCACCACCGCUCUGCUCGGUGCCCGCCCACCUCCCCGCCGCCACUCGGUCAGCCGCCUGCCGCCCACUCUGGCAGCCGGCACCCGCCGCCAGCCAUCCCUUCCCACCUAGCGCCUAUAUUCCCAUCGCCGCCCCAGCCCCUAGGUCAGUCACUUUCCUCUCACUUUUUCUUCAUUCUCUAUUCAGUAGAAUGAUAGAUCCAGGAACUACACUUCUGCCUUGCCAUUGAUUAAUGAUAGAUCUAGUGAAAUGUCAUGUCUAGUUGGUGAUUUUGUGAUUGUCUAGAAUGAAUGAACUAUUUUGUGACUGAAUGAAUGAUUUGGUGAUUUUGUUGAGUGGUUGUAGUGUUCAGUAGAUAAAAUGAAUGAAUGAUUUUGUGUGAAGCAUGCAACUAUAGCUAGUUCAUAACAACUCCAUGGAUUAAAUGUAUGCAUCUACCAAUUUGAAUUGCUAUUUUCCCUAUAUACGGUCUUUAUCACAUGGUUUUGUUUGUAUUGUAUCACCAAGCAUAACAUGGUUUUGUUUGUAUUGUACCAUGACUAUAGAUUGGAUUGGUGAUGGAGACUCCUCACAGCAGUGUCCAACCUGUGCAGGUCUCGCAAGCUUCCAUCCCUAUUGACGAAGCUCUCCCUGCUAAUCAGGUUAUCAACAUUAAUGAUGGAGUUGAUGAUCACGAGGACGAAGACGGGACUGCUGGUAUAACUUAUUUACAGGGUUCACAUAGGAAGCUCACAUCUACUGUAUGGAAGGAAUUCACACGAGUUUGUGAUGAUGAUGGAGUUUGGAAGGCAAAGUGUGACCACUGUGGCAAGAAGCUUUCAGCUACAACAAGAAAUGGUACUAACCAUCUACGUACUCAUCUGAAAAUCUAUAUCUAUAUGAAGAAGCCUGGUGAGAAAGUGCAAGCAAAUUUGAGGUUUGCAUCCACUAACAAAGGUGCAGUAGCUGUUGAAAAUUAUAUGUUUGAUCAAGAUGUAGCUAGGAAAGCACUUUACACAAUGAUUACACUGCAUGAGUACCCUCUGUCCAUUGUGGAUCAUCUUGGUUUUCAUCAAUUUGUUAGUGCUUUGCAACCCUUGUUCAAGAUAAGAACUAGAAGCACUAUUAGGAAGGGCAUCCUGAAUUGCUAUGAUGUGGAGAAAAGAAAAGCUAGGAUGUUUCUUCAGAAGCUCAGUUGUCAUGUAGCCAUUACAACUGACCUAUGGACUGCUGAUAAUCAGAAAAGAGGACAUAUGGCUGUCACUGGACAUUUUAUUGAUGACUCAUGGACCCUUAGAAGCUGCAUUUUGAGGUGAUUUCUUAUUGUCCUACUUCAAUUACUUGCUGUCCUAUUUGUGUUUUACUUCAAUUACUUGCAAGUCUUAUUUGUGUUUUACUUCAAUUACUUGCUAUCCAACUUAUUUUAAUUGUCUUUUCUAGGUUUGUAUAUGUGCCAUGCCCCAUAUUGCUGAAGUUAUUUGUGAUGCACUACUUAAAUGCCUCCAGAGUUGGGAUCUUGAUUGCAGGGUGUCCACUAUGACACUUGACAAUUGCAGUGUCAAUGACAGCAUGAUUGGUCUAAUGGAAUCAAGGCUUGGGGAGGAUAAUAUGUUGCUGGGUGGAAAGCACUUGCAUACCCGUUGCUAUGCACAAAUAUUGAACCUUAUUGUACAAGAUGGAUUGGAAGUGAUCAAGAAAUCUAUUGCAAGAAUCAGAGAGAGCAUUGCUUAUUGGAUUGCUACACCAAAGAGGUAUGAAAAAUUUGUGAAAGUAGCUCAACAAUAGAAGGUUGAAUUGAAGAAAAAACUGUGUCUUGAUUGCAAAACUAGGUGGAAUUCAACUUUUGUCAUGCUUAGCACUGCUAUACCUUAUAGGAAGGUUUUUGAUCAUUUGGACACUCUUGACCAACACUUUGUUUUCCAACCAAAUUAUGAUUGGAAAUUUGCAGCUAUUGUUUGUGAGAAAUUAGAAUUGUUCUAUCAGCUCACUGAAUUGUUUUCUGGAACAAAGUAUGUGACAGCUAAUAUCUUCUUUCCUAAAGUAUGUGAGAUCAAACUUAAAAUUAACUCUUGGAAAGAAGAUGAAAAUGAGAUCAUUAGAAACAUGUCCACUGCAAUGAUAGAGAAGUAUGAUAAGUAUUGGUAUGAUAUCCAAGGUCUCAUGGCUAUUGCUGUUAUUCUUGAUCCACGCCUUAAGAUGAUCAUGCUGCAAGCUUGCUAUAUGGCUCUUUUGGGUCAAGAAGAAGUUGAUAGAUUUUUUCAAAAGAGCUAUGAAUUGCUAACUCAAUUGAUGGAUGAGUACCAAGUGCAAGUUGAUCAAGAGGUUGUGGGUGCAUCAUCUUAUGGGGCUUCAAACUCUACUGUUAGUGCUGCUGCUGUUCUGUCCAUAUUCAAAACACUUGCUACCACUAAGAAGACCUCAAGUCUUGUUAAAGCAAAGAGUGAGUUAGAUCGGUACUUGGAUGAAGAUCCUCUUCCUCAUGAUGAGAAUGAGUAUUUUGAUGUCUUGGGUUGGUGGAAGGUGGCUGGAACUCACUUCCCUACUUUGAGGUUGAUUGCUCAUGAUAUUUUGGCAAUUCCCAUAACCACAGUAGUUUCUGAAUCCGCUUUUAGCACUAGUGGAGGGUUCUAAGUGAGCAUCACAGCCGUCUUACUCCACAAAUGUUGGAAGCUUUGAUGUGCAACCAAAGUUGGUUUGGUCACAAUCUUAAAGGUAAAGAAUUAUGCUUUUGAUUCCUACAGCUUGUCAAUGUUGUCAUCUCAUUCUAAUGAUCUUAUGGCAGUAGCUUACUAAUGUCGUCUUCUUAUUCCAAUGUGCAUUUGUAGGUCAAGAUGAUGGAAAGAUUGACACCUUUUGGUUCUACCUUGAAGACAUUGAAGAAGAAAUGAAGGAAGAACCUUGCAUCUCUAUCGUCGACUCUGAUUAAGCUUGAUGUUCAUUUGUAUCUGUUAUGUGAACAAUAUUUGUGUGAUUUGAGCCAUGUGUCUGUUGUUCUAGACUUGUCACUUAUGCUUGUUGAGCCAUAUUUAUUUGGCUUGUACUCUUAGUUGUGAACUUAAUAUGUGAACUUGUGCUGUUGUAUUGUGCAUUGGAUCUAUCUUCUGUGAUCUGGCUGGCGGGUAUGGGUGUGCCCGCGGGUGACAGGCGCGGGUUCAAGUUCGUACCCGUGAUGGGUCGCGAGCGCGGGUGCGGACACAGGGUUUGCCUCACGGGUGCGGGUUUGUAAACCCUCUGCCCGUGGGUAAUGUGCCCGUUGCCAUCUAUAAAGUGCAUUCUGCAGGAUAACAUGCUAGCCCGUUAAAAAUAAGUUCUACUCCCUCCGUCCCGCAAAGAGUGUUAGUUUAGAAAAUUUCAGAUACAUUAGUAGUGAUGAGAAAUAUUUAUGUUGCCCCUAAUAACUAAUGUUAAUUGUGAUUGAAAAUCGUACUGCCUGUUUAGUUUUAUGAAUCCUGAGUAAACUCGCGUGCAUUAAACCAGAGAAAUAACAUCAAUUGAUCAUUUGAUUGGCUCUACGCGCUUCCCCAUAUGUUUUUCUUUAUUGGUGUGAGUGUUGCUUAACUAGAUGAUGUUUACUAGGAGGUAAAAGGACACUCUUUGUGGAAUAAAUUUUGGAGUCUAAAUGGACACGGGACGGAUGGAGUAUGUAUCUACAGUACAUACAGAUCUCACAUGUCAAUACUAGCAAAAAGUUGUUGCCUCGAGUUGACCACUAUUAUUCGGUUCACACAUCUCAAGAACCGAUCACAUCUUUCAUUAAGUAAAGUCCACGGUGAUGCUCAUGCCUGCAGCUCUUGUUCAAACAAAUACCUAUGCCUAAACAAACAUCAUGUGGUAGCAGUAAAAGUCUAAUGGAGACUUUUUUUAAAUAAAGUCUAAUCAGAUCAUAUCAGAUACGAAAAUAAAAUCAGAUGUUGAUGUUGAUGGAUUUACUUCUCAAUGACAGUUGGAUGGGAGAAGAAAAGUUUAGUCCAAAAACUAAUGGUCGGAAAGCAUAAGGUACAAGGUGGGCUAGCCCUCACCCAACAAUACAAUCUCGUGGGUUGAGUUAGGCUAAUAUUAUUGUUGCUUGUGUACUCGGGUGGACCUAAUCCUCGUAUGGAGAGCUGGAGUUGAUUUGUUGUGUACUCUAAGGGCCCAGUUGGCACGUGGCUUUUCUCGGCUUGGGCUUCAACUGUUGUAGCAUUGGAAUGUUACUGCAGCACAUAGCUAUUUCUCUCCCUCGCAAUAAAAUAAAUUGGGAGCCGAUGAAGUCUGGUUUCUUUGUUUUCACCGGCUCCGUCUCCUCAUGCCAUUGUAGCAUCAAAAGAAGCCCUCCUAAACGUACGCCCUAACAGUUGUGUUAGUGGAACGGCAUCCAGCAAUGCACGAAUGCAGCACUUCUGCCAAAAACAUGAGCCUGCUGUCUGUCAGAUACACAUGUACACACCCAAAUAACCUAAUCGCUGAUAAUCUUUAGCAACAAGGGGUCAAACAAGGAAUUUAGUUACUUGUACACUUCUUCCAACGAACUUCAAUGUAGCCGUAAUUAAUUCGAUCGUAUUGGAAGUCAUAAACACAUAAUUAGCACUAUGCACUUAAGAUUAUGUUGUUUCUUUGACUUGGAACAAGUAGCUAGUGAACACUUGCGCGGACAACAUGCUAGCAUGCAGUUUGAAGACAGGAAGUGCAUUCUGCAGGACAGCAUGCUAGCCCGUUAAAAAUAUGUUCUACUCCUACAGUACAUACAGAUCUCACAUGUCAAUACUAGCAAAGUCGUUGCAUUGAGGGCAGUCCCAAUGGGACAUUGAUGAUAGUUUCUAUCCCUCUUAAUUAUCAUGUCAACUAAGCAAUUUGCUGAUGUGGCAGUAGAUUUAUUAUGGAGAGAGAGAAACCAUUUCUUAGAGAGGAAACCAAGUCCUCACGCGCACCAAUGAGCUAAGAAACCAGCGAUUCUGCAUUGGGGACCCAAGUAGUUUCUUCUUAAUUACUGCAGGAUCCUUUGCGCUUGCACCGCUGCUACCCAUCACUCGAGCUCCUUUACAUGAUGCACAGAGGAUCUGGUACUAGAAGGGAGAAUGAUUGGUUGGAUUUUUAUUUAGACUCUAGAUAAAAAAGUUGCAUUGUGAAGGAUGAUUUCUUGAUACAAUAUCCUAGACUAUGGAAACUAGGUUGGUUUCUCCCAUUGGACUGCCCUAACUUGAUCACUAUUAUUCAGUUCACACUUCUCAAGAACCGAUCACAUCUUUCAUUAAGUAAAGUCCACGGGCCACGGCGAUGCUCAUGCCUGCAGCUCUUGUUCAAACAAAUACCUAUGCCUAAACAAACAUCAUGUGGUAGCAGUAAAAGUUUAAUGGAGACUUUUUUUUUGAAAUAAGUCCUAAUCAGAUCAUAUCAGAUACGAAAAUAGAAUAUACCACGAGGCAAUCGAGGUAACAAAAAGAAGGAGAAAGUUGGUGAGAUACAACGAGAGGAUUACAGGUUGGUAGGCUGACACCCAAUUAAUGGUGCGUUCUUGGAAAAACGCAUCCACUGUCAGGCUACUUACUCUAGCGGUAGCAGUACCCUUAGUUGCGUGUUAGCUGUUAGCUCAAAGUUGAUGUGAAUCCUAUGUAUAAGAUAGCUUAGGAUCUGUUUGGAUACACACUCAUAAUCUUUAGGACUUCACUUUUAGUCCACUUUUAGGACUUGUGCAUUCAAACAUAUGUCAUAAAAGUGCAUUCAUAAUAUUUAGGGUCUGUUUGGAUACACCCUCAUAAACUUUAGGACACUCAUAAAGUUUAGGAGCUAGAAAUUGGUAGUCCUAGAAUUUAUGAGUGGGCUGUUUGGAUGGAAUCAUAAUCUUUAGGAUGUUGGAGGGGAAAUGACUUUUGUACCCCUAAUUACUCCACCCCUGCUCUGUUUCUAGCGCCGUGGAGAGAGAAGGGGAGGGGCAACAGGGGUAAAGGAUGGGUUGGGGACCACUUUUAGGAGAGAAAUGACCCAUUAUGAUGGUUUGGUCCUCCUAAUGAAAACAACACUCCUAAACAUUAUGAAUGCACUUUUAUGACAUAUGUUUGGAUGCACAAGUCCUAAAAGUGGACUAAAAGUGAAGUCCCUCACUACCCACGCUUUUGUANNNNNNNNNNNNNNNNNNNNNNNNNNNNNNNNNNNNNNNNNNNNNNNNNNNNNNNNNNNNNNNNNNNNNNNNNNNNNNNNNNNNNNNNNNNNNNNNNNNNNNNNNNNNNNNNNNNNNNNNNNNNNNNNNNNNNNNNNNNNNNNNNNNNNNNNNNNNNNNNNNNNNNNNNNNNNNNNNNNNNNNNNNNNNNNNNNNNNNNNNNNNNNNNNNNNNNNNNNNNNNNNNNNNNNNNNNNNNNNNNNNNNNNNNNNNNNNNNNNNNNNNNNNNNNNNNNNNNNNNNNNNNNNNNNNNNNNNNNNNNNNNNNNNNNNNNNNNNNNNNNNNNNNNNNNNNNNNNNNNNNNNNNNNNNNNNNNNNNNNNNNNNNNNNNNNNNNNNNNNNNNNNNNNNNNNNNNNNNNNNNNNNNNNNNNNNNNNNNNNNNNNNNNNNNNNNNNNNNNNNNNNNNNNNNNNNNNNNNNNNNNNNNNNNNNUGAUGUACUGAUCGACUAUGAUAUUAGUGAUCGUCCUAACUAAUCAAAGUACUGCGUACUGAGAGACUGAUCCACUCGUAGCGUGUCGGUGGACGUUGAUUUCGAAGCCUUCCAUUGCCUCAACGCGCUCCACCGGCUUAUUCUAUAGACUGUCGUAUGGGCAAGAGCACUCGAUGGUUGACUUGACUCUCUCCAUCAUGCAUGUAUAUAUCAGAUCAAUCUAAACAGCCCACUCAUAAAUUUUAGGACUACCAAUUUCUAGCUCCUAAACUUUAUGAGUGUCCUAAAGUUUAUGAGGGUGUAUCCAAACAGGCCCUUAGAAGGUUGUGCUGUGAAAGAAAAUUACAUCAAAAACUGAGCGAGACUAGCUCUUCACUCCACGCUUGUCUCGUACAUUUUGCACUGUUCAGCUACCUCUGAACUGAAUCAUUGGAGACGCUCCUACGAUGAUACAGGCAGUAUGUUCGUUUGUGAGCUUCCUUGGUCAUGUUGUUCAAUUCUGCUGGGUGUCCACCGUGUGUUGAUUGAUCACUUUCAUGUGUGAAGUGACUCGAACAAAAAAUCGAUCACUUGCACUUUGUGUUGAUCGAUCACUUUCCGAUGUUUCGCCGGACUAGAAGGCCAGCCCCUCCGCAGGCCAGGCGCAAUGCAAGGGAGAGGAAUUCCUUCAUCUGCUCUCCGUGGACUGAACCAUAAAUUAAUUAGCAAAGGAACAUUUUACUAUAAUACCCUUGCUUAACGUAAUUACUGUGGAGGGAACCUGAGGUUUUCCUUCCAAGCACAGUAAGUAGGCUAAUUAUCAUACAUUUUCCCAGCACAAUUUCACAGUAUUUCGCACAUGCAUGUGUAGUUUUGUAGGAGUUGGCCCCAGGCCUUGCGUGUAGCAUCCUUUUGGCAUCCCUCAACCUUAAUAAGACACCGUUUGCUGGUGGCAAGGCAGCUCUUUUUCAAUUCAUAAUCUUGUUGUCUAAAUUUUUUUACAACUGUUUGGGCAUCUAUACAAUUUAAGUAAAUAAAUCAACUGGAAACUUGUACAUCUCAUAAAAAGAUCGUCUCUAUGGGGCUCCUUUCCAAGAAAGUCAUGAAUUUUUUAAACAAACCGACAUUCAAAUGUGCCAGUCUGUAAAGCUAUUGAUAAAAUAAAGUAUUAAAUUGAGUUUUAAUAUUAGAUAACAUGACUAAUCAGUAUUUGGCCAUUAUCAAUGCUCAGUUAGCUAAAAUAUUUGGCCUACCAAUCAGAUAAGGUUAGACAUUGGAGGUUGGAAAACAUUCGUCCAGCAGAGAACUGAACGAUAUUUAAUACAGUUUUGGACAGAAUGUUUUUUCUGAAAUUUUGUAAAAGUUCCGAACUGGACUAAAAUUUGACAUAACAUUUUGUUCGACCAGACGAGAACAUGUAUGUUCAAUGUGCACUAGGGUCCACUGAGUUAAAGCUUGGCCCCUAGCUGAGCGUAGGGUGGUACCGUGAGAACCUCAAGGGACAUAAGCAUCUAAUCUAAGAGUUUUUAAGCAUUGAACAUAUGUCUUUUUUUUAGAAACCAUAGGAGAUCAUAUGGUUAUUUCCAUGUGGUUUAAUCGGUGAUCAACUGCAGUCCCUAGAGACCUAGAGAUGACAUUAGCUUCGACCGUUAUAUAUAUAUAUAUAUAUAUAUAUAUAUAUAUAUAUAUAUAUAUAUAUAUAUAUAUAUAUAUAUAUAUAUAUAUAUAAAGGGUAAAGGAAAAAGAAGAGGUUGUUAUAAGUGAAGAAGAUCAAUGGGAGAUCAAUAAUAAAAUUUUAUUAGAAAGUUAUGAAGAAGAGGAUGAAGAUAUGCCCCACAUAUAUAUAUAUAUAUAUAUGGACUUCUUUUUGAGGAGUCUUUUAGAAGUUUUUCAGAAAAUUGGAUACGAUUCUCCUAGAAAACAGAAUUCCAAAACACGUUUUACACGUAUAUAUCAUGACGGCAUGCAAUUUAUAUCCAUUUUUUGAGGUUCAAGACAGCAAGUGCUAAGCGACGUAGUUGGCUUUCUCCUCCUGCAUGGCCUCCGCGAGUUUGGACCACUUUGUGCGGACGGUGACCACCAGCAAUGAGCAGGCCUGGCAUGUCAGCCCACAUAUCAGCCCCACCCACAAACCCUGCAGAAAAAAGAAUAUACAACAACAAUACAGCAAUUAAGCUGGAAAUUUGGACAGUUUCGGACAAUACAGCAAUUCAUCCAGCAGAAAACUUAUCGAUUUAAUACAGUUUUGGACAGAAAUCAUUUUUGCUGAAAUUUGGUAAAAAUUCCAAACUACACAAAAAUUGACACAACAUGUUGUUCGACCAGACGAGAACAUGUAUGUUCAAUGUGCACUAGGGUCCACUGAGUUAAAGCUUUGCCCGUAGCUGAGUACAGGGUGGUACCGUAAGACCAGUCUAAGUGCACAGUUUCAUUGUCCAGUUAUCAAGAUAGAGAACGAGGUAACUGUGUCAGCUGAGUGUUAUGGAGAUGAAACUCCUCUCUCAUCUGAUGAAACUUCUCCUCUUAAUUACCUUGGCAAGUUAGCAAUUUUGCUGAUGUGUCAUUAAAUCUAAUACCAUGAAACUCCUAUGAAACCCUCCAUUAAGACUGGUCUAAGAACCUCGAGGAACAUAAGCAUUUAAGAGUUUUUAAGCCUUGGACAUACUUUGUUUUGUUAGAAACCAUAGGAGAGGUCUGAUGGUUCUAGCCACGUGGUUUAAUCGGUGAUCAACUGCAGUCACCGGAGAUGACAUUAGCUCCUUUUUGAGGUGGAUGGUCAGAAGCUUCUUUUUGAGGAGUCUUUUAGAAUUUUUUUCAGAAGACGGGUUACUGUCACACCUGGUUUUAAAAUAAAACCAACUACUACCUAUAUGUCACACCUGGUUUUAAAAUAAAACCAACUACUACCUAUAUGUAUUUCAGAAUCUAGUUUCAUACAUAUAGUGACAUCAUAAGUGAAUAACAGUCCAGUAUCAAGUAAAUGAAUAUAAAUAAUGACUUACGGGUCUAUCAGAGAUAUACAGCUUAAUCUGAGAAACAGAGGCUCCAAACUUCACAGACAAUCUACUGGGGGUUGCGUACGCUUAGAAUUCAGCAUCAUCUUAAGAAAACUUCACACACCCUUCCUCUUCUGAGUAGCAGUAAGUAAGCGUGAGUACACUUAUGGUUGGUACUCAGUAAGGCCACAAGAAAUAGCCAGAAUAACAAUUUAAAUCCAUCUUCAAGUUUAUUAAUCAUGUGAGGGUCCAGGCCGCUCUUGACCAUGAGCACAGCUGUUAUAACAAUUUUACACUCUGCAAAGAUUGUACACUUUCACCACAAGUCGCGUAAAAGUUUAGAAGAACUUUGGAACCAACGAUGCUAUGCAAAAGUAGGCACUUAUCACACUACCGAGGUGUGACUGUAUAGGGAUGCUACGAGACCUUUACAAAGAUUUCCUAGUAAGGAUAACUCGCUAAGGUUUCAUGAUCAACGCAAUGCAUAAACCUCUCGCAAACUGCAAAGCUACCAUAGAGCAGAUCAGUUUGAGGGCCGAGCUAUAUACCAACUAUUGUCUCCCCCUUUUGCUCCUUUCAGGCAAAGCUACCACAAACUAGAGUUUCUAAUUAAUUUUCUAAGACCAAAGCCAUGUGAUUCUUAUCGUUGCACUGUUUUCCUGGGUGGUUCUCCAAUUAUGACAUGGUGGUCUUGUAAAUAAGCAUAGAUACAAGGAUAGCUAAGGACACUUGCCUUUCUCCAACGAAAAGUUACUCUUACUGCUCUUCAGCUCUUGCUCUCUUGAAACUCUUAAUCUUCAAAUCUUUUGAACAACAAUCCUUCUACUUGAAGCAAUCAUCAGGUCCCAACAUACAAAGCAAACAAACAAGUAUAAUUAAGAACAAUACACCAAUCAAAGAGAAAAGCUUUAACAGAGUGUACUAAAGAAUAGGGCUUGAUUCUACAAUAAGGAAGGCACAUAAAACACUAAGAAUAAUGAUACCGUUGAAAUAUACAUCUACCGAGAAACUUUUUGUACAGAAAAAGACAAGAGCUAUAUGCUGAAGUUAUUUUAACUAGAAAUCAUAUUUUAACUAUAAAAUAUCCUAAGUUAGAGUUGAUUCAAAUUAUAUUUUUAUCUGAAAAGAUGAUGUAAAACCUAGUAAACUUUUAUUUAUAAAUAUUCAUGUACAAAUUAUGCCAUUUAAACAUUUAACUUUGGAAAAAUAAACUAUAUGUAAUAAUAUCUAAUCAAUAACUUUAUAUGUCGCAUUGAAUAAAACAAGUUAUAAUUAGAAACUCAUUCACGUUGAUGUUAAUCAUAUUAACACUUGCUUAAAGAAAACCGUUGUAUAAACCUAAUUAGCUUUUAAUUAGAAAAAGCUAAGUAAAUAAGCAUUAAUUAAAAUUAAUACCAUACUUAUUUUCAAAAACACGAAACAUGGCGAAACAAUGUUGCUAAACUAUAGCUUAUGAUUAGAAGAGUAACACAGCAAGAACCGACUAGAAUGAAACUUUGGUCGAGAAGAUACAUUAUCAAAAGAUUUGGGUUCAUAAAAGAAAAGAAACUAUGUGCUUCAUACAUUUUAAAUGUAGAAAUCAAUGUGGAUGAUAUUUUAGAGAAAUAUCCUAUGUUAGAAUUAACUCACAUUAUAUUUAUAUUUUGAAAACAUGAAGUAAAGCUUAGUCAAAAUUUAGUUACAAAUGUCCAUGUAUAGUUUAUACUACUUUAAACAUUUAAUUUGGAAAAGAUAUCACAUGUGGGAACAUCUAAGCGCAUAACUUUAUGAUUCAUGUUGAACUAACUAAAUUAUAAUUUAAAAAUACAUUUAUAUUUAUAUUAUCCAAAUUAACAUUUAAUUAUGAAAACUCGAGAUAUAACCUAUGUAGCUUUUAUUUAUAAAACAAAUUGAGUUUAAUUUAUAAAAAUCUGAGGUAUAUCUCUAAUUAGCUUUUAAUUGAAAAACAUUUAAGAUGAAGCAUUAAUAAAAUUAACAUUUAUUAUGCAAAGCGGUGUAUAACACUAAAUACCUUUUAUUAAAGACAACAUAUUUAAUAGGUGUUAACCAAAUUAAUAUCAAAUUUAUUUUCAAAAAUAUGCAAUGAUGGAAAACAUCACCAUUGACGUGUAAUUUAUGUUGUUAUGAAUCUAACGCAACUUGAAUGGAUAGAAACGGAGCUAAAACUUGUAAUUUAUGGAUUAAACAAGGUUCUAAGGACCUAAAUAGAAUUAACUGUAGAUACCAGGGGCUAGCAGAGAAGAUUUGCAAGAUAGAGCAAACAGUGCUUGUAAAGAGGAAAAAGGUUAGGACUAUAUCUAUAAAAACUCUCAGGUAGGACUAGGGUGUAGAGAUUUUAAGGUCUUCAGGGGUUUGUCUACAAAAAAACCAAGACACAGGGAACCUUGGACUAUUUACAGAUUUCGUUAGGGGCUUCAUCGCAAAGAGCUCGAGAGGGCUUUUGGCCGGCCAAAUCGCUGGCGCUACGGGCAAUUUGGAGCUCGGCCAAGGCAGGGAAGAUGAAGAGGAGGUCGAGAGGAACUUGUAGGGUAGCUCAUCGUCGGCGGAGAGUCACGGCAUUGCCAGGAAUCUGGCGGCAGAUAGAGGAUGGCGGCCGGCUCGGGCCAUCAUGGGCGGCGAUGUUCCAGCGGUGGGAAGGUGAUGAGAACGAGCGGCAGAUGUGCAGCAUGAGGAAGGGAAGCACGAGGCGAUGUCAGCUUGCUCUAGGGAUGUCGGGAGGCGUCAAAUCGAAGCGGUGGCGGUGCUAUGCUCCUCCUACUCCAGGCGGCAACGCUCGCCCCGUUUGCUCGGAUUGCGGUGGCACUGGGCGAGGCAGCAAGGCAGUGGCAAUGCAUGCACGGCAGGGGCAUGCGGGGGUCAGGUGCUACGUUUUAUAGGGACGCGGGGCGGCCACGGCUUAGCGCGCAUGCCAAGGCUGGCCAGCGACAGCGGCAGCAUGCUGCGCUGUGGCCGUUGGCCCAGAUGGGCCUCGACUACAUCAUCCAUGUAGGCUUCUACGUUGAAGUGUAGUUGCGAUGAGAUCCUUUGGAUUUCUUGUUUUGACGACUACAUCAUCCACGUAGGCUUCUACGUUGUGCUGUAGUUGCUUCUCAAAACACAUCUGGAUUGCGCGUUGAUAUGUUUUACCUGUGUUCUUCAACCCGAAGGACAUUGUCUUGUAACAGAAAGCUCCAAACGGGGUGAUGAAGGCAGUUUUGGCUUGGUCUUCUUCCUUGAUUGCUAUCUGAUGGUAACCUGAGUAGCAAUCGAGGAAACAGAGUAGUGCACAACUAGCUGUGGAGUCGACGACUUGGUCGAUCCUGGGUAACCCGAAGGGGUGUUUGGGGCAGUGCUUAUUGAGGUCUGUGUAGUCUACACACAUCCUCCACUCAUUGUUGUUUUUCUUACGAACGAGUACUGGGUUGGCUAGCCAAUUAGGGUGGAAAACUUCCUUGAUGAAGCCAACUACGAGUAGUUUGGCUAGUUCUUUCUUGAUAGCGUCUCUCCUGUCUUGAGUAAAUCUUCGUAUCCGUUGCCAUUUAGGAGUAGGUUUGGGAUCAACAUUUAGUGAGUGCUCGAUCAGUUCCUUGGGCACACCUGGCAUAUCAGCCAAUUUCCAAGCAAAGAUGUCUCAGUUAGCCUGAAGGAAACUGAUGAGCGCGCUUUCCAAUUGGGGAUCCAGCCCUAUGCUAAUGAGGGUUGUCUUGGAUGAAUCACCAAUCUCUAGGUCAAUGGGCUUGGAAUCCUUGUUUGUUGCUAGCUUGACCUUGGCCACCCCCGCCUUGUUCUCUGGAAUCUCGAGUUCUGUUGGGGUGAGUUUUUUCGAGACUGUGAAGACUUGUUGCAUGGGACUAGGUGCUUGAGAAGUCGCAGCGAUUUCGAUGGCUUCUGCGUCGCACUCAUAGGAUCGCCUCAGGUCUCCACAUAGUGUGAGUUCACCUUUUGGUCCUGGCAUCUUGAGCAGUAGGUAUGCGUAGUGUGUUAUAGCCAUGAAUUUAGCUAGAGCUGGUCUUCCGAGGAUGGCGUGGUAAGAAGUCUCGAAGUCAGCGACCUUGAACUUAAUGUACUCGGUGCGAUAAUGUUCCUUUGUACCGAAGGUGACAGGUAAGACGACUUGCCCUAAUGGGAUAGCGGCGUUGCCUGGAACAAUUCCGUAGAAAGGAGAAUCUAUUGGAGUAAGCAUAUCAGUUAUGUCGAGGCACAUUUUCCUCGAGGUUUUGGCGAAGAUGACGUUGAGUCCACUACUAGCAUCGAUGAGUACUUUUGUUAGUCUUAAGCCUGCGAUAACUGGGUCGAGUACCAAGGGAAAAGGCCUGGCUCUGAGAAGUUGGUCCAUUGAUCCUUUCUGCUGAAAGAAAUUGGCACCUCGGACCACUUGAGUGGGGUGGGAGUCGCUGGCUCGAUGGCCAUGAUCUCUCUGAGCACUAGCAUGUUGGACCACUUCAAUGUGGUACCUGGGAUUCCGCCAAAGAUGACGUUGACAUUUUUUGAUGCGACUUAAAAUUUGUCUUCGCCAUCAUCGGUUUCGUCCACCUUGCCUUUGCCUUUGUCUCUGGAGUUUGCGGUCAAGUUUUUUUUAUUAUUUUUGGGCGGAGGAGCUUUGGGUAGUUCUUGCAUUACUCUACGGAGGCUCUAGUAGUCUAUUGCGGAGUGGUUACUGUGUGGAUGCCAUGGGCAUUGCUUCUUGAGUAAGUCGCUGAAUGAGGGGCUGUCAUUGUGUUUGUUUGCCCCUUUUUUGUUUGAGUUGGUAAGUGUUGCAACGGUGUUGUCGGGUUUGCGCUUGUGAUUCUAGUGACCCGAGGUAAUUGUUUCAGGUAUCAUUGUUGCGAUUUCUGUCUAGGUUUUGGUUGUUACCUUGGCUGUUGUUGUUGUUGCCCCCACGGUUGCGAUCAAACCUCUCACGUUCUUUGUCCUCCUCGUCUGCCCACUGCUGUACCAUGAUCUUCAAGUCUUUGACACUCGUAGGACAGUGUCUGCCAAAAUCUUGGUACAUGCGUUGGUCCUAGAGUCCAUUUUGAAAACAUUCAAUCACGUCUCCCUCUGAGAUGUCGACAAUCGUAGCCUUCUUCUCGAAGAAAUGACGUAGGUAGUCGCGCAACAAUUCGCCUUCCUGUUGUUUGACUUGGCUUAAGUCAACUUUGUUGCCUGGAUGUUGCAUUGAUCCCGUAUAGUUGUUGGUGAAAGCUGUUUUCAAUUCUUCCCACGAGUCGAUUGACUUGGGCUUGAGAGACUCGAGCCAAGUCAAUGGCGCGGGUUCCAUCCAUAUGGGAAAGUAGAUGACUUUUGUCUCGUUGUUACCCCCAGCUAUUUGGACUGCUAAUGAGUAGCAUCGGAGCCAUUGGACCGGGUCUUGUUUGCCAUCGUACUUGUUGAUUCCCAUUGGUUUGAACUUGUCGGGUAAUUUAGUAUGCAUGACUCGUGUGGUGAAGGUGGGGAAGUAGUCGGGAACAUCGGUUUCUGCUUCUCAUUCACAAUGACGGUUUCUGAUUAUGUCCCGAUCAUCGUGAUUCUGGUUGAGUACUUCCCUGAGAUCACUCAUGUAUGAAUGUUCCCGAUUGGUUCUAUGGCGAUGAGGACUUUGUGCGGAGUUGGUGUGACUAGCUUCUCCCGCACCUUUGUUUUUCUGUGGUGCUUUGGGUGCACCGCCACGUCUUGGAGCAUCUCUGCUACCAUUGUGCUGGCUAGAGUUGUGGUGUACAGAAGGGAUUGGUGACUCCUUGUCGAGCAACUGGUAAGCAUUUGCCACGAGUUGUGCUAUUAACUUGUUGCCUCUUCAUGUGAGUUGUACCGCGAGCUUGUUGUCUAUGUCCUGAGGUAUGAGGGUUGUUAAGAGAUUGAUCGAGGUGAUUGCUGUGAGUGGGGUGUUGUGCUCUCGUGCUUGUACUGCAUCGAAUGCUCGCUCGAGAUUCACAAUAGGUAUGCUUGCGAAAAGUAGUCGGCGACGUUCUACUCGAGUAGCGUUGCGAUUUCUUCUUUGAAUUCAUUGCUCACUUGUUGCAUCAUCCGGGGCAUUGGCUGAGAGCUCAUCAUCAGAGACUUCUUCAUGUUGUCCUACCCGUCGAGGUGUUCUGUGGUGCUCGUUAGUCGAGGUGUUUUGUGGUGAUGGUUACUAGUCGCGACUUCGUCGUGUGGUGACAUGACAACAAAGAGUUCCCUAUCUGAAUAGUAGCAUCCUAAGCUUGAGGUUGCAAUCUCUGUGGCGCUAUCUUCUCCUCGGAUUGGAGUAAGUGGAGUGCCCUGUUUAUAUGGGAGGGUACCCAUGUGGGCGACUAGGCAUGACUCGUAGUUUUGGGUAAGGGAUGAUGGCUUCAUCCCUGGCCAAUAAACGAAUUUGCCUUGCGAUGUGGAUGUGAUAACCAAACCUUGUGCUGGGUCUGAUGAAGGGUGUUCUUGAACGGAGUCCGAGUUGUAGUCGUAGUCCUCAACUGUUUCUUGUCCUGAUUGGACUCGAGUGAGGAGUUCUUGGUGGACCCUGGCUGCGUUUCGGAACCCGAACGGGAAUCAACUUCGAUUUGAAAUCGACUUGCAAGGUGACUUGGAUACUAACCUGCGUGGGCUAGUCCGAGUCGAGGUCGAGUCCAAGCUGUAGUCGAACUCGAUGCUGUUGACGUUGAAAUUUUGGAUUCUCUCAAUGGAAUUUUCCACUUCUUGAUGAAGAGGGUUUUCGUUCAGAUGCUUCUUCUCCAGCUUCUCGAUGAUGCAACGUUGGAAAUUUCCAAAGCCAUCAACGAUGCAGAGCAAGGAGCCGAAGAUGAAAGUUGCGCCCACCUCGAAAGCAAAUGCAGGUUUGAUGAUGGUUGGUGCCAUCGAUCUCGCGCGGAGAAAUUCGGCGACUCCCCCUACCUGGCAUGCCAGCUGUCGGUGUUUUAUACCGGUAACCCGCCUAGGGAGUACCUGAGGUGGUGUUUCGUGCGGUGGGUGUCGCCGAGAAUCAAGGAGUCGAUGGUGACACAGGAACACGAUUUACACAGGUUCAGGCCGCUAGAUCGCGUAAUACCCUACAUCCUGUGUAUGGAUUGUAUUGAUGAGUUGUGUUGCUUGCAGGGGUUCCUUGCCCACCCUUAUAUAGUCGGGGGAGCAUGGUUACAGGGUAGGAGUCCUAGUCGAACACGGUCACAGAGUCCUACUCGGUGAAGUAGUUUCCUUGUGUAUUCCGACUAGUCUUCAGGAGUCCGUGUAGGCUACGUUACCCUGCAGCGCAGCCUCAUGUCCUAAUCACGUCCAAGUACGCCCCUUGAGUGGGCUAUACAAGGCCUACUCGUGGACCCAAGGAUGUAUGCCCGACAGGGCUAGCUGGGUCGAGCCCAAGGCUCGGCCCAGAGGGAAAGGAUUUGGCUCUAGAAAAAAAUAAGAAUAAAUUAUAGAAAAAGCUGGAAAAUUUUCUCAGAAGGGUCUGGACAUCAUAUAAACGCAUAUUAAAACCUUUUGCACUCAAAAAAUACUAAGAUGCAUUGGUCUGAAUACAACACACAGAGCAACACUAUUUAAUUUAAAAAACAACCAAUUAUUUUUCCUAUACUACAUUUCCUGUCAAGAAAAUAAAUGUUGGGAAAAUUUUAAAAUUAUGAUAAAAUCAUUGUUUAAUUGUUCUUUCUAAUCACAUCCUGAAAUCCAAAAAUUUCAGGGCGUGAUAGAUACGAUUCUCCUGCAAAACAGAAUUCCAAGACACGUUUAAUUUUAUAUUUAUAUAUCGUCACGGCAUGCAAUUUCUAUCCAUUUUUUGUUUGGUCAAGAUAGCAUGUGCUAAGCGACGUAGUUGGCUUUCUCCUCCUGCAUGGCCUCCGCUAGUUUGGUCCACUUUGUGCGGACAGUGAUCACCAGCAAUGAGCAGGCCUGGCAUGUCAGCCCACAUAUCAGCCCCACCCACAAACCCUGCAGAAAAAGAAUGUAAAUGCAGCAAUUAAGCUGGAACGUUGUCGUUGGCAAGAAAUUGAUUCACUUUAAUUUUUAAUUUUUACAAGUACCUUGGUGUGGAACUUGAAUUUGAAGGAGAAAAGGAUGGCCAGCGGCAUUCCGAUUAAGUAGAACGCCACAAGGUUGGUCAUGGCCCCCAUGUGCUGCCACCCACAGCCCCUCGACACGCCUGACAGGACGCCCUGUGCAGCGUCGAGCACAAUGGAGAUCAUCAUGAGCGGGGUGAUGGCCGCGAAUUCCGAGAUGAUCCUCGAGCUCCUACUGAAGAGGCUGGCCCAUAGGUUGUGGCCGAACGCCAGCAACAGGACGAAGGAGACGGCGAGGAACACUGAGAGCUUCAACGUCACGGAUACCGCAUUCUUCGCCUUGUCCACAUUCCCCGCACCGAUCUCGUUCGACACCCGUGUGCUGCACCAAACAUUAAUCCAUGACCCAUCAUGCGUGAAAUAAACACAAUGGUACAAGAACAACUGUGGCUGAGAAGGAAGAAGCAUAUGGAAUUCGUUCAGACAGAACCGGGCUGGCAUGUGAUGUAACGCACCUUACGGUGGCACUGAACCCAACUGUGAUCAUGCACGCAAUCGCCUCAGUGCUAACGCUGCACACAAUUUGCAGGCCAUGUACGUCAUCGUUGGGCUCACGUUGUUAGUUUAAUUUGCAUAUCUGAAGAUCAAAUAAAGACUAUCGUAAUAUAAAGGUAUUUACCAUAUGGCGAUCAGCGGCGUAGCCACGGUGGGAUGGGGAAGUAAACCAGCUAUGAGCACCAGGAGCUCGAACGCCCAUAACUCCAAGCUGCAGCCGGAAUGUCUCACCGGUCAUGAUUCAUGAAUGUCACUGGCACGAGGAACACGAUACUGUAUGUCACUGGCAAGAUGUACACUUACCAGACCAUGAUGGCAGAUGGCGUUGCGAGCUUCACGGUAGGCAACACGUACAUGAAGGCGUCGGCAGAAAACCCUCUCCAUGUUUCACAGAACUCCUUGGAGAUCAGCACAUAGGCGAACAGCAUCAGGCAGCAGACCCAAAACGUUGCUGAGACCGCCGCGGAAGCGCCCGCGAGCCCCAGGCCAAACACGUUCACCAGCAGGUGCGCCAGGGCGACAUGCAGGACGAACGGCACCACGGAGCAGACGACGAGCGGUAGUACCACGGACUGCGUCUGAAGGUAUCGGAGCAGGCAAUGCACGAAGGAAAACGCAAAGAGACCGGGUAUCUGGGCCUGCACAAAAAUCCCAGCAGCGUGGGACACUUCGGGGUCCUGCCGGAGGAGAAGCAGCAGCGGCUCCGUGAAGUACCAAAGCACGGAGAUAAGCAGGGAUGCGGCAGCAGACAUGAUGAACGACGACUGCAGGUACAGGCCCAGCAUGCGGUACAGCCGGGCGCCGUACGCCUUCCCACAAAGCGUCUCCAGGGCUCCGCUCAGGCCCAUCUGGAAAAUAGCAACGGUCACAUCAUUUCGAUCAAAAUAUAUGAUUUGUUUGUUGAUUCUACAAAAUUUCAUAGUGAUAUUUUAACACCAUUACAAGUACAUGUUUUCUUCAUUUUCUUGAUUUCUGAAAACCAUUUAUCAGUAUAUAUAUGAUUUUUUUCUACCAAAUUUGUGGUCGUAAUUAAUUAAACAUGUGAGUUUUUCUAUUUAGAAUUGUUUAGAGAGAGGAUGAGAGAGAGAAUAAAGGAUUGACAUAAUUAUGUUAGGUUUAAUGCUACUAGAAAUAUAUAUUAUUUGUUUUCAUAUGAAGGUUGUGCUUGCCUUCUCAAGAAAUAGCAUGUAGUGUGUGUGCGCUAAUAACUAUUUUUUUCAUAUAUCCUAAAGAUGAAGAAAACCGCGACGCGAAAGUGCAUUAGCGAUGGAUGCUUGCCAAUCUCUUCAUAUAACUGGGCGUAGUAAGCAUGUCUAGUGAUGAAUAUAUGUAAGACAUAUANNNNNNNNNNNNNNNNNNNNNNNNNNNNNNNNNNNNNNNNNNNNNNNNNNNNNNNNNNNNNNNNNNNNNNNNNNNNNNNNNNNNNNNNNNNNNNNNNNNNUGUCCCCAAGGCACACCUCCAUUCCUACGGGCCCAUAUAUAUUAUAUAUUCGUGUUUGCGUUUGUUAUGUAAUGAGAUGGGAAAUAUAAAUUUAUAAAUUGGCAACAAAUAACUAUAUAAAAAUGGGUAGAACCAUUUGAAUAUUCAAAAUAGUGCGUCUAUUCAAAAUAGUACAAAUUGAUUUGUGCAGCGGUUGGCUUAACAGAGUAGCGACACUUAUAGAGAGACACUUAUUCGUAUCAAUUUUGGCUUAACAGAGUAGCGACACUUGUAGAGAGACACUUAUUCGUAUCAGCUCAUUAGUGCUAGCCAUAAAAAAGCCGGCACGAAUAAGUUAUUCGUGCUGGUGUCUAAUAGAGCCUUAAUGGAUAAUCCACUAUCCGUGGAGCCGGCACGGAUAAUUCUUAUUUGUGAUGCACGGAUAGUCAUCUGGAUUAUUCGUUCCGGCUCGGGUAUGGACUUCAAAAAAUUCAAACUUUUACAUAUGGACUCAGAUUGCGACAAGCUUUAUAUGGAAGUGGUAUGUUUCAACAAGAUUUAAAACUUUGUAGUUUAACGAUUUUUAAUUUGAAAUCAUUUAGAUGCCCAAAGUUAUAACUUUAGCAUACCUUUUGCGUCCAUAUCAUUUGAAUUUUGUGUUUUAUUUGGAAAUUCAUAACUUUGUGAUAUGGACUAGCAUAAAGGCAUAUUUAUAUGAAAGUUAUAGAUUUCAACCUGAUCUACAACUUUGUAGGUGAAAGUUUUCAAUUUAAAGUUGUUCAUAUGUCAAAUAAUUUCAGCUCUUGUUUCCCCCUUUAUUCUCAUCCUUCUAAGUUGAAUUUUCUAUUGUGUUUGGAAAUUUGUAACUUCUGCAUAUGGUUUCAGAUGGAGAUGAACAUUACAUGGAACUUGUAGGCUUCGAUGAGAUCUACAACCUUGUAGUUAAAAGUUUUUUAUUUAAAUUCAUUUAUGUGCCAAAAUAAUAGAUAAAAGCUUUAGGCAACACGGGUCAAAAGGAAUAGAACUUUAUUAUGCGUGCAGAUAUCUAGCGUAGGUAGAGUGGUAGAGAUGUAUCGCGCGGGUCAAAAGGAAUAGAACUUUAUUAUGCGUGCAGAUAUCUAGCGUAGGUAGAGUGGUAGAGAUGUAUCGCGCGAGAUCGGAGGUUGUGAGUUCGAAAAUCGGACACUGCACGCGCAGAUAUUUCAGGGGUGACUUGGGACCGUGAGCUUAGCUCAGGGUGCCUCAUAAACAAUAUUUUUUUUGCUAUUUUCGUUUGUAAAUUGCUAUUUCUACUACCUGCGUCGGUGUGUUAUCCCACCGACAUGUAUAAUCCAUUAUUCGUGUCUGCUUCGACAUUGCCAUGAACAACCAACCUAAUUCGCAUAGAUGUCGUGGUGCCAGUCCCAUAACCGGUACGAAUGAGGUUUUCACGCCAGCACGAAUGAGUUCUGCAGUAGCGGUCAGGCAUUCACUAGCAUAUAUCGUCAUUUGUAUAGGUUGAAGGUUGCUGGCGCAAACUGGUUUUGAUUACCGUACACAAGUAGUUUCUACAGUUGUCGACAACAAGGUUCGGUGGAAGUUGUGGUACACAGUUUCCGUGGUUGUGCCAAGAGUCUGGUAAGGAGGUUCACAUGGUGGAGGAGUAGGGCGGGAAUCUCAACAAAAGAUAUGUUGGAUCUUAAGCUACUGUAACUCGAGGCAGAUCACAUUGUAAAGCUCUACUAGAGAAAAGGACACCUGUACUCAACGAACAUGUAUUUGGACCCAGCAUUAAUGCUAGGGUCUAAAUUUGAUCAUCCCGGGAAUCCUUUCCCAACCUGUAUUAAGAUCCUGUCUGGUUCCGAGCUCCUAAAAGUUUUAGCAGCCUUCUAAAAACUCCCAAAAGAGUGUUUAGGUCCACCUCCUAAAACUGACUAAAGGUAAUAAAUGCACUCGCAAAAGGACCAUGAUGCCCCUCCCCAUGCCCCUGUCCCUGGCCGCAGCUUGUCCAGCGACGUCGGCCUCCUCUUCCUCUCCGGCGACUCAGGGUUGAAAUGCGCCGCGCCGUGCCCGUGAUGCCGCGGCUCAUGUUCUUGAUUACAUUGACAAAGAAACCAGUCACGCACGUCACCAUACAUCGAGCACAAAAAUGGUGCCCAAGAACUCGGAGACAUCGAGGAGGCUAGAGGACCCUCUCUAUCCUGCCCAUCGCCCAGUAGCUAGGCACUCUGCUGGCACCAUCACCACCGCCACGAUGGAGGCCAGACAGUUCAUCGCAGACCUCUCGCCCACCCGCAAGCUCACCCCGGUGCCGUUGCUGCCUCCGCCGGGUCUAGGCGCGAAGGGGUGGCGGAUCUGGUUGGGGAGGGCGCAGAUCGGAGGGGGAGUGAGCAGGCGCUGACACCGAGGAGGAGCGGGAGGGCCACGGCGGGCCCGUGCGGUGGUGCAAGGGAGCGGGGGCGGCAGAUCUGGCGGGCGCCGACGUGAAGGAGGGAGGGAGCGGUGGCAGGGGUGACGGAUCCGGUGGCGCGAGGGGGCGGGGGCGGCGCGAGGGGGAGUGGAGGGAGGGAGCGACAACGGGGUUGUGGAGGGAGCAGGGGCGGGCCCGUGCGGCAGCAGCGGGCAGAAUGGCGGCAGGCUGCUAGGCGGGAGGGAGGGUGGGAGAGAGAGGGGGGACAGGGCAAUAAAGGAUGGGUAGUGGGGGUUCAGGAUGGAUUUUAGGUACUUUUAGGAGGAGGUGGAGCUCCUAAAGUUUUUGGCCCUUCCUAAAGUUUUUAGGAGCUUUUAGGAGGGGGGUGUUUGGUUCUUUAGGCAAAUUUUAUCCAGAUUUUAGCUCCUAAAGUUUUUAGAGGGGUACCCAAACAGGACCUAAACCUACCAUUUCAAACCAGUUGCUAUUACCAUCCUUUACUAAUGCUCCUCGAAACUAUUACCACUUGAUGUAACCAUCUGGUAAGUACCUGUUGAUGUAAUCAAUAGAACUAAAAGAUCCUCUAGAGAUGACAUUAAAAAAAGCAUUUCUUAUCCAGGGUUGUAAAUAUUUUUUUGAUAUUUUUUACCGACUAGUACUAAAGGUGACAGAUCUGAUAUUAAAGGUCGGAACUUUUCGUCUUGGUUUUUUUGUACCGUUUCAAAAUUCAAGAGUAAAGGAGGGUUUGGAACCAAUACAUAAGCCAUAAUCUCCAAUAAUAGUGAGACCAAUAUGCUCUCCAUGCAUAUGAUGGAUGUGGUGGUGGCAUUUGCAGGGACCGAUAUUACAAGGGUGGUGGUGCAGAGGCGGCAUGAUCAUGAGAGGUAGAUUGCUUGAAUAUAAUGUUACAUAGAGAUGCAUCGGUGGUGCGAUUGUGGAUUGCGUGGUGAUAGAGGAGAAUUGUUGCGGUGGAGGUCGAUCUUAUGGGCGCUAUCGCGGCGUUAGUUGUUUUGAUGGCUCAUGUCGUGAUGGCCGACGAAGUCCACAAUGAACCUGAUGAGCAGGUUCAGGCACGCAAUGCCUAGAUGAAGCAGCUUGAUAAACUGGAUGUAUUGGUUUUUGUGUAAAUACUGCUAUGCUGUUGUUAAACUCAUAUUUUCAUAUGUGGAACAAUAGGUCAAAAAAAUUAUGCUACCCCAUCACACAAAUAUAGCUUUGUUCAGGUGAUCAUUUCCAUUCCUCCAGAGCUAAAGGUUCAUUCAGAAUUCGAUUACUUACAUUCCAAAAAUGCUAAACGCAGAGACUAAAUGGUGAGCAAUAAGCAAUUUAGUAGAAGGUAGGCUUUGUACGUACAACGAAGGCGUAGCCGGUGACGGUUGCCCAGGAGUUGCCGAGCGUGGCGCCGGCGAGGUGGACGUCGCCGAGGUGGCCGGAGAACAUCACCGACACCAGCGGAAUGCCGUAGUAGGCCAUGUUGGUGAGCACCAUCGGCACCGCGAAACGCAGCUGCGCCUGCGCCUCCUCCGUGUCAACUAUCCGGCCAAGCCAUGCUAACCAGCAUGGUAGCUGCUGCUCCCCUCCAACUUUGCCGGCGGCGAGGUCAUCGCCCUUGCAGCGGUCGCCGAGCAGCGGAGCCGACGACAUGUCGCUGGGUGACGUGGAGCUAUCGGCCGGGUAGACAGGUUCACCUCCUAGCUCGCUGAUAUUGGUAUAUAGGCUAUGGAUCAAGAAGUGCACCGUGGUUGUGUUGUGCAUUUCUAGCCGGAUGAACGUGGCGCAAAGUUGGUGGAUAGUGUGGAAUAUUUGAGAUCCGAUGGACGCAGAUUUUGUUAAUUUUUAAUUUGAAACAUUUAUGAAACUGGUCCAUGUUCAUUUAUGUCGAUUUGUGUGCGUUUGGUCUGCUGGCCAGCUAGAGCAGGUCAUUCUCACCCUUCCAUUGACCAGCAUCUCGAUCGAUCUUCUCACGUGCCUCGCAGCCAUCGCCGGUGGUUGACAGGAUUAUGGUGUCCUUAAUUAAUUGUUGUAAGUCGAUAAUCUUAAAAGAAAUAUGAAGUUGGCUGAGCUAUGUUGUUCUUGUAUACUACUCGCAAAGGAAGUCGUUUUAGACAAGGCUUGGGUCAAACAUUGGAAAUAUAAAUCAUGAAUAACUUUUAAGUUGUUGAGUUUGGAAAUGUAAAAGUCAUAUAUAUAGAUUUGUCUUGAAAAAUGCUUUCAUUAAAAUAUACAUAUAUCACUUUUUGAUAAAUAUUUUUAUAAAAAUAAAGAGUCAAAGUAAUACUUUGGAGACCGUGUUGCUGUUCAAAACGACUUCCUUUGUGAGUAUGGACGGAGUACUCACUAUGUAGAAAAUAAUAUCAUUUUGAGACAGAUUUUUAUAUAUAAGUAUAUAACGUCAGUAAAAUUUAGAGUACUUAGGCAUCUUGUAAUGUUUACAAUUAUCCGUAAGAGAUGGCAAACUGAGAUGAGACGACAUGUGGCACAAUGUGUUUACAGGGAUGGAUGAGUGAUUAAUUAGAUUUAAUUCGACCGAUAUCAUAAAAUAUUUGUUAAUUAUAAAGUACUUUCUCCGUUUCAAAUUGUAGGUUGUUUUGAAUUUUUUAGAUUCAUAGAUAUUAUUAUAUAUCUAGACAUACACUAUAUCUAGGUAUAUAUAAAAAAAAUAUGCACCUAGAAAAUCCAAAAUGAUGUACACUUUAGGAUGGACGGAGUAGGUAAUUUUAUAGUGAUUAGUGAUAAUGCUAUGAUCAUGGAGCAAUCUUGUUUAAAUAACAUAUGUGGCCAAAAGGAAAUAAGAUACCAUGGGAAGUUGAGAUACAUGAAUAGGCAAAGCAAAAUUAUAGCGGAAUGAAAACACAUAAUUGACGGAUGGUGGACUGACAAAUUUGACGAUCUCAGGCGCAACGUUGACAGACAAUGCUCGAUUGUCUCCAUGAUAUUAAUGUAGUGCCACAUGGAGUUUUGGAUGAUGUGACACUAUAUUAAAUGAGAGGUAAAGAAAAAAGAACAAAUUAGAUCUCAUGCAAGAUAUUGUUCCAACAAGAAAUUUAAAGCACUACAAACUAUUGAAUUCUAUAUUGUGGGGGACUUGUGUCUCCAUGAUUAGUGAGGCUGAAAGAUGGUUGGUGAACUGAGCUACGCUCGGAUAGUAAGGUUCGUUAUGAUGAAACAUACCGAUCAAGGUUCAUGUUCUUGACUUGGUAAUGAUGCUUACGUUUUCUUGAAUUUAUUAUAGGAUUAACCGGCGUUGUUCCAUCCACAUCUACAUUUAUUUCGAAUACGAAUAUGAUUUUGGAUAAUAAAACACAAAUUUAAAUAUAUCCAUUUAAGAUACCACAUUAAAAAACACUAGAAACGAAUGCGGAUACGGAUGUCCAUAUAUCACAUUUUUAACGGAUACGAGCUAGCGGCUAGGCAACUUAAUUAUUACCAUCCAUGAGCUCCUUCAUUGUGUGUCACUGCACCAACCGACAGUAAUUUUGUACGUGGCUAUUACGGCGCGCCGCUUAAGAAACACGUGGUCCGAUGCACUUAUCUCGGCUGCAUUGAUACUGCAGCGUGACUUCCGCACGGAGUUACCCUAGUACAGUACUCCAUGUGCGCAGAAGAGCACAAAAAAGGGAGCAGCAUUUCAACUUUGGUUAGCUGACCAAAUAUAGGAUCCUAAUUCAACAGUUCUUGGUAUGCCAAAUGUUUUCCAAAAAGUAAAGGAAUUACAAAACUCCAGGGAUUCGUACGUCACUAGUCACUUCAACAUUGAAGUAACAAUACCGUAAAUAACGUGUCUAUAACAUGCAUGGCGCAGUCUUGCUGACAAAUUUAUGACCAAUAUUUGUUCAAAUUAAACUACGCGGGGGCAACAUUUGUCUAUCAUAAUAUAAUGUUUGGGAUGGUGUUCUUAAUGAACUUUUUUUUUCACUCCACAUGUUUUUUUUGUGAUAGGACCAUCUAAGACGUACCUAAUCUUCACGGACUCUCUUUGUUUUUUAUAAACAAAAUAUAUUAAUUACAUCAGGAGAUACAUUGUUUUAUAUUGAUCUCAAGCAAAAUACAAUGGUAUUCUAGAGAUUUCAAGGCGGAAGCAGGUUGUUGGUCGAGGUUGUUGGUCGAGUGUUAGUUUGCCUGACAUGUUGGGGAUCGCCCAAACAAAUAGUCACCCUCGAGCUUAUCGUGCUCAGCGACAACAGCUCAGCCCCUUAGGAUAAUUAACCUCAGGUGAGGCCUCCUAACCUUAGACGGUGAACCUGAUACGGAAAAGUAAUCUUAGUCUCGCUAUCCUAAGUUUUAACUCGAAGCCAGGAGGCAAUUACCAAUCCCCUGACUAGCCGAGUCUAACCUCGAGCACUCGAAGCUAACCACGAGUGCCAAGUUAUUCACUGUCUUGUGCAAAGUCGCUGGUUUAGAUUGGGAAGCAGGGCACGAGGUUGAGCGCCUCUCGGACGCGAAGCUAAGGCGAUUGGAACUCCCGAAGCUAGGAUGGCUUUGGUCGCGAGGUCAAGAAGCGUGGAGGCGUUGGAAACGUGAAGGCAUGAUUUGUGGAACCAUGUGAGAGCAUGAAUUACGGAAAAGGCGUGAGAAGCAUGAUCCUAAGAGGAGACCAAGUCAUACAAGUUAUGACCUAAAAAGAUCUCUAUGUAAAGUAUAUUCUAGAAAUGUAGUAGGUGAAUGAGGGUAAUUGUGGGAUGUAAAGUGUCCUCCGAGACACUAUAAAAGUGGAGCCCUACCCCGAUGUAAACUCAUGUUCAUUUCUUAGAAUUGAAUUGCAAGUGCUGCUUUAACAUCAUUGUGUUCGAACUUCGCUGAAACUUGUUUUCCAACAUCACAGAUCGAUUGGCCAAAGUUGCUCUGUAGGAACUGAAAACGUUGUCACGUGGUUUGGCUGCAACGCAUACGACGAAUCUGGGUGGUUCAUGGCCUCGAAUUCCACGUAAAAAGGUAUAAGAAAAAGAAAUGUAGUAUCCACGUAGAAGAGAUGAAUAGUAGAUGAGAAUAGAGACAGCGAUACAAAUUAUAAAAUAAUGUUGAACUGUGGGUUGGUAGGGUGACACCGCCAACGUCGAGAUUCACAAAACCAUUACUGACUCCGACAUUGAUUAUCGUGUAGUUUAGUAAAGAAUCCAUGCUCAGGCGGCCGCAUACCUGAAAAACGUAGCUGGAGCACUCCAUCGGACAAGCAAGUGCUUCACGAAGCAAAGCAAGCAGCCAUGGUGAGCAUGGAGAGCCGGAGCCUCCUCGCUGCUGCCCCAGCUCUGGCAGUCGCCAUCAUCUUCCUCUCUACCACCGCACCGCUGGCGCGCGCGGCAUCCGUCGAGCACACAUUUGUCGUAAGUUUGCACACAAAUCGUGAAUAGACUUUCACCAAAUUCGGGCACUAUAACACACUCGCUUAUGCUUGAUUUGUUGGAAAAUAUUGUAGGUGAAUCAGACGAAGAUGACGCGCCUGUGCAAGGAGACACUGGUCACCGUGGUGAACGGGCAGCUCCCAGGGCCGACCAUUGAGGUCACAGAAGGAGACUCGGUGACUGUUCAUGUCGUCAACAGGUCACCUUACAACAUUACGAUCCACUGGUAAGCGAUGAUGGCAUAAAAAUAAGUUCAUUUCCACGGCUAGAUUAUUUAGGCACUCAUUUGGGGAAAAAAAUCAUAUGUAAUCGUUAAUGAUAUAUUCCCUUCGUUGAUUUCCUGAACUACGUAGCCUUUCCUAAAUGUUUUGUCUUUAGAAACAGAGAUCGUACACUUUAUAUAAGGAAUCAUGCAUUUAGAUAGUAGCUACACACUAUCAAGUGAUAAAUAAAAUAUACAAUAAUGAAGUUGAUCUAGGAUAUAAUGCUGACAAAGUUCACGUUGGACUUUGUAGUAAGAUAGUAAAAAAUUUAUAAACACUUACACUAGGUCAGGUUUUGCAACCUUUUUUUAUACAAAAUUGCAGAAUUGUAAGAUCCAAAAGUUUGUAAUUGACAAAUGACAACCUUUUAAUAAGUGAAGCCAUUUAUACCUAUAUAUUACAAUCAUCCUGAUUUUUGAAAAAUAUGGAUCAAAAGGAAUAAAACUCUUAUUGCUAUCAACAAAAAAAAAAGAGGACCGCAUGUGACGGGUGGAUAUGGUUGUAGGUUUGAUUCCUGGGGACACGAACGUCUGUAUUUUGCAUGAACAAACACUUGAGUAGUGACGUGCACUCUGUGAGUAGUUCGGAGGUGGUCUGUGGUUCUAGAUUUGUUUAAUAACAUUUUGAUGCUCAUAUAUUUAUUUCAAUAAACAUUUUAUCUCUAAUGAUGGUUCAACCCUCGAGCAGUGAGAGAGAGAGGAAGUUAUCGGUGUUCAAAAUAAUUGGUUUAUGACUACUUAAAAAUCUUUCACUUCUAUGGAAACUGUGACAUAUGAGAAGAGUAGUGAACCAGGAGAGAUAACACUAGUGACAUCUACGACUGAAAAGUAAAGAACAACUCAACCAAACAGCAACUCGUAUGCUAACUGACCUUGACAGCAUUAAAAGAAGGACACUUCCGAUUAAACAUAUAAUGAGCUAGUACGAUCGACACCAGGUGACACUCGUGGCAGGCAACCGAUUUACAGGAUAUCGUAGGAGCUCAAUGUUGCCCGUUGUUGUUUAUUAUGUUAGGAAAGGAUUAGUUCCUAUAUAAUCUUUAUAUGGUGGUGUUGAUCCUUUUUUUUUUUCAAUUUGGACUCUUAUUUUUAUUUGAGGUGUCCAGAUUGACUUGUAUCUCACAGUUGAUCUUCACCAUCGCAAUCUGGAUCCGCUCGAUAAACUAUGUAGAUUUGACGCAUUUCUAAUGAUUAACUUGGUAAUUUAAAGCCCCUAUGAUUAAACUUUGAGCCACCAUUUUCAGUCAACUACAAAGACAACUGUGUUUUUCAAAAAACGUAAUAUUGUUAUUAUUAUCAUUUCUGAUUACAUAAAUGCAUUUUGUGGUUCCUGAUGCAGGCAUGGAGUAAAGCAGUUUCGGAACUGCUGGGCUGAUGGGGUGCCUAUGGUCACCCAAUACCCUAUCCAGCCGAACAAAGAUUUCACUUAUCGGUUCAAUGUCGUCGGGCAGGAAGGCACUCUGUGGUGGCAUGCUCAUGUCCCCGGCCUACGGGCAACCCUCCAUGGCGCAUUCAUCAUUCGGCCAAGGCUUGGGGCUGAGUCAUAUCCAUUUCCUAAGCCUCAUAAGGAGAUCCCAGUUAUUAUAGGUUUGUGUACCUUUCUGAUAUUGAUUGCUGAUCAUCUGAGAACAUAAACGAUUUUUAGGAGCAAUUUUUAAUUGGGACCCAUUUGAGGAGAACAAAAUGUGUCAAGUCCUCUGGGAAAUGAAUUAUGCAAUUUCGCCAUGCUUGUGCAACUACCUAGUAGAUGUGAAAUGAUCCUGACGAUUACAGGGGACUGGUGGGAGGAGGACCUUGCAGAGAUGGCCCGGAACAUGACGAAGGGCAUCUUUUUGUCUUAUGCUAGUGCCUCCACAGUCAAUGGCUUGGUCGGAGAUCUCUUCAAUUGCUCCGGUAAGCAGUUAUUUAAUUGAUGUACAGUAGCCCACUGGCUCUGUUUUAAUGUCAUUUAGUGCAUUUAAACAGCUGGUUUGACCGAUAAUUCGCUAGAAGAUGGGUGAUCGACUAUUUACAAUUGUGUUAGGUGAAAAAAUACCGAUAUAUCCUUUUCUUUGGCUCUGUUUUUAUUAUAGUUCAUCUUUCAGGUGUCACAAAAGAAGGAUAUGUUCUGGAUGUGGAGCCUGGCAAGACCUACCUGCUACGAAUAAUCAAUGCCGGCCUCUUCUCUGAGUUCUAUCUUAAGAUCGCUGGGCACAAGUUCACGGUGGUUGCUGCCGACGCUAACUACGUCAGCCCGUUCACCACAGAUGUCAUCGCAAUCGCAGCUGGCGAGACAGUGGAUGCCUUGCUGAUUGCCAAUGCAGCCCCUGGCAGGUACUACAUGGUCGCCCUACCCAAUCAGGCACCAUUGCCUGACACCCAAACUCCGGAGUACGCUACAAGGGGGAUGGUGCGGUAUAAGGUCAGCCACAGCACCUGCACUAGCUCAACGACAGUGAGCUCAUGCCAGGGUACAGAAGAAGAAGAAAAAGGAUAUCGAGGUACAUCUGGUGAUGCUCCAAUAGUGCCUAAGAUGCCUGACAUACAUGACACAAUUACAUCGUUCUACUUCCAUGGCAACCUGACCAGCCUGCACCACCAAGGGCAACUUCCAGUCCAGCAACAAGUCGAUGAGCGCCUCUUCAUCGUGCUUGGCCUCGGCACCAUCUGCAAGAAAGGCCAGUUCUGUAAGAGGGGUAGCAGUGACGAGGACCUCCUAGUGGCCACGAUGAACAAUGCUUCCUUCCAGCACCCCACAGCGAUACCAACACCACUACUAGAAGCGCACUACUACCACACCGGCCUCAUCAAUGCCACGACACAAGAGCUUCCGAAGGGGCCACCGAAAUUGUUCAACUUCACCGAUGAAGCCUUAAUCCCUUUUGGACCCAAAGAGAUGCAGCUAGAGCCAACUUACAAGGCGACGUUGGUCCGGAGGUUCCGACACGGUGCUGUGGUGGAAAUAGUCUUUCAGAGCACAGCGAUCCUACAGGGAGACUCCAAUCCAAUGCACCUACAUGGGCAUGACAUGAUUGUGCUUGCACAAGGCCUUGGCAACUAUGAUCCAGCGAAGGCCGUGGCCACGUACAACCUGGUUAAUCCACUAAUAAAGAACACUGUGCUUGUCCCAAAUCUUGGGUGGAUCGCCAUCCGAUUUGUCGCCAAUAAUCCAGGUGUGUAUAAGAUUUGAAUGCUAGUUUCAUGUUGGAAAAUAUUAUGUGGAAACCCCUAUCUUGGUUUAAUCGUGGAAAGCCCUAGUGAACCUCCCUUGAAUAUAUUUUUGUAUAGGUCGUCGAUUGUUGGAAAUAGUCUUGUGAACUUGUUUAUUUGAAGUUUAGAGAAAAUCUUGCUAAAAGGUAGAAGAUUGGACUUCACUAGCAGCAUAACAUUAUGUUUGUUCCAUUUAUUAUUUUAGACCAUGAAAGUCCUCAAGACGUUCAAGUUUGCUGUUGUUAAUUAUGCGUUAUAAGGCCUAAACUGUUGUAGGAAAGGAAAAUUCUGGAACAAAAGAUGUAAGCAUAUUUCAUUUAUUUAACCUUCCAGUCAAUACAUAUUUCUAGAGCCACAAAAACAAGUCUUAUGAUAAAAUAGCGCAAAAUUUUAUCAAUAAGAAAUCAUUCAUCUUCUAGAUUUUACUUCCUUCUAUCCCAAAUAUAAGCCUAUCAAGACUCGUGUUCUUCAAUUCAGGUUUGUAUUCCAAUGACCAUAUUGAAUAAUACUCAAUUAACAAAAUUAUUACGGUGCUUUGUUCAUUUAAGCUAAAAAAUUGAUAACUUUAGAAAGGGGUCGGAUAAAAUAGGAAAGUGGAAUCAAAAUUAUGUCUCAAAGUUGUUUGACUACUAUUUGGUGCAUUGUGAGAAUGACCACUUACAUUUAUACUUGGUAUCUGAAGGAGUCAAUUUUUUAAGCAUUCCACGAGACUUCAAUAUAAUUAUCCAGAGUUGUAUUCCUAGGAAAUUAUUCAAUAAAAUUUAUUAUAGUGUUUUUCCGAUUCGCACCCAUAUUUGUUUGUCUAAGUUGCCUGCCAAAGCACCUCUUGGCGUCAAAAACUAACUUAUUGUCUUUUAUGUUGUACAGGGGCAUGGUUCAUGCAUUGCCACUAUGAGUUUCAUCUAUCAAUGGGCAUGGCAGCAGUCUUUAUUGUAGAGGAUGGACCAACAAAUGACACGUCUCUCCCUCGACUGCCAGUGAAUUUUCCGACUAUUGGUCAAGACAUCAAUCUCAUGCCCAAUGACUUAUAUCUCAAAACUAUGAAAAGUUAAAACUAGUGCACAAAGGGAGUACCUGUGUAUGUAUGAAGACAACUCCUAUUACUUAUUUUGAAUAAAUGGUUAUGAAUAAUGGAUGUGCGUCAUGAGAUAAAUGUACAUAUAUUAUUAAUGUCAAACUUUUUUGAACUGAUAAAAUGUCAUGCACCUAACCAUUUGGAUUGAAAAGAUGUCGAACUAGUCAUGGUUGCAUCGCCACCCACACAAUACCUUAUCCAUGUCGGCCAAUCAGUACCGGUCGAAAACCAGAAGGGCCAUCUACAUUGGCUGAGCAACCAACCCGCACAGGGCUUGAAAACAAUGACCAGCUUCACUGCACAAUAUUUGUAUUAGCAUGAAGAAGCCUGGCACCGAUAAUAUCCGUCUCAUCCAUACAUGCUGAGCUUCCAUUAAUAUUAGCAUUGGCACAGACAUAUAUCAUCUCUCAAGAAGCCCCUGAUAUGUAAAAGCAUGUUGUUGGCGCUACAAUUUUACUGACCACAUGCCAAGCAUAUGCAAUUACUUGGAUUCAAUGUUGAAGCAUAGUUAUAUUUUUUUCACACGAUGUCGAGAAGGAGAAGACCGCAGGCACAAUUCAGUGAAUCAUGGUCAAGUAUUGUCGAGGAGGAGGAGAAGACCGCAGGCACUCAUUUGCUGAAGGAGUUACGUUUUGCAGGCAAUGCAGCAACUUAUUCGGAAGUUCAACACACUGAAUAGUAUUGUCUUCCUUGCAAACUCUUCCACAAGCUGGAGUGCUAACUUGCAUUCCAGGAGUGGGUGAACUUUCUAGAAAGACUGACAUUUUUUUCCGCAUGUUUGGUUCGGGAACCAUGCCCCCUAAGCCCUUUCAUGCAUACUUCUCCAAUAAGAGAAUCACUCCAAGAUGAAGGAACAUCUUGCUCGGCGUCCUCGGAAUUUUGGUGCAAAAAUAUUUGUAAUAUCUUCUGGUCAUGAGCUUCUCGUCAUUCAUGAUCAUCAAAAUAUUACCGUGGUCUGUAGGCUGUAAUGCUCCACGAUUGGUUCCCCGAAAGCUAUGAGUAGAGAUGGGUAGAAUACGGAAAUUCAUGACGCCAUGCACGAUCCAUAGUCCCAGGCCUUCCAAGCACUAAUGAGCAAACACUGAUUUAGAUCUAGUGGAAUGACAUCACGAAUCAUAACAUCACCGUGUCCACAUAAUGAAAACUUCACCUUCACCUUGUGUACGUAUAAACCACGGUUAUUUAACCAUGAAAUAUCUGGCCUCGUAUGAUGCAUCCGCGACAGUCCCAAAACAUUCACAAGACAUUCACUUGCAGCAUUGAUGACAGAGAAUUGAUCCACAAUCGUAGCACUUGUACCCGCAACAACUUCACAGCGAGUGUAGCACAUGGAAAGAUCAGGAUCCACGGUUGGAUCCUGCUCAUAAUUUCGCAAUGCAGUGCCCAGAAUCAUGGUAGCAAUCAUAAAAAAAAAUCUCAAAUAGUACAGUUAACAGCAGAUAUACCGUGAUCAACUUAGCAAAACUGAUACGACCUGAUAAGGACAUGCUUGCUGUGCACAGGAUCUGUCCCAAUCUUUGACGGUACUAAUCACUUACAGAAUUUAGUCUCAAUAGUAUGGCUGUCCAAUAUAUGCUCCCUUUCUAAAUUCAGUUGUCGUGAUUAUUUGCAGACUAGGAAUGGUGAUAGACUAAUCUGAAAAUACUAGCAAAACAGAUACUGCACAAGAUAUAGCUUCUUGUACAGAGCCAAAUAACUGGAAUAUGAACAACAGCAUUCAUAGCUAUCUUCUUUUAAAUCAGGCAACAGCUGGACACUCUUACAGCCACAAGAUGGAAAUCUCCACAGACACUACCGGAAACCUUAAAUUUGCCGAGUGUUUUUUUCGGACACUUGGCAAACAAGCUCUUUGCCGAGUGCCGGGCUAAGAACACUCGGCAAAAAAAACACUCGGCAAAUGAUGGAUUUGCCGAGUGUCAGAAAAAAAACACUCGGCAAAAAGUGGGUUUGCCGAGUGUCAAAAAAACACUCGGCAAAGAGUGUGAUUUGCCGAGUGUCAAAAAAAACACUCGGCAAAACAAUAAAUUUUUUUCCUCUUUCCACCUUGAAAUUUUUUCUACUACCCACAUACAACAUGUGGUACUCCAUGUUAAAGUUUGGUAUAUUUUUGAAUUUGUUUGCUAUAUUUAUUUAAUUAAUUGUAUUUCAAGAAAAUUUUUGGUAUAAGUCAAAUUUGAACUGCAAGUGAUUCAAAUUAUAGAAUAAAAUGAGUAGAAAAAUGACCAAUUUGAGACCUGACCCAAUUUUAAUUGCAUUUCAUGUUAUUGGCCCAAUUUGAGACCUGACCCAUGAAAUAAAAAGAAAUUUCGAACAUCUUGUUCAGGAAACACGACCACGAACGUGUGGCAGUGGUAUUUUUAAAUUGUAAAAAAAACAAGCAAAGUCUGAAAAUCAUGAGAUUUCUCAUGAUGUGAUGAUAUCAUACGUGGAGGCUAUGGAAAAAAUUGAGAAGGUUUUGCAUAUUUUGUCACGUACGAUGUUUACAAACCGACGCAUCUCAAAAGAAGAAUAGUAACGUUGAGAAGGAUUGGAUAAGAUUUGGAGUCAAAAUGACAGUCGAGUUUUGAUUUGACUACAAAACUUCUUGUAUAGUCAAUAGAGAAUAUACAUUAUUUCAUGUGAAUUUUUGGCAAUUUUUUGAAAUUGUUGGAUAAUUUUAUUUUUUUUAAAAUAGCUUUGCCGAGUGUCCUAGGUUAGACACUCGGCAAAGCAACCCUUUACCGAGUGUCACACCUAGGACACUUGGUGAUUUUUUUCCCACACCGCGCAGGACAUAAAGUCCCACCAACCAGCACCGCACCCGGCCCCUCAUCUUCAUAUGUUGUGGAUGGUAAUUCAUUAUUCUCAGGAAGAAUCUUCUUGACAAUGUUCAACAUCCCCUGAAAUGCCUUAUUGGACACACCAUUUUUUGCCUUCCAUUGCACAAAUUCUAGUGUCGUACCUAGUUUUUUAUGGCCCUACUGGUAACAUGGGUACAACAAUUUUUGGUGAUCAUCUAUCAUGCGCUGCAACUUUGCUGCUUCCUUCUCAGUUUCGCAAUCUCUGUGUGCAUCUCGUAUCACCUGACCAAGGUCAUCAGUAGAGCCAUUUUCUGCAAACUCAUCUUCAUCAGCCUCGCCCAUUGUAGUAUCUGCAAAAGCUUGGCCUGCAACCCAGUCCGGAAUGCUUUCAUCUUCCUCCUCCUCCUCGCCAUCUUCCAUUACAACCCCUCGUUGACCGUGCUUGGUCCAAACCAAAUAGUUAGGCAUGAAACCGUAUUUAAACAAGUGGCUGUGAAUAGUCCCCCAGGAAUAAUUUGAAUACUCCUUCUUGUUAUUGCAUUGGAAGCAUGGACAACAUACGAACCCAUUCUCUGGCUUGUUCGCUUUGGCCACUUCGAGAAAAUAAUGCAAGCCAUCAAUAAACACCUUGCUCCACCUGUCUGCAUUAUACAUCCAUUGCCGGUCCAUCUGCAUCGUAUUACGCAUGAAAAUGGAUUACACUUGACAAUGGAUUAUGCGUGAAAAUUGAUUAAAGAUCCAAACAACAUGAUACAAUACAACAACAUGAAGAUCCAAAUAUACAUAUUUAAAUUAAAGAUCCAAACAACAUGAUACAAUACAACAAGCCAUCCACUGGUUAUUAUCUAGGAGGACUUUAAGCAUCCUUGGGCGGUGAAGACGAAGGUUCCACUGACCCAGCCUCAUCCUUAGGUUUAUUUGUGCCGCCUGAACUGGUAGUACUAAGUGGACGUGAAACACCCGGGACUGAGGGUGGAGCAUAACGACCACCAAAAGGAGGUUCCUGACCCGAGGCAACAGCUUCUUCAUGACGGUGCUGCAAAUAACAAAACAUUGCUUUUUCCAACGCGCUCAUUUUCUUCGGCUUAUGCUGAGGGCCAACUAUGAUUUUCCCCUUGCCGAAAGAGGAACCACGACCACCCCCACCAUCACCACUUCCUCCAGUAGCAGAAGCUAUCUAUGUACAAAAACUAUUACCUUAACACUGCAUAAGUUGUUGAACUUGAAGACCGUGAUCAUCUCGUGAGCAUGUCCUCAACUGGACGGCACCGCACUUCGUCAUGAAAGAGGUUCGAUUCUACGGAAAAGGGGACACAGUCACGAUGUCUGUAUCCACUCAUUCUCGUAGAAUCGAACCUCCUUCUUGACAUACGUUGCUGCUCGGCGGAGAACAUCCUCUCAGAGAUGACCAUGGUAUGCAAGUUCAACAAGUAUGGAUUUGAAAAACCAUAUUGAAUUUGAUAAGUUCAACAAGUAGCAGAAACCAUCUAUGUACAAAAAUUAUUUCCUUAGCACUGCAGAAGUUGUUAAACUUGAAGACCGUCAUCAUCUCCCGAGCAUGUUCUCAACUGGGCGGCACUGCACUUCGUCAUGAAAGAGGUUCGAUGCUACGAAAAAGGGGACACGGUCACGAUGUCCGUAUCCACUCUUUCUCGUAGAAUCGAACCUCCUUCUUGACAUACGUUGCUGCUCGGCAGAGAACAUCCUCGCAGAGAUGAACACGGUAUGCAAGUUCAACAAGUAUGGAUUUGAAAAACCUUAUUUAAUUUGAUAAGAUAAACCGUCUAGACAAGGUAGCAUCAUUCUUAAACCACUGCAAGAAUACAUACUAUAUAUGACACAUCAAUCUCUCUUACAUUCUAGCUCAAAAUACCUCACCAUUUUCUACUUCAUCACAUUCUAGCAAUUAAUCUUUCCAUCUCCAAAGCAUAAAUCAAAGCAUAACAUGAGGAUGAAGUAGCAAACCUUCACAACACUUGUGUUGGCUGAGUAAAAUUCCCAUGAAAAUGAGGGAAAAAACUUCGGGCAGCACCUCCCUUGCUUUGUCACCACCGGAGAGUAGGUGAAGCUCAGCUCUCUGUCUAUGUGCUGGACUGGCUCGGGCUGGAGGAGGAAGAAAAGCCUCUGUCUUGGUAUAUAAUGGGAAUGAGUUUUUAUCCCGGUUAAAAACUCCAACCGAGAUAAAAAGGAACACCUUUUAUCCCGGUUGAAAGUUUAGUCCCGGUUGAAAGUUUAGUCCCAGUUGGAAGCUGCAACCGGGACUAAACUUUUUGUGCUGUAAUGAAAAAAAUAUGUUGUUUAUAUUUUGUAUAAUAAAUUUACAAAUAUUUAUAUUGUGAUCCUUGCAAACACUUCCACGAGAUCGAGUGCUAACUUGCAUUCUGAGGGUAGGAGAACUUUCUAGAAAAGCCGAUCUUUUUUCAGUAUGUUUGGUUCGGGUACCAUGCCCUCUAAGCCCUUACAUGCAUUCUUCUCUGGUAAUAGAAUCACUCCAAGAUGAAAGCACAUCUUGCUUGGUGUCCUAAAAAUUUUGGCCAAAGAUAUUUGUCAUCUUCGGGUCACCUACCAUUGAUGUAAUCUUCUAUUUCUUGACACAAGCUUCUCUUCGUCGGCGAUCAUGUGGUGUGCAGGCUGUAAUGCUGAAACAUUAGUCCCCCAAAAUAUAUGAGUAGCGGUGGGCAGAAUACGGAAGCUACAUCAUGAUGCCAUGCACGAUCCAUAGUCAAGGGCCUUCCAAGCAACAAUGUGCAAACACUGGUUUCAAAUGGAAUGACAUCACAAAUCACAAAAGCACAACUCCACACGGUGAAAACUUAAACUUCACGUCAUGUUUAAUCUUAAUACCUUGCUUAUUUCACUAUAAAGUAUAUGGCCUAUGAUUCAUCCGUGAUGGUCCCAAAACUUUCACAAGACAUUCAUUUGCUGCAUUGAUGGUAGAAAAUGGAUGCACAAUCGUAGCACAUGUACCCGCACCAACUUGACAGCGAGUGUAGAACAUAGAAAGAUUAUGAUCCAAGGUUGCAACCUGUUCAUAAUUUUGCAAUGCAUCCCAAUAAACCUCAUUGUAGCUAUCACCAAAUAAAAAAUCAGAAACAAUACAAUUACUGGCAUAUGUACCAUGAUCAACCUAUCAAAACUGAUUUGACCUAAUAAGGACAUCCUUAAUUAAAUCACCACGUGUCCACGGCAUCGGCGGAGCUACUGGGUAUGCCGGGUGGGCCCUGGCAUACCCUGGGACCCAUCACUUUACCGUGAGAAAUCAAGCUGCAAAAAAUGAUUCUCAGGCCCAGCAGACGAUGCAAGGCAAAUGAUGCUCAGGCCCAGCUUUUGGCCCCCCGCUGGUUGUGACUUGCUUGCGUGGAUACGACGUGCUGUGUGCGGACUGCUUGCUUUGCUUGUCUCUAGUACAAGAUUGGCCCACGAUUUGACGCAUCACACCACAUCUCGACGAUUACAACUUCUCCGCCCGCCAGGACUCCUCCUAUCCUCUCACGGCUCCGCCGCAGCGCCGCCGGCCACCGCACCAGGCCACCAGGGACAGCGCGUCUGCGCAAGUGCGCAACUGCGUGGGGGAUUUUAUGCCCGAAAACUUCUGAUGGUCCAUAAGGAAAACUUCUCAUCGUCCACAAACCACAAGGAGGUUUAAGAUGAAUCUAUCUUCUAUUUUUUUUCUUAUUUGAAAAGACAUAUAUUCUUAAAUAUUUUUAUUUAUUUAUGUAUGAGUGCUUUUUUUAUUUCAGUUCGUGAGUUUAUUGAACAGACCGUCAAUCCAUCAACAUUCUUAACUUAAUAUCGUGUGAGGUUGUGAUUUGUAAGUUUUCUAUCCGAAAAUUUAAAACAUGAUUCUAUCGUUACAUGUUUGUUUUGCUAUAAUGUCUAGUUAGUUAUUGUACUUACAUUACAUAGACAUUGUUUUUUCAGAACAGUUGGAUUAUGAAGAGAGGCGGAGAUAUUGCAUCUCUUUUUCAGAAACAUGCAGCAAAGAAGGCAACAGCUGCUUCAAACACUAUCCCAUCUCCAGUUGAAACUUUUGUGGAAGAACAGAAUCAGGAGCAUGAUAGAGUGGUAGUUGAAGAAAUCGCGGAUCCUGUGCCCUUGCCUCCGCCACUGCAACCACCCACAUCACAGCCGCCGGUUUAUGACAUCAAUCGCCUUCCACAUGAUCCAGGUGAAAGGCAGCCCAUUGAAAGUUAUCAUGUUAAUGAUCAAGAUGCAAUUCGAAGAGCAUAUAUUAUUAAAGGUCGAUUCAAACCUGUUAAUCAUGAUUUUCCAUCAAGAAAAAUUGGAGGUAGGGAUCGCCAAUUCAAUUAUGUAUGGAUGUAUAAUCAUGAGUGGCUUGAAUAUAAUAUCAAGAAGGAUUCUGCGUUUUGCUUUAUAUGCUACUUGUUCAAGAAGGGUGCUGGGUCAAAUACAUUUAUUGUUGGAGGAUGGAAUAAUUGGAAUAUACGAAACAAAGCACUUCUCAAACAUAGUGGUUCUAUGGCACACAAUGCAGCUCAGGAGAGAUACAUUAGUUUUAUAAAUCCCAAGGUAGCAAUUGAUUAUCACAUUGAGAAGUGGACUGAUGAGGAUCUUCGUCUUUAUAAGAAAAGGUUGACAUAUUCACUUAGAUGUAUCAAGUUUCUUUUGCAUCAAGGAUUGGCAUUUCGUGGACCUGAUGAAAAUGAAGAAUCUAGCAACAGAGGAAAUUUCAUUGAACUUUUGAAGUUUCUUGCAGGAAAUAGUGAUGAAGUGAACAAGUAUGUCUUGAAUAAUGCUCCAGGUAAUUGCACCUUAACUAGCCCAGAGAUACAAAAGCAAAUUAUUCAUUGUUGUGCCAUAGAAACUAGAAAGAAAAUAAUUGAAGAACUUGAUGAUGAGCCCUAUGCAAUUUUAGCUGAUGAGUCCAGUAACAUAUCACAUAAAGAACAACUAGCUCUUUGUUUACGUUAUGUUGAUAAACUUGGAAGGCCUUGUGAACACUUUAUUGGAGUUGUUCAUGUAGAUGAUACUACCUCUUUGUCACUUAAGGAAGCUAUUGAGGGUUUACUUGUUAGUCAUGGAUUGACUAUGACUCAAAUUAGUGGUCAAGGUUAUGAUGGGGCCAGUAAUAUGAAAGGAGAUAUUAAAGGGCUAAAAACAUUGAUUAUGCAAGAAUCACCUUGUGCGUAUUAUAUUCAUUGCUUUGCACAUCAACUCCAACUAGUUCUUGUUGCUGUUGCCAAGAGAAAUACUGAUUGUAAGAGCUUUUUUGAUCAAGUAUCUAUCUUAUUGAAUAUUAUUGGAGUUUCUUGCAAGCGUCAUGGUAUGCUUCGAACUGCUAGGCUUGAGAAUAUUAAGAAAGCACUUGAGUGUGGUGAACUUGAAUCAGGGAGUGGAUUAAAUCAAGAGAUGAGUUUGCCUAGGCCUGGUGAAACUAGAUGGGGCUCUCAUUACAAAACUAUAUGCAGCAUCAUUACAAUGUAUUCCUCAAUCCAUGAUGUGCUCAUUGAUCUUGGUGAUGAUAUUUCACAUAAGGAUAAUUGGACAAAGAUACAUUUUGUGCUUGGAGCAUUUGAAACUUUUGAGUUCAUUUUCUUUGUGCACUUAAUGUUUGUUAUUCUUGGAUACACAAAUGAGUUAUCAGAGUGUUUGCAGAGAAGGGAUCAAGAUAUUCUUAAUGCAAUCUCCCUUGUUAAUGUGGCAAAGAACAAAAUGCAACAGUUAAGGUCUGAUGGUUGGGACCACUUCCUUGAGAGGGUCACUUCUUUUUGCAUUAAACAUGAUGUUGAAGUUCCUGCUAUGGAUGGUGAUUAUGUGCCGUAUGGAAAAUCAGCAAGGUAUGCCCGUGCUCGAAACCAAACAAAUGAUGAUCAUUUUAGAAGAGAAGUAUAUAUUGGUGUUAUUGAUCAAAUUAGGCAAGAGCUUGAUAAUCGGUUUGAUGAGAUCAAUAUGGAGCUACUUUCGUGUAUGUCAGCCUUCAGUCCUUCCAAUUCAUUUGCUUCGUUUGAUGCACAGAAGGUACGCAGAUUGGCUGAAUUUUAUACUAAGGACUUCUCUAACAAUGAUUUGCUAAAACUUGAAUUACAACUUGAUAAUUAUAUUGAUGACAUGCGACGAGAUGAUAGCUUCAAGGGUCUAGACAGCAUCGUUGAUCUCUCAGUUAAACUUGUUCAAACACGGAGGCACAAAGUGUAUGAUAUGGUUUACUUGCUUCUCAAAUUGAUAUUGCUUUUACCAGUGGCAACAGCGAGUGUUGAAAGGGUAUUUUCUGCCAUGGUUAAAGUGAAAACAAAGUCAAGGAAUAAGCUAAGUGACAGUGUUUUGGAUGAUUGUCUAGUCACAUUCAUUGAGCGGGAUAUUUUCUUCCAAGUGAAUGAAGAAGAUAUAAUCAAGACAUUCAUGUCAUUCAAAAAGCGGCGGGUAAACAAAGGAGACAAGUAACAUUGUAAGUUUCUUUUAUGCUAUAUUUUGAACUAUUUAUAUUGUGAUUUGUUAUUGUUUCUAGCUUAAUCUUUGAAUUUAUCGAAUUGUAAAUGGUUUUAUCGAAUUGCAUAAAAAUUUUUUUUGGCAUACCCUAUGAUAAAAUUCUAGAUCCGCCGCUGGUUCACGGUUUUCUGGUUGCUCAGCUCAUAAGCAAUUGAUCAUGCUUGAUCAUUGUUGGGCCAUUGCAUGUCCAUUGGCAAUCUUGACAGAAAUAAUUGAGCUACCAAUAAUAGUGUUGCACGUGUCUGUAACGGGAUGUACGGCGCCUGACAAUAAUAGGGCACCAUCCUUUCGAUCUGACAGACAUAUUUGUGUUACAUUCCUAGUGUUUGUAGUAUUUUUAUUUUCCGCUCAUGUCUACUGAUAAUUUUGCUAUAUAUGGUGCCAUUCUAAGUGUCCUUUUGUGGUCAGCAACUCGAGCCCCUGCUGGCCACAUCAUAGCUUGUCUGCUGGCCUGGUGCGCGUGAACCACGAGGGGAGGACCACAGUGGGCGCUCAGACAAUGUGCAUUAAGUCUGAGCUAAGCUGCCUUCUUCCUCAUCUUGUUAGUGGCCGUUUGACCCGGGACUAAAGGUCCUUAGUCCCGGGUCUAAAAACAAUCGGGACUAAAAACGCUGGAUAGGAGGUCUCUUAACCUAUCAAAACUGAUUCGACCUAAUAUGGACAUCCUUAAAUCACCACGUGUCCAUGGUUUUCUGGUUGCUCAGCUCAUAAGCAAUUGAUCAUGCUUGAUCAUUGUUGCGCCAUGUCCAUUGGCAAUCUUGACAAAAAUAAUUGAGCUACCAAUAAUAGUGUUGCACGUGUCUGUAACGGGAUGUACGGCGCCUGACAAUAAUAGGGCACCGGAACCUGCAAUAUGUCUGGCCGGAAUAUGCAAUAAAAUCCUUUCGAUCUGACAGACAUAUUUGUGUCACAUUCCUAGUAUUCGUUGUAUUUUUAUUUUCUGCUCAUGUCUACUGAUUAUUUUGCUAUGGGGCCUGAUUGGUUUGUUGCCAAAUGUGCAUGCCAAAGUUUUGCCAAGCCAAAAGUUGAGCAAGAAACUUGCUAAUAUUUUAGUAAGAUAAGUGGGAGAGAUUGCUAAAUUUUGGUAACAAACCAAACAAUGGCCAAAAUAUUAGCUUGCCAAAUCCCUGGCAUGCCAAAAUUUUGGUAGUGAACCAAUCAGGUGCCAUUCUAAGAGUCCUUUUGUGGUCAGCAACUUGAGCCCCUGCUGGCCACAUCAUAGAUUCAUAGCUUGUCUGCUGGCCCGGUGCGCGUGAACCACGAGGGGAGGACCGCAGUGGGCGCUCAGACAAUGUACAUGAAGUCUGAGCUAAGCUGCCUUCUUCCUCAUCUCAUAAGCAGUUGAUGCAUGCCUUACAGUGACUGACAUGGCCCAAUGGCACCAAUCCUGCUAACACAAAAUAAUAUUUCAAUCAUUUUUGGGAAAAAGGAGGGUCCAAUUUUGACUCCAUAUGCAAAAGUUGCGCCUGUUUUAUCGAACACUAUGCAAGUUAUAUUAGGGUUUUUUGGGUGCAUGUUUCAAUUGACAACUAAAGAUUAUCUACAACCAAGGACUCCACUAGACUGGCAAAACGGAAGUGAAAUUUUGUAGUUGAAAACCUUUUUCAUUAAAUUGAAGUCGUUUGUAUAUGUAAAUUGUGACAAAAUGUUCUGGACGGUAAUGGUUAAAAGGAAGCCAAGCAUGGGUGUAGUGGCCUGGCUAGAGGGCAUCACGCAUAGGUUUGAGGUUGGAGGUUUGAAAGACAAUCAAAACACUUGUGUUAAUGGCACCGCAAAAAUGGUUGAGGCAAGGGGUUGCAAACGAACCGACUGUACAGUCGGAUCACAAAACGUUAGUACAAAUUGUACAGAUGCUUGCUUAAAGUCGGUUCACAAACCUUCAGUAUAAAUAGUUCUGUAAUAGUGAUUUGUAGUUGUAAUAUAUCACAGGCCGAAACAUGCAGAUACAGGCAUCCCAGGACAUGCAACGAAAAGGAGAAAACAAGUGAUCAUUUUAUUGGUGUUUUAAACCGUCAUGUAACUCAUGUUUACUUUUGUUACAAGAAAUAGAAAUGCACAAAGACAUUUCUAUAAUACUAUUACUUUGCUACGUGGAAUUGGAACUUUGUAUCUGUGUCGUGGUUAGCGUCACGGUGCGGCAGAGGUAUCUCUGGAGCUGCCGAGCUAGUGCUGGUAGGAAUCUGUGUCGUUGUGGCCUUGUGGCCUUGUGGCAUGGUAGGUGCUCAGCAAUUAAUCGCACGUAUUGAAAACGUGUCUGUGGUCCUAUUGCUCAGCUCACCAAGCUCAUAUAAUGUCUUACACAGCAACGCACAGCAGCCAUGGCGAGCAUGGAGAGCCGAAGCCUCCCCAGGGCAGCAGCCACCUCAAUGGCGCAAGCUAUCGCCAUUGUCUUCCUGAUCUCAACUGUUGUCCAAGAACUUAAUAAUAUAACACCUAUGUCAAAGUUUUCAAGCAUGGCCACAAGCUCGCGCAGGCAGACCUAAUUACCAUUCCGAGGCAGUCUCAACUGUUGGCUCAAGAUCUGACGAUUGCUGCCAUUCCAAUUUCGAUUAAAAACACGUAGUGAUGACAGCUCACUGGAACCCUAACUUCACCCCUUAGGCCCUAAUUUCACUUUCCCCCUCACGUCUCCUCCUUCCUGUCUCUUUAUGUUAAUUUUUAUACUCGAAAAAUGUGAGAUUGAACUAACUGUAUCUCUAGACAUUAUGUAAAAAAAUAUGAAAAUAUCAACAAUAUAGUUUCGACAACCAUUCAUAAAUUAAAUAUUAAUAAUAUGAAAUCGGCAUGCAUGGUGUCGGGUCCAUGGUGUGCUAUCCGUGUGUUAGGCGGAGUGAGACUGAGAGAUGAUGGAGAAAGUAGAGGCCUAGUACACGUCAGUUAUUUUCUGUUACUUUCUUAAUGUUCUUUUUGUGGUUAGGCAUCUGACUGGCACAUCAUAAGUUUGUCCUGGGCUGCUCAGCUCACAUGCAAUUGAUGCUUGACAGUGACUGUCAAAACUAGUGUUGCUCGAUUUGACGGCUUAUACAUGGAUGCCUGACAAUCACAAUGAAACCUCCAUGUUCAAACACAAUCACAAUGCAAAUGCCUGCCCUUGGAUCCGACUGAUACAUUUGUGUACUGACCACUGCUGGCAACAUCAUAGCUUGUCUGCUGGCCUGGUGCGCGUCAACCACGAGGGCAGGACCAGUGACCUGGCAAGGUGAGGUGGGUCGCUCAGACAUGGUGCUUUAAGUCUGAGGUGACUCUGCUUUAUUCGUCUUUCUUUCAACAGUGUUCAACAUCCAUCGAUCAUGAUUUGUGAAGUACCUGGAUUUAUUACUUAAUAUAGCAUUUCUCAUCUAACAUUGCACAAAGACCUUCAUGAAUUCUUGAUUGCUUUUUGGAACGCGGAAAGCACAAUCGUUAUUUUCCUUUAUAAGUUCAUUAAAUGGCCAUGAACCACGAUACAUUCAUAGCUUUUACCGUGUUGGCAAUUUAUAACUAAACAUGGUCUACAAACAAGGACUCCCCUAGACCAGCAAAACGGAAGAGGAAUUUUGUAGUUGACAACCUUUUUCAAUAAUUUUAGAAUAUCUUCAUUUAUUUAUCAAUUCUAGUUUUACUAUCCGGACCAGUUUGUGUAAACGCCAGCACGGGUGCUAAUUAUAUGCGUCGGCUUCAUUAUGUUGGUAUGAUAACCGAUACAGAUGACAUUUUAGCGGUACGGAUGAGGUGCUCUCUAGUUGUAAUAAUCAACUCUUAAAAAUAUAACUUAGAAACUCGUCUUGGUCACUCGUGCUGCUUUGCAAGUUAAGCACUUUGAGUGCUAUAGUUCUUUUUAACAUGUCUACAUUGAUGGAUCGAGUGCCAUGAUUCUUUUGUGUUUACUUUGAAAAGAAGAAGAUGGCUUAGAUUCUGCAUUCAGAGUUUGAACCUACAAGUGUCAAGGGGCCAUACAUUCCUGAUUUCCUGUGUGCAUUGUUGGCUGUUGUUUGCCACUAAUAUAAUACAGACACCGUCGUACUUUCUAUUGGAUGUGGAUGUCCUAUUUUUCUGAUUCUAAUGCUUGUGCAUUUAUUAAGGAUCUAGAAACAAAAUUGACAGCGCGGCUUUCAGUUAAAAUAAUAUAAGUAAUUAGGAGUAAUGUGAUCAAUUCUCACAACUAAUAAUAAUAAUGUGUCUGAUUUUUUUCAAAAAAAAACUUAUUUGGGAACAGUGGGAUCGAGUACUCUUUUUUAGGUGCAUUUAAACUUACUUAUGCUAUUGGAUCAGGGGCGCCGGACACCACUGAAGUAUCACUAAUUAGCUAGUUCACCACGCUCCAAACCAAAAUGGAUUGAGAAAUUAAAAUGGAGCCGGAGGAGCAGUGCCUCGGAAUCGUAUCUCUUCGGCAAGCCAGGGGACAGGCUCUGGUGACGGGGCGCGUUGUAAAAGCCGCUCUUUUUGUCCGGUUCGACCUGUUCUGAAUCUAUUGCUCGAUUUGAGGGCCUAUACAUGUGCAAUGCAACAAUGGUGUUACAUCUCCAUACUCAUCUACCUAAUAGGGCACCGGCACAUGCAAUGCAAGUUCCUGCAUGCCUGCCCAUCGAUCCGACAGAGAGAUUGGUGUUAAUUAGAAUCAUAUUCGUCACUGACCAAAAUUUCCAGAUAACCAAGUCUAAUCAGUUACUGUAUAUGAUACUUUCAUGCUCAUGCCUACUGACCAUCUUACAAGUACUAUAUAUGAGUGUCCUUUUGUGGUCAGGCACUGCUGCGCGUGAACCACGAGUGGACGCCCAAUCAAAGUAACUGUGUCGUUGCGUGAGAUGCCUCCUCUCCUUGCCUCUUAAUUAUUAAGCCAUGUCCAACAACGACAACAACAAUGAUAAUAAUAAGGAACUGAGGUGAGACAGCUAUAUGCAUAAAUAUAAUUCAACAUAUGGACAAACAACAGAAUAUCUAAGACCUCCUAAUGAUCAGAGUUUUAUAUAUUUCGCUUUAUUUCAACAGUUAAACAUAAAUCGAAUAUGAUUCGUUGAGUAUCUACGAGCUUAGAACUUUUAUUAAGCGUUUAGGGCUAUGUUUGUUAGGAAUCCUUUUAUCAGUGAGUGCUGGUUGCUGAUUUGCUUCGAUCCAUGAAAAUAAGGAUAAAUUUGAAAAGAAAGCACAUAGGAAUCUUAGAGACUUUGUAGUGGGCAAUGCCUUCCAGUAGCUUCUCUUCUAAGCUAAAUUUGGCAUCAUAUGAACAAGUAGAAGCUUAGAUGGAUUAAGAGCUACAACUACAUACAAGAUGUUGAAGAAUACUCGAGUGUUUUUUCAUUGCGAAUGACCAUAAACGUUCUCUUCCUCUAGAAAUUUCUUCCAUAGAAAGAGUUUACAAAGAGACGAGCUGUGCACGGAAGACUUUGGUGCUAGCUCAAAGACGGGGCAGCUUGCUGCCUGGACGCAGCCUCGCCAUUUUGAGAACUGGUGUUAAUUACAGAGUCCCGGUAUGGAUGAGACCAAAUAUCUAAGUUGCGAGCGAUAGCCCGGAGCGUUGCAUUUGUGUCAGCAUUAUACGAGCGGAAAACCACGUUGUUGCGGCUGUUCAAAAUUCUCCACAGCACGAUCAGAAGAACAUGAUUCCAAGCGCCUUCAGAAAGGUGUGGGGGCUGCCCGCAGCUCCAUGGGUCUGCCUUUCCCGCGCCAUCAUAGGUGAUCAUCAGAGUAUCCCAAAUUGAAGCAGCAGCAGGACACUCGAAGAAGAGAUGCAUAUCGCUGAUUCCACUACCGUACCGCGCAGCCGCGAGGACAAAAGGCUUCAUCUUCCUUCAGGAUGUUUAUGUAUAUAUGUAAAUUAUCACAAAAUGUUCUGGCCGGUAAUGGUUGAAAGGAAGCAAAGCAUAGGAGGAGUGGCUAGAGUGCAUCACGUAGAGGUAGGCCUGCUAAUUGGAUUGAAAUCCAACUCUAACCCACACCAAUCCACAUCACGUUAAUUUCUUUUUUCAACCUAACUCACCCCAUAUCUAUAUUAUCUAAACCCAAACCGUUGAUAAAACUCAUGGUUUUGCUAUAUAUAUAAACCUAUGGGCUUAUAUAAAAAACUCGUAUAUAUUUGAAAUAAACGUGAGUCCACCAUGUGGGUCCUACGUGAAGAGCUAGACUCUAAAACUAAAAUGUCGUAUUCACACCUUAAAAUUUUAGCGAAAUUGAUCGAAAUUUGUUGGAGAUGACAGAGUUUGACUGCACGCUACAUUAUGCUAAAUAGUAUGGCUAAACAUACAUAGAGAAAUGAGGAAUGAGGUUGCAGGUUUGAAAGGCAAUCAAAACACUUGUGUUAAUGUCACGGAAAAAACGGUUGAGUCCAGGGGUUGCAUCACAUAUCCACCUAGGACCCUUGUGGUUGCAUCACAAUCGCACGUGUUGAAGAACGUGUGUGUGGUCCUAUAUAUUCUCCUAGAGGCACUCAGUCACCGGGGACUUCUAUUGCUCAGCUCACCAAGCUCAUAUAAUACCUAGUAGCUCGAGCACAGCAACGCACGCAGCCAUGGCGAGCAUGGAGAGCCGAAGCCUCCCCAGGGCAGCAGCCACCUCCAUGGCGCUAGCUAUCGCCAUUGUCUUCCUGAUCUACACAACCGCACGACUGGGAGAUGCGGCAUCCGUUGAGCACACGUUCAUGGUAAGUACGCAUGAUCCUGUUUCAUUCCCUUUGAUCGACUUGUCAGGCGUUAAUCGGUUAUGGUGCAACGAUAUUUACAUUGUAUUAUAGGGUGUUUUUUAAGACAAGCAUAUGCAUCGAUAAACGGUUCUAGAAAAUUAUUUUCUAAAUUAAGAUAUGCGUAAUCAACAAAGGCGUACAUUAGUGGUCACGGGUAGAAAACUCACCUUUAGUCCCAGUUGGUAGGGAGCAAAUCUCCCGAAAAUCCAUCCAGGAUAAACCAAUCGAGACAAAAGGGGGGUCUUUUGUCCUGGGUCACUCAACCGGAACUAAAGACCCCCUUUUAUCCCGGUUGGUAAUACCAACCGGGAUAAAAAGGGUCGCCACGCCAGGCGCAGCUCCCAAAAAAAACAAAGAAAUCCCGGGGACCCCCACACGUGAUUUUUCACGCGAAAUAUGCGCGUGCGUGGUGCGUAGCUUCCUUGCCAUCCCACCUACACAACACAUCUAACUAUAUAGGGAAUGCAAUCCUUUUGUAUUAACUCGUGGGGUCCCAGGCUGGAAACAUCAACAGGGACUAAAGACCCCUUUUAUCCCGAUUGGUAUUACAAACCGGGAUAAAAGGGUUCGAGGGAUUUAGUCCUUGCCAUCCGUGGGGGACCAUUUUAUCCCGGUUGGAAACACCAAUCAUGGUAAAAGAUCCCCUUUUAUCCCAGUUGGUAUUACAAACCGGGUUGGUGUUUCAAACCGGGAUAAAAGGCCUUUCAGGGCCUUUUUUUUUCCACUAGCCUUUGCAACCGGGAUAAAAGGUCCCGGUUGGUGAGCCCCCGUCAGUGACCGAGCUUUAGUCUCGAUUCGUGAACCUUUUAUCCGGUGCCAACUUUAAACCGGGAUAAAAGAGGGUGCAUGGAAGGUGAGUUCUCUACUAGUGGAUUCCCUAUGAAUUCUUAACAAUUCAACCACGAUGUAGGUAUAUAUGUAUCCAUGCUUGAUUUCUUGGAACAUGCACAUAUAUCUGUAGGUGAGCCAGGUGAAGAUGACACACUUGUGCAAGGAGACACUGGUCACCGUGGUGAAUGGGCAGCUCCCAGGACCAGCGAUAGAGGUCACGGAGGGAGACUCGGUGACUGUUCAUGUCGUGAACAAGUCACCCUACAACAUAACAAUACACUGGUAAUCAGCUGAGUUCCUACUCAAUACAAUCACUUUUCUUCCCAAGGACACUAAAAAACCUAUUAAUGUACAUUCACUUUGCAGUGGAAAUAAAAUAAUAAGAUGCUUUCCAGUAAUUCAUCAAAAUAGAAUAUUUUAUUUUAUUUCAUCUUUCGCCAUCUUUUUCUUCUGUGUUGUCUGAUGUAGGCAUGGAGUGAAGCAGUGGCUUAACUGUUGGGCUGACGGGGUGCCGAUGAUUACCCAACUCCCUAUCCAGCCAAACCAAAAUUUCACCUACCGGUUCAACGUCAUCGGGCAGGAAGGCACCUUGUGGUGGCAUGCUCACGUCCCCUUCCUCCGGGCAUCACUGCAUGGCGCCCUCAUCAUCCGGCCAAGAAAUGGGGCGAGCUCAUAUCCAUUUCCAAAGCCAGACAGGGAGGUCCCAAUCAUAAUAGGUUCGUGAAUUAUCUACAUCAUAUUCACUAGCUGUGUUACGAGAACAGAACAAACUGCACCUGAUUUUUUAUUGGAAUCUGUUUGGAAAAGAGAGAAGAAUGGACUGUUCCUAUUUGAAUUGAACUGUCUUUGACUUUGGCAGCGGACUAUUGGCAGCUAGACCUUGCACAGGCGGCAAGGAGGAUGAUGCAUGGUUUCUUGUUUUCUUUCGCCAAUGCUUCCACGAUCAAUGGCAAGCUUGGAGAUAUCUUCAAUUGCUCUGGUAAGAAAUUACUUUCUUACAGCAUUGAUGUCCGUGCCAAUGACAUAUUCCUUUUUUCUGAAAAAAGUGUCUGCUUGAAUUCAACUAUGAAGGUGUGCCGGAAGAUAACUACGUAUUGGACGUUGUGCCUGGCAAGACCUAUCUGCUACGAAUAAUUAACGCCGCGCUCUUCGCCGAGUUCUACCUAAAGAUAGCUGGGCACAAAUUCACUGUGGUUGGUGCCGAUGCCAGCUACGUCAGCCCAUACACCACGGAUGUCAUUGCCAUCGCGCCCGGCGAGACAGUGGAUGCCUUGGUUGUUGCUGAUGCGCCCCCUGGAAGGUACUACAUGGUUGCCCUGCCCAAUCAGGCGCCAUUGCCGGACACCCAGACCCCCGAAUACACAACCAGAGGGAUCAUGCAGUACAGCAACACUCACAGUUCUGCUGAUGAUCCAGCAGGACUAAUAUCAGAUCGUGGUGUGGAAGAAGAAGAAGAAGAUAAAGGUUCAUCCGGUGAUGUGCCAGUAGCACCUGAGAUGCCUGAUAUACAUGACACAAUUACAUCUUACUACUUCCACAGCAACCUGACCAACCUGUACCAAACGGUGGUCCCUCAGCGAGUUGAUGAACGUUUGUUCAUCGUGCUCAGCCUGGGUUCAAUAUGUCAGCAUGGCCAGUCCUGCAGGAGGGGUGAUCACAAUGAGACCAUCCUCAUCGCAACCAUGAACAACGUUUCCUUCCAGGAUCCCACGGGGAAGACGCCACUACUAGAAGCACACUACUACCACACUGGAAGCGUGGACUUGAUGCAAGAACUUCCGGACAGACCACCAAGGGCAUUCAACUUCACUGACGAAGCCUUAAUCCCGUAUGGGCCCAAGGAGAUGCGCUUAGAGCCAUCGUAUAAGGCCACGGUGGUGCGUAGGUUCCGGCAUGGUGCCGUAGUGGAGAUGGUGUUCCAGAGCACAGCAGUUCUACAGGGCGAUUCCAACCCGAUGCAUCUACAUGGUCACAACAUGAUCCUUCUUGCACAGGGGUUUGGUAACUUCGACGCCGCGAAAGAUGUUGCAAAAUACAACUUGGUGAAUCCACCGGUGAAGAACACUAUUCUUGUCCCAAAUCUUGGGUGGGCUGCCAUCCGAUUUGUUGCGAACAAUCCAGGUGUGUCUAAGAUUUAUUUGUGUUAGUCAGGUUUCAAAGUCGACGCUGUCAGAUCUAAUGCUUGUCUUAUAUGAUUUACAGGAGUAUGGUUCAUACAUUGCCACUAUGAAUUCCAUUUGACUAUGGGCAUGGCGGCAGUAUUCAUUGUAGAGGAUGGUCCGACAGUAGACACAUCUCUCCCUCCACCACCUGCUCAUUUUCCAACAUAUUGUGGUCAUGACGACAAUCUCCUUCCGGAUGAACUGUGCCUCCAAACUAAGAAGGAUGCAUGAAAUCCCACGUAUAAAUGUAGUCUGAAUAAAUAUUACUGCAACCGCCAGUUAUCAAAUUAAAUAAUGGAUGGCCCACGCUAGUACCUAGAUUCAAGUAUGCAUAUUAAAACUACUGUAUCGUCUUCACUCUAUCAAUAAUGCGAGGCCAAUUAUACGACAAUCUUCACUCUAUCAAUAAUGUGAGGCCAAUUAUACGACAAUCCCCUUUUAUAUCCAUAUAUGCAUAGCAUUCUUUUUUCUAUAUUAGAUUUUACAUCCUGGUGAAUUGCAAUUUUUAUCUAUAACUGCAUGUACUCCCUCCGUCCCAAAUUCUAUAUCGUUUUGGUAUUUCCAGCUACAUUCAUAUAUUUUAUUAAUAGCUUUUAUAAAUACAUGUAGACCCGUGUUAGAGUGGAAGUGACUAGACGAAUAAUUAAUCAUGUUGAAAGUCCCCCCAAACACGAUUAAAAAUUUUCAGUCACCCUUCUGUCGUACAGUCCAAAGUUUAAAGCACGGGAGCUGCAAACAAUUAUUUCACCACCGUUUUACACUUAAGCCAUAUAUAUCCUUCGUACAAAGACCAAGCGGAUUACACAUCACUAGUAGAGAAUUGGUCUUUAGUCCCGGUUGGUAGGGUGCAUAUCUCCUGAAAAUCCAUCCGGGAUAAACCAACCGGGACAAAGGGGGGUCUUUAGUCCCGGGUCUUUCAACCCGGACUAAAGACCCCUUUUAUCCCGGUUGGGAAUACCAACCGGGAUAAAAGAGUUUUCCAAAAAAAAUAGAAAAAAGCACUGGCGGGCGGAGGCCCGCCUCGGCUCCCGCACCACCACUGAGCCCCCAUCCCGCCGCCGCCGAGCCACCGCAUCCUGCCGCCACCCGCACCCCGUGUUGGAGGUAUGCCCUAGAGGCAAUCAUAGAGAUGAUGAUAUUCCAUUUGUAUCCAUGAUUUAUAUUGUGUUCCUUGAAUAUCCAUUAAAGGCUACUUGAAUUGAUUUGCAAUUAUGUGAAUUGUGUAUGAAACUCUUUACUUGUAUGGUUAUUCUAAAGUUGUCCCUAGUCGGAGUUCAUGUGAGGACAGACAUGAAUAUUAGACUAGCAUAUGUAUUAGUUGAUGACUAUGUUUCACAAGUCAUGGAUAUGGAGAUGUUGAACUAAUAAUGUGGGCACAUGUGGAGACAUGUGCUAGGACUGACCCAACACGAGAAGUAGUUCUCUCUUUAAACAACAUAUACGCUUUGUCCUUAGACCUAAGAUUGUCGCAUGUAUUCAAGAUGUGGAUCGACUUACUUAGGGGCUAUCAAACGCUACGCCGUAACAGGGUAGUUAUAAAGGUAGCUUUCGGGUUUGUCAAGAAGCAUGCUAUGAGACAUGGUCAAUCAAGAUGGGAUUUGCCCCUCUCUAAUUGAAAGUGAUAUCUCUGGGCCCCUCGAGUGAUUGGAUCCGAAAAUGCAUGGCCAUGCUACGUACGAUUAAGAGUUAACCUACAAAGGGAUUCCAAAUCAUAGGAUCGAGAAAGAGCGGUUGGCUUGAAACUAGACCAAAUAUAGUGAGGCAAAGGGAAUAGCAUGUAUAUAAUGUUGUGAUGGUUCGUCUGAUAUGAUCUUCGUGUGCGUAUAGGAGUUGGCACGUCUUGCUAGAGGCCGCUACCGACUAUUGGGCCGAGUAGGAGUACUCGGGCCAUGUCUAUACGUAUCCGAACCCAUAGGGUCACACACUUAAGGGGCUGGAAGCCCAAUUCGGAUGUGAUCCGAGUUGGAUUAGGUUUAGAAGUACUAACGGGCCUCGGACCCAGAGGCUCGUUAGGAACCUCUAUAAAUAGAGGGGUGGGGGCGCCCUAGGGUUUACACCUUUUGGCGAAACAAAUCUGUUGCGCCUCCCACGCCCUUGCCUGUUGCAACUCGCGGACCUAGCAGUCCGGCUUGCGAUGCUUCCUCCCUGCACGUGUGGAUACCUUGGAGGUGUUGCGCCUGCAGCACUUGGAUGAGCCACGACGAGCUGCCGACGAGCCACGACGAGUCGCCGACGAGCCACGACGAGCCGCGGCACGAGGGCGAUCUUGCUACACGUGGAUGAGCUGCUGAGGAGCUGCUGGACGUCGACGUGAUCGACUACGUACGACUAUGCUGAUCGACUUCGCUGCAUCGACGCGAAUCUACAUCUUCCGCAUCAUUGCGUCAAGUGGUAAUCCCGUGAUCCUUAUACGGUAGUUUUCCUGGUUUACGCAGUAGAAAGUUUUGAUUUGCGCUAGUGUAGCCUACCUUGUAUCCCAACACGCCGGCACGCCUGCUCCGGCCCCACCGCCUCCUGCUCCGCCACGCGCCGCCGCCUCCUCCGUCGCAUCCACCCGCCGCUCCUCGCCCACCGCCGCCGCCGCCCAAAACUCACCACAACAACACUGACACUGCACCGAGCUCGCCGCCGCCGCACCUCUUACUGCUGCUCCUCGCGCGCCGCCGCCACCGCCUGCAACAAAAAACAGCAAGAACUCACCACCACAACUACACUGACUUGGCCAUUGAGCUCGCCGCCAGCCGGCCACCUCUUACUGCGCUGCCCUGCACCUCGCCCCGCUGUUGCUCCUCAAUGGCAGUGAGGGGCGAGCAGAGGGGGAAGGGGAGGGUAGCAGAGGGGGCGGCAGCAGUCCAGGCUAGUAUUGAAGAACCAGCCACCGGUGGGCCGCCCACAUCAUAUGGUGAUGAUGACGCCUCCUUCAAAAAAAGAUGAUGCCAAUGUGCAUGCCGGUACUGGACGAAGCGAAUACAACAGUUGGUCAGAGUAGUGUUGGCACUACGAUAGCACAACCAUUUCCAUAGGUUCUGUAUCCAUUAAUACUCCAUGCUCAUUGCACAUUCUGGUCAGCAGAGUUGGAGAGACAAAAUAGGUUGCCCAGGGUGUUGCCAAUCCGAUUGGUGGUUUGUUUGAUGGAAAACCUAUCCCACCCCUGUAUGCAUGUGUACGAGUGCUUGAUAUCAAUCCAAACUAUGAUGAUGACGAGAUAGAUAUCCCCACUAUAGAGGGGAUCUAUUGCCUUGGACAAUGAGUCGAUAGUACCAUACUGUUGCAUAAACGAGAGAUACUACUGAUUGGUCCACAACCUUUGAUUCUUGAUGAUCCUGCCUCGCUCAAAACUUCCUCAUGUAUGAAAUCCAGACUGGGACAUGUUCUUGUUGAGCAUCCACUAGUGGAACGGACUUUGGCACCAGAACAACUAGUUCAUGGGAUAAGCAUAUCCUGCCACAUCAGCGAUCUACGCCUCUCAAACUAAGCAAUCCCAUUGGGCGAACCUUCUCUUGCACCUCCUUUCUAUCCCGUCCACCCAUCCUCCUCCUUUAUACUAUCCCUGCCUGUCAUCCAUUCCUACUUUACCUUCUCGCUCCCCCAACCUUCUUCAACCCAAGUGACUUCGGCUCGGUAUUGGUCUCAAACGAAUUUGAUACCGAACAGAUUUAAGUGUGGCUGAGGAUAGAUGUUGACAAGGGUUCUGAACCCAUAACUCGGUUGCCCGAGGUUAAGUCUGAUGCCUCAAAAUCGGAGGCUAGAGGUUGUCACGGGUUCCGAACCCAUAACUUGGUUGCCCAAGGUUAAGUCUGAUGCCUCGAAAUCGGAGCUCGAAGCUGCUAGGGCUUUAGCUGGGCUGAAAUUAAAAAAGCCUGGCAAGAAAACUGGAGUGAGAAUAGUCGAUGCUUUGGAGGAUGAUGACGAUGAAGUCGGUUUCUUGGAUGACAACUUGUCCCUGGUUUCACCUCUGCACGGUUUGCUCGAGGAUAAGGCUCACGAUGUUUCUGCUGAGAAGGAUUCGCAAUCCAAGAAUGUUGAAGAAACAUCGGAUGCUAUUGGUACUGUCCUUCCUAUUAUACUAGAUGCAAAGGAAAUUACAGAGCACGCGGUUGCUACCCACUCAGAAAGGUAAUCUUGAUAAUACAAGUCUGGCUGGUCUUAGUUUUGUGGAUGUUAGCGAGGCUUCUUCUAAAUUUUUGAUGGACUUGCAAAGCACAAUUGGCAAAGUUGGAGAGCCGUAUCAUGAACCCUCAUAUCUUUUGCAUGUAGAUCCUUUGCCCGACAGUCCUGAUCCACCUCAGGUUGUGCUAGACGACAACAAGGAUUUUGGUACAAAUAUCAAGGAGAAGUUGCUGGCUGUCCACAUUCCUGGAGCAGGUGAAGAUAAUGAUCCUUUCAAUCCUCCACUACUAUGUAGAUCGCAUGACUCACUUCGACCUGUAGGUGAAACGGCGAGGACUGUUCUGGGUGGUAAGUUUGAGGGCGAUGUUUCCUCUGAGGCUCUUGAAGAAGGCAAGCUUGCCAAAGAAGAAGAGAAAAAUCUGCAAGUUCCUGAAGCUUCGAGAGGCUUCUAUUCAGAGCGAUACCCAAGGAAGUUUCUUCGAUCUUGAGGCUUUGUAUUUUUUAUAAUGUCUUCUAUUUUUUUUUUGGUUUUUGAUGCCUUUGGUUGCUUAUAGAAUGCCCUUAUUUUGACAGAAUAUGAGAAGUCUUUGCGUUGCUAGGACCAUGAUCACUUGGUGAGGAUAACGACUACCCUCGGUCAUAAGGUAUUGCCUUUCCUGACUUACUGUUAAGAUUUUUACUAUUUGGUAUUUGUAUGAUUUUUCUCAGUUUUACUUGUUUUUCAUUUUUAGGCUGUAAUUGCUGGCAAAGUGGCCAAUGAUAGGCUUCAAGAGAAGGAGAGGGCUGCACUCAGCAGCAGCGCUAGGGUUCUUGAGCUUGAGACUGAGGUUGCGUGGCUUAAAAAGGAGAACUCAGCUUUAGAUGAUCUCAAAGCCUCACUUUCUGAGGAGAAUAUUGAGUUGAAAAAGAACAAGGAUCUUUUUGUGAAAACAUGCAGUGACCUCGUUCAGGAAGUGGAGACCUUUGAAAAGAAUUCUGAAGAUAACCUCGGAGUUUUGGAAAAACUGCGGAGUACCAUUGAGAAAUAUUUGACAACAAAUGCAGCUUUGAAGAAACAAAAUGAGGCACUUGCCAAAGCUUGCGCUGAGAAAGAUAUUAUGAUUCAUACCUUGGGAAAAAAACCUCGAGGAUCAAAAAGGUUUCAUCGAUGGUGCGGAGCAAGUGCUGAAGGCCCGUUUCUCACAGAUUCAUGAUGGGUAUAAGCUUGCACUGGUAGAGUUUGGGGCAGAACCCCUUCCUCUCUCUACUGAUAAGGGAGCCAACAAAAUAUUUGAUUGGAUGGAUCAAUAAUUUGAGUCCUUGCCCUCAGUUAUUGUGGGAGCCAGUGAUUAAGCAGCCUCCUUGUGUUGUGAGGGUAUGCUGAAGCUGCUCGAGGUGGAAAAUUGCUCAGAUUUCCUGAAAUUUGGUGCGCACGGUUACAAGUUUCCUUCUGCUUUAGAAUUCGAUGCACAGGAGACAUCAAAAAAUGUUAAGAUUGUGAAGAAGAAUUUCUUGAAGGAAUUUUGGAAGGCUUCUUGUCACGACUUUGCAAAGCUUGUUGCUCGUGGUCAUCUUUUGGAGGUUCGACUUUUCCUUUUGUCCAUUCUGCUUAAGACUGCUUUUCUUUAUCUUAUUGUGGUUGUUUGUGAUAGGCUAAAGAAUCUGAUGUGAAGGAAAAGAAGCAGAUUGGAGGCUCGGAGCAACAAGAGGUGUAGACUCUAGACUAGGUUUAAUUGGAAACUUAAUCUUUUGAUGCAUAGCUUAGGGUCGAGAACUAAAAUAGUUGUUGGUUGUAAUUUAACCUGCGCAAGUCCUAGGUGAUGGGCCUGCGCAGGACAUACUUCCUCUUCGAUUUCAUCAUGGAAACAUUGUUGCCAGUGGUCAUGCUUGGCGUCUCUUUCGUACUUUUCAUCUCGACGCUAGUUUUCAUGAUUUCUGGUGCUUUUGCUGUGAAUACUUUUCCGUGCAAAGCUUUAUGCUGGGUCACUAUUUUGAGUCCCGCGAUGGUUAUGCACUUGGUAUGAUGGAAGAAAAAAUAUUUGAAGCUUCAACGGUGAAGUCGGAGCCCCUUAGUCCGCAAAGUCAUGAGUUUGAUGAUGCCUAUGUGUGUGAUGCUGCAGAGUUUCGAGGUUCAAAACCUGGUCAUGUAAUCGAAUUGUCAUUCUGACUUAUAACGAAACUGAUUGGAAAAACAUCACCCCCCCCCCCUUGUUCCUUUUUGCGGAGAUUUUUGUUGCAAGAUGUUAUUGCGAGAAAUAUAUUGUGUUAUUUAUUUAAAGGGUUUUCUGUCUAAGUAUCAUAACCCGAGAUGACAAGGAAUAUAUGAUUUUAGUGAGAAACAUCACCCCCCCCUUCCGUUCCUUUUGGCGAGGGUUAUGCUGUUUGCGGUAUUUGGUCGAUGACAGAGGUAUCCUCGAAGCUUUCUAUCUUCCACAUUUUUCCGUGCAGUAGUUAUUGAUUUUGGAAAAAAGGUCCGGAGGUGUUUAACUUUCAUGUGGGAUUUUUAUACACCAGUUUUCUUGUAAUAAGUCAGCAAAAACUUGCUCCGAGUUUUGCGGACUUAGAAAGUUAAAUGACAAGUCGGGUCGAAUUCACAACUCUUGGUUGCUUCGACCAUAGAGCUGUAGAUCCUAUGAGGUUAGAUAGAAUUUUAGACGAGUAUGGUAAUGGCAAAAGCGAGGCUUUGCUUAUGCAAAAACACAAGAUUCGGGUAUUCUUGGAAGCAAAGUUGGUGCUGCAACUUAUUGUUGCUUCUGUCCAACGCUUGCGCAGAAACGCAAGUUUUUUCUCGCACAGAAAUGCGAGGUUUCGCUUGCACAGAAACACAAGGUUUAAGUUAUUCAAAAAGUAAAGUUGGUGCUGCAACUUGUUGCUUUCGCCCAACACUUGCACAGAAACGCAAGUUUUUUUCUCGCACAAAAAUGCGAGAUUUCACGGCAACUUGUUGUUGCUUUGGCCUCAGCAUGCACAGAAAUGCAAUGCGUUCUACUUGCACAGAAAUGCAAUGUAGUAGCCCUUUCGAGGCUUAGUAAACACGAGAUUCGGGGGAAUUGUAUUGCAUUAAAAUGUAAAGGUUUACAUGGAUCGCCUUGUUAAAAACCUUACCUCCAUUGUGGAGCCCCCUAGAUAGGAAAAGUGUACAUUCCAUUUGUAGCAAAGUAAAUGCAGGAAAGUAAAUUUUCUACCCUCGAUGUUGUUUAUAGGCUUACAGGCUGAGGGUUUUACUAUUUUGGUGACUAUGGGUAGUAUUUGCGCAAGUUAUCCACAUUCCAAGAAUGUGGUAACUCUGCUCCUAGCUGAUCUGCAAGGUAAAAGGAUCCUAGCUUGUUGAUGUGGAAUAGGGUCCCGAUCUUCCGAAAGGUUCAGUUAAUCGACGAUUUGGGCGGAGUCGCUACACAAAUCGAUCCGGCUUCCGAACAACACGUUCCGAACCCCGCAAUCGCAGCACAACGUCUCCUCAGGUUAUCGACCAGUGAUGCACGGUUGACCUCGCCAAGAAGGCUAAUCCUUGCCUGCAAAUCGAAGAACACAAGCAAGAAUAAGGAAGAAUGCAAACCAAAUUUGCGGAUGAAUGAUUAAGCUCACGAGUUGGGGUUUUACAAACCGAUGAUGGCGAAACUGUUCUUGACAGAUUAAUCUAAGCAAAACCCAAAACCUAACAAAGGUGACGGCUACUGUUAUAUAGGGGUUAGGGUCGUGGUCGACCCCCUGGACGCGCCCCUAAUGGGCUCAACAACAAUACACGGCCCAAAGGCCAAAAUAAGGCGACGCAGUGCCGGGACAGUUUCUGGACGCCAUCUUGUUUCGACAAUUUCCGUUGACUCAAGACGAAUUUAGGCAUGGGACCAGUGCCAUUGGAAAAAUAGAUGUUCUAAACUUUCCAACCAUAUAUAGAACGUCCAAAACGGAGUCCGUAUGCGGCCUGGGCGUCCAAAUCACUGUGGGCUGCUUCUGGACACCGAGGUGGACUCGAAGUCGACUUGGCUUGGGCCUCCAACUCGAGUUGUAUGUCCUUGCUGGUCCUCCAUGCCUCCCAGCCUCUCUCCACGCAUCUCCUGGUCCUCUCCUUUAUUCCUAAUCAAAAUAUAACCAUUGGAUAGCAAUUUAUUCUUAAAAUCAUAAAAUGAAUUGCUUAGGAAUGAUCUGACCUCUAAAUGCAAUUGUCGUGCGCGAGCUCUAGUGAUUGGACCUUGAAUGUCCAGCGGAGUAUCAUGUGCAUAUGGAGAAGUGAUGUCCUCAUCAUCCUCCCCUGCUUGAAAUGGAGUCAUCCUCGACUCAAGCUCAUCGUUUGCUCCCAAGUAAGGCCUCAAAUCUGAAAUGUUAAAGGUAGGACUAACCCCGAACUCGGGAGGCAACUCAAGUUUGUAUGCAUUAUCAUUAAUCUUCUCAAUUAUCUUGAAAGGACCUUCAGCUCUAGGCAUCAACUUAGACUUUCUCAAAUCUAGAAAUCUAUCCUUUCAUAGGUGCAACCAAACUAGAUCACCCGGUUCAAGUUUAACUUCCUUUCUACCUUUACUACCAGCAAUUCGAUACUUUUCGUUCAUUUUUUCAAUGUUGUGCUUAGUUGUUUCAUGCAUUUGCAAAAUAAAAUCAGCGCGUUCUUUGGCAUCCGUAUGAAUCCUCUCGCUAGUAGGCAAAGGCAAAAUAUCAAUAGGAGCACGGGGGUUGAAUCCAUACACUACUUGAAAAGGACUUACUUUUGUGGUUGAAUGUGUUGCCUAAUUGUAUGCAAACUCCACAUGAGGCAAACAUUCUUCCCACAUCUUCAAUUUUUUCUUCAAAACAGCCCUCAACAUGGUGCCUAAAGUGCGGUUCACCACCUCUGUUUGCCCAUCAGUUUGUGGAUGACAAGUGGUAGAAAAUAAUAAUUUUGUACCCAACUUGUUCCACAAAGUACGCCAAAAGUGACUCAAAAAUUUUGCAUCGUGAUCUGAAACAAUAGUAGAAGGCAUACCAUGCAAACGUACAAUCUCUUUGAAAAAGAGGUCAGCAAUAUGAACAGCAUCAUCACUUUUAUGACACAGUAUAAAAUGUGCCAUCUUUGAAAAACGAUCCACAACAACAAAAAUGCUAUCCCUCCCCCUCUUAGUCCUAGGUAAUCCCAACACAAAGUCCAUAGAAAUAUCCACCCAAGGAAUAGAAGGAACAGGUAGCGGCAUGUAUAAACCAUGUGGAUUCAAACGAGACUUAGCUUUUUGACAUGUUGUGCAGCGAGCAACGAACCUCUCAACGUCUCUCCUCAUUUGUGGCCAAAAGAAAUGUGAGGCCAAAGCGUCCACCAUCUUCUUGGCACCAAAAUGCCCCAUCAAUCCUCCUCCAUGCGCUUCCUGCAUCAACAAAAGACGAACGGAACCAACUGGAAUGCAUAGGCGGUUAGCUCUAAACACAAAGCCAUCAUUGAUCACAAACUUAUUCCAUGUACGUCCCUCUUUACAAUUGAGCAACACAUCCUUAAAGUCAGGGUCAAGCGCAUAUUGUUCCUUAAUUGAUUCAAGUCUAAAAAUACGACAAUCAAGUUGGGACAGCAAAGUAUAUCUUCUAGACAAAGCAUCGGCAAUCACAUUAUCCUUCCCUUCCUUAUGUUUGAUGAUAUAAGGAAAAGAUUCAAUAAAUUCAACCCAUUUAGCAUGUCUACGGUUCAAAUUGUUUUGAGAGCGAAGAUACUUAAGCGAUUCAUGAUCAGAAUGAAUAACAAAUUCCUUAGGCCACAAAUAAUGAUGCCACGUUUGUAAGGAACGUAUAAGAGCGUACAAUUCCUUAUCAUACGUAGAGUAAUUCAGAACAGGACCAUGCAAUUUCUCGCUAAAGUAUGCAACGGGUUUACCAUCUUGCAUCGAAACACCACCAAUGCCAACUCCACUAGCAUCACAUUCAAGCUCAAAGGUCUUACCAAGGUUUGGAAGUUGCAGCAAUGGCGCACGCGUAAGCUUGGCCUUCAAAGUGGCAAAGGACUCAUCUUGUGCUUUUCCCCAACGAAACACCACACCUUUCUUCGUCAACUCGUGCAAUAGCGCAGCAAUGGUGCUGAAAUCUUUGACGAAGCGGCGAUAGAAACCUGCAAGACCAAGAAAACUCCUCACCUGUGUGAUGCUUUGGGGCAGCGGCCAGCUCUCAAUGGCUUCAAUUUCCGUUCCAUCCACCUCAAUUCCCUGUGGAGUAACAACAUAUCCAAGGAACGAAACUCUAUCGGUGCAAAAGAUGCACGUUUGUUUGCUAAGCACUUCUCAAGGUUAGCAAACAAACGUGCAUCUCUCAAAGCCUCAAAAACAGCACACAAAUGCUCCCUAUGUUCAUCCAAAGAUUUGUUGUAAAUUAAUAUAUCAUCAAAGUAAACCACCACAAAUCGACCAAUAAAAGCCCUCAAAACCUCAUUCAUCAAACGCAUGAAAGUACUCGAUGCAUUAGUUAAACCAAAAGGCAUGACUAACCACUCAUACAACCCGAAUUUGGUCUUAAAAGCUGUUUUCCAUUCAUCUCCAAGUUUCAUUCUUAUUUGGUGGUAACCACUAUGCAAGUCAAUCUUUGUGAAAAUUAUAGAACCACACAACUCAUCAAGCAUGUCGUCUAACCUAGGAGUAGGAUGUCGAUAUCGAAUGGUAAUAUUAUUGAUGGCUCUACAAUCAACACACAUACGCCAAGUACCAUUUUUCUUUGGAACCAAAAGCACNNNNNNNNNNNNNNNNNNNNNNNNNNNNNNNNNNNNNNNNNNNNNNNNNNNNNNNNNNNNNNNNNNNNNNNNNNNNNNNNNNNNNNNNNNNNNNNNNNNNGCACUUUGUGCAGGAACCUGCAAAGAAUUUUUACCUGAACCCGAAGGUUUGGCAUUGUAGAAACUCCAGAGUCUGCUGGUCGCGUGCUCACCGGUAGGGGCGUGCGAAAAGAGGAGGACUUAGUCAGCCCCAAAGAUGGCGUCGUACACUGGUAUGAGUUACCAACCUUACUCUUGCCCUGCAACUCACGCCCCUGUAAUUCCUUUUCUGCAAACAUAGCCAACUGAAACAACUGGUUGACAGAGUUGAAAUCCUUAUAAUCAACUAUGUCCUGAAUUUCGCGCCACAAACCGGAAUAAAAACGGCAAAUAGCAUCCUCAUUGUCCUCAACUAUGCCACAAUGCAUCAAACCCUUCUGAAGCUCACCAAAAUAUUCAUGCACAGAUUUAUCUCCCUGAUCUAAGCGCAUCAAAUUCUUACGCAGUUCUCUAUGGUAAGAAGGUGGAACAAAUCUAUCACGCAUAGCAACCUUAAGUUGUUCCCAAGUAGUAGGUGCAACACCCGCAGCAACUAAUCCAGUCCACCAAAUGAUAGCAAAAUCUUUAAACUCACUAGUGGCUUGUCGAACUCUAUGUUGCUCAGGCACAAGGUGGGCACUAAAUUUUUGUUCAAUUGUCAUCUCCCAAUCAAGAUAUCCCUCAGCAUCAUAAUGUCCAGAGAAUGAAGGUAUAGUAAAUUUAAUCUUAGCAUAAGGAUCAUCGGGAGCACGAUUAGCACCUGCGUUCACACGAACACGUCGUCGUAUACGUACCUCUCGUGUAGCUACUUGGUCUAUGUUACCAUGGGCAUCAUACACCACAUCUUCAUCGGCUAGUGGUGGUGGUGGUGGUGGUGGUGGUGGACGGGCUUCCAACACAGCAACCCUGUCAGCUAUUGUGGUUAUCCGUCCAUUCACCUCCCUAAAAAUGUCAGCAAGCCUGAGUCCAUUGAUGGAGUCGGUGACGGCCUUGGCGACCACCUCUGUUAUCCUGGUCUGUGUGGCAUCCAUAAAAGCUUGCAACUAUCCUUGGCUGACACACUCGUUGAAGUCCUUGGGAGUGCCUCCAUCGUUAUCUGCAGCCAUUGUAGAUAGAAAACAGGAAUAAACGGUGAAGGUUAACCCUAAUAAUCUCCUACGCAGGUGUGGUGGUGUCUCUCAAAUCAAACAACACAGCAAAAGGAAACACAUUACCAAGCUCUUACAAGGUUCUUACCAUCAAGGCAAAGGAUACCUGGAAGGCGUAGACCGCGAUUGCAAGGGUCAAGAACCUGUGCUGCGCAGAAGUAAUAUGUGGAGCUAUAGGAAGGCCAAAGAUAUGUGAGUGGAACACAAUUCACUAGCAGAUAGCAAUGCUAAACAAAUGUCCAAAGCUACUUGUCCCUAGUUGCUAGCCUACCCGUGUCCUUAGAACAGUAGUGUCAACAAAUGAGGAACAAGGAUGGAUAUGAAGAGCAACAAUGAUACAAGAUCAGCAAGUAUCCAGCUGCACAAUAUCAGCAAACAAGUGGUUCCUCUCUACGUCCCUCCUGUUGUUUUGUCUUUUAGAACUAGUAGAAAUCAAAUUGUUUUUCUUUUUUCUUUUCUUUUUUUGAUACUUUUUCCUCAGCCAGGAGCACAAAAAUAGGAACACCACAAAGUAUCAGCUCAAUCCGAUGUAAGGUGUGAUCGGUAGAAAAUCACGAGCGUUUCACAAAACCGAUGCUGGAACUUGGGAACUCGAAUCGAUCCCCUUCUGAAUUUUUUUUGAAUUUUUUAAUUUCGGCAUGACUGGCAAAGCUGUGAAUCGUAUGUGCAAAAAUUCGAUAGCUUUCUGGGAAAAAAAAGAACGCCUCAAUCGGAGUUCCGAGCGAAAAGUUAUGCCUGUUUUAGGGAGGACCCUCCGAUGUAGGGUUUUGUGGCGGUCGAGAUGGAAUCGGGUGGGGAGAAAAAGAUGGGAUGAUGGCAGUGGAGUAUGGAUCACACAACCGAACUAAAACACGAUCUAAACCAGCAACAAUGACAUGAACGAGGACACAAACUCAACACUACGGACUCUGAAAAGAAUUAUGCAAAAGGCUACACACGGUGUUGGACUGGGAAAUGUUUUUGGCUUUUCUGUGGACUCUAGGAUGAAUGCGAAAAUAAAUCUAACUAGGGUAAGGGUGAACCUGACGGUAUACCUGAAGCUCUGAUACCUCUUGAUGUGGACUAGGGUCUCGAUCUUCCGAAAGGUUCAGUUAAUCGACGAUUUUGGCGGAGUCGCUACACAAAUCGAUCCGGCUUCCGAACAACACAUUCCGAACCCCGCAAUCGCAGCACAACGUCUUCUCAGGUUAUCGACCGGUGAUGCACGGUCGACCUCGCCAAGAAGGCUAAUCCUUGCCUGUGAAUCGAAGAACACAAGCAAGAAUAAGGAAGAAUGCAAACCAAAUUUGCGGAUGAAUGAUUAAGCUCACGAGUUGGGGUUUUACAAACCAAUGACGGCAAAACUGUUCUUGACAGAUUAAUCUAAGCAAAACCCAAAACCUAACAAAGGUGACGGCUACUGUUAUAUAGGGGUUAGGGUCGUGGUCGACCCGCUGGACGCGCCCCUAAUGGGCCCAACGACGAUACACGGCCCAAAGGCCAAAAUAAGGCGACGCAGCGCCGGGACAGAUUCUGGACGCCAUCUUGUUUCGACGAUUUCCGUUGACUCAGGACGAAUUUAGGUAUGGGACCAGUACCAUUGGAAAAGAGAUCUUCUAAACUUUCCAACCAUAUAUAGAACAUCCAAAACGGAGUCUGUAUGCAGCCUGGGCGUCCAAAUCAUUGUGGGCUGCUCCUGGACACCGAGGUGGACUCGAAGUCGACUUGGCUUGGGCCUCCAACUCGAGUUGUAUGUCCUUGCUGGUCCUCCACGCCUCCCAGCCUCUCUCCACGCAUCUCCUGGUCGUCUCCUUUAUUCCUAAUCCAAAUAUAAUCAUUGGAUAGCAAUCUAUUCUUAAAAUCAUAAAAUGAAUUGCUUAGGAACGAUCUCACCUCUAAAUGCAAUUGUCGUGCGCGAGCUCUAGUGAUUGGACCUUGAAUGUCUAGUGGAGUAUCAUGUGCAUCCGAAGAAGUGAUGUCCUCAUCACCUGUUGCUUCGAGUGACAAUGUAAGGCCCUUCCCAAGUUUCUUGUAAUGGCUAGGUUGGUGGUAUGAGUUGUCUGGCAGCGAGGUUGUUUUUUGCUGGUUAGUUGUCUUUUAACAAGCCUCGCAAGUUCUUACUAAGCUUCGGGCAUCUAGGAUUGUUGUUGGCCAGAAAAAACCCUGUCUCACGGCUAUAUCUACUAGGGCUCUAGUUUUGAUGUGAGAACUACAAAACCCAUUGUGGACUUCUGCUAACAAUUCCUUCCCACUCUCCGAAGUUAUACAGUGUAGCCAAGGAGCUGAGAUAUUUGUACAGCUCACCGUCGACCAUGGCGUAGCCCCUAGCCCUUUGCUUCAUUCUAUUUAGUUCAGCCUCAUUGUAAGUCUUGUAGUGUCCUCUGAGGUAGGACAUGGUUGGAGCCCUCCAAUUGAAUCUAGUGAUUGCAUUUACGACUCUCGGAGCUAGCUCUCUAGUUUAUGGGGAGUGUUUGACCUCAUAGAAUAGAUCAGGUGGCAUGGUUUGAUUUCCGUAGCUGCUUUUACCAAUUUGUCUGCAUCAUCAUUUUCUACCCUUGGGAUGUGCUGAACGGUGAACCUUUUGAAAUAUUUUUCCAUGGCUCUUACUGCGGCUAGGUACUUCAUAAACUCUAGCUCUCUGGCCUCGCUUUCUUUUUCUAUGUGCUCUUGAAUCACUUAGGAAUCUUAUUUUACUAUAAAUACUUGCUGACCCAAUGCCCUCAUUUUCCUUAGCCCCAGACGCAGUGCUUCAUAUUCUGUUGUGUUGUUAGUGGACCUUGCCUUGCCCUUGAAAUCAAGUCUUGCGGCAUAUCUGAUUUUACACCCAAGGGUGACGUGAUAAUUAGUGACACUCCUACCCCCUUGUCACACCAAGCCCCGUCGCAAUGUAUGACCAAUGGAACCUCAAUCUCAUCAGUUUCAAUGUUGCAUGGUGAUGUCCAGUUGACUAUGAAAUCAUCUAGGACUUGUGAUUUGAUUGCACUUCUUCUCUCAAAGUCCACUAGGUUUUCGGAAAAUUCUGAUGCCAAUUUUAUGAUUCUCCCCGAGGCUUCUCUGGUUGUGAGAAGAUCAUGAAGUGGCUGGUUGGUGAUCACCACUAUCCUGUGACCCUCAAAGUAAUGACUUAGCUUGCGCACUUCCAUAAUUACAGCAUAAGUGAUUUUUUCUAGCUCGGAGUAGAACAGUUUUGACCCCGAUAAUGCUUCUAAGGCGAAGUAUACUGAAGUUUGUCUUGGUUUGCCCUUGAUUUUCUUUUCUUGCACUAAGGCAGCACUGACUACAGAGCUCGAGGCUGACAAGUAUAGCAACAAGGGAGAUUUUGGUUCAAGUGGGAAUAGUUUAAUCAGGCUUGUCAGAUAAUCUCUUAGUUCUGCAAAAGCUUUGCUUUGCUGCUCUCCCCAUUCAAACUUUUGGGAGUUUCGUAGUACUUGGAAGAAAGGUAGACUUCUUUCGGCUGCUGUCUAGAUGAAUCUGUUAAGGGCUGUUAUUCUCCUGUCAGCUUUUGCACAUCUUUCACUAAAACAGACUCUUUCAUGUUGACCAGAGCUUGGAUUUUGUCUGGAUUAGUCUCGAUGCCCUUGGUUGAGACCAAGCAUCCUAGCACCUUGCCUUGUUGAAUUCUGAAUACGCAUUUUUCUCCAUUCAGCUUCAGGUUUGUUGUCCUCAGGUUGGUGAAAGUUUUUGCGAGGUCAUGAAUGUGAUCUUUUCGUUUGACACUUUUCACCACAAUAUCAUCCACAUAGGCUAGGAUGUUCCUUCGAAGCUGUGUGCUUAGGACUAUUGCUAUCAUUAUUGAGAAAGUUGACCUCGCAUUCUUUAGCCCCUCGGGCAUUCUGAUGAAACAGUAGGUCCCGAAUGGAAUGAUGAAACCAGUCUUCUCCUCAUCUUCUUUUUUCAUUUGUACUUGAUGCUAACCUAAAAAUAUAUCUAGUAGUGACAAAAUUUCGCUAUUUGCAGCGUCAUCUACCACAUUGUCAACCCUUUCUAAUGGAAAGUCAUCUUUUGGGCAUGCCUUGUUGAGGUCGGUGAAAUCUAUGCACAUUCUCCAUUUGCCAUUUUUCUUCUUGACCGGAACCGUGUUUCCCAACCAUUCAGGAUACAUAAUUGCGCGUAUUAUGUUGGCAUCGGCUAGCCUUUGGUCUCACACCUUUGCUUAUUUCUAACUUGUGCUCUAUUAUAUCUCUGUCUCACAUGUAGACCAUGUGAAGUCAUCCUUGCUCUUGUUGAGGAACUCGAUCAGUUGCUUUUCUUCAUCGGGCUUGAGUUCAGCAUUGAUGAUUACAGCUCUAUCGAGGACAUGUUCGUCUAGCAGUACUCUUUUUGUUUUGCCAUCUACACUCAUUUUUACUUUUUCUUUAUCUCUUUUUGACUUGACAUAUGGUUUUUUCAUCUCCGAGGGUUCAACCUCGCUUGAACUUGCUAAGUGGUGUACAUUUUUCAAACCCGAGUUUGCACCUUUUUCAACAUCCGUGGCUAUUUGUUGGUCACCAUAUAUUGUGAUAACUCCUUUCAGAGCUGGGAUCUUCAUACAUAAGAACAACUGCCUUAUGCAACAUCGAACUUGUUGAUGAAUCCCCUUCCAAAGAUAGCAAAUUAUGGAUAGUACAUUUCCACAAUGUUGAACAUUAUGUAUUCCAUUCUGGCAUUGUCUAGGUUUCCAAAUGAUACUGGUAAUGUAAUUUUCCCCAAGGCUCGCUUUGGCUUUCCACCAAAACCAAGUAAUGGUCUUUCUGCUAGCUAUAGUGCUUUCCCAAUUGUCCAUCCUACAACAAUAGCCUUGAUUACCAUCGGAUCAUUAUGCGAGGAUUUUUUGAGUUUGAAGUCUUCUUUAGUAAAGGAGAUUGGCAUGUGUGCCAAUUCUAGCUUGGCUGGUGGCCCAUCACGGAUGAUCGAAUGGAUUUGUCUGAAGUAAUUUUGCCUUUGCUUCUGUUUCUCAAAUUCUAGCGAAGAUCCACUUGCUAUUGGCAUGGUCAUGCCAUAGGUGGGCAAAAUGUUGGACUUGGUGUUUUGGGCAUUUUCAAACUCUUGUGAGGAGCCCCCUGAUAUUGGCAUGAUCAUGUCGUAGGUGGGUAGGGCUUUGGGAUCACUGUUUUGGACAAUCUUUGGUUCAACCUUAGGUAUUUGAUUUGGUAGGUUUGGCAGAGGUAGUGGUAUUUCUUGCAGAGGCUGAGGUGGUGGGAAUCUUGCAGGUUGCAUAGCUAGCUUACUUUGAGAUUGAAACUACGGCAAUGGUUGCCACAUCAUGGUGGGUUGGUAAUUGAAAGAAGGGUUCGUAAAUGAACUUGGGAGGGUAGAUGUAUGAAUGGUGUUGGGGUUUAUUUGUGAGUAAACUUGGCAGUAUGGCUGUUGUGGCCAGAAAGAAGUGUGAGGAAUGGUUUUUGGCGCUGCUGUUGUAGCUGCGGCUUCUCUUUUUUUCCUCUGCUAUCCUUUCGAAGGUCUUUUUUUGUUUCUGGAUAGAAAUCGAUUGCGUGGUCUAGUUAUUUGCCGUGAAAUGUGCAAUAGGACAUUCAAGGCUGGUUGUUUUGAUUGUGUGGCCUAGGAGGUCCUCUGCCUCGGCCCCUUCCUCUGCCUAAGUGGCCUCCUCUCUACCCAUUGCCAUGAUUUGUCUGUUGUUGUGGUGGUUGCCCAUUCUGAUUUUGGCUUUGUUGUUGUGAGGGUUGAGCACCCUCGAUCGGUAGCACAUGUUGAGCUGUAUAUGGCUGUUGAUGUUGUGUGAAAUUGUAUUUUAGGGCUAGCCAGUUUUGAUCUUUCUAGGUUGGCCUUUGGCGAUUCCUCUCCAUUACUCUUUCCCUAUGGUCCUCAUCUGACCUGCAAUAUUUUCCAACUCGACGAACGAGCUUCCAUGGUUUUGGAUUUUUCUCUUGUUAGGUGUGAGGCUGUCGGGGAUAGUGUUAGCCCUUUUAUGCAAGCUGAUAUGGCUACGCUUUCAUGCACAUCUAAGGUUUAUGACUUCAAUUGUACAAAUCUUUUGACAUAAUUGGCUAGAGGUGCUGGAUGCAAUGGAACAAGUCUCCCGAGUCUAUUGUUGCACGAUGGAAACCUUGGAAGUCUUGUAACAACUUUGUUUUGAGAUCGAUCCUGCUAUAUACUAACUGCAGUGGGAGUAAUGAGUACCAGUUCAGCGCGGCACCCUCACAGGCUAUGAUUAGGGACUUGGCUAAGACUACGUCAUCUCCUCUAGCUAAUGCUACUGCGGCCUCAUAGCUCAUGAGGAUUUGACGAGGGUCAUUUUGCCCAUUGAACUUUGGCAGUGAGACUAUCUUGUAGUUUGGAGGCCAUAGAGCUGUUUGUAGGCCUAUAGAUAAUGGAGAGCUUUGGUCAAUUGCUAUGUAGGGACCUAUCAUCACUAGCAUGUUGUGUCCAGCGAGGUUUGGAUCCAUUUGCAGAAUGUUUUCUGUGUUCAUGACAUGUUACUAUCUCGAAGGUGGUGGUUGUUGUUGUGGUUGCGUGUUUCAUUAAUAUUGCAACUCAUCCAACUCUUCUUGCAAUUCUGCCAGCUGUUGUUUUGCUUGAUUUAGUUUUGAUAUUUUUUGGGCUGCUAGAUGUUGGGCUUCUAGUUCAUGAGCAAACUUCUGUUUUUCUUGUUUUAGAGCUUCGAGUUGCCUUAGCACCAAGGCCAACUCCUUUUCUGUUGCACCGACUUGAUCGUUUCUUAUGCUUGACUAGGGUUAUGCUAGAUUUGCUACUUCUGCCUUGGCUCUUUUUUUCACUUCUUGUUCUUAAGUUAGCCUCGACUCUCUUUAACUUCUCUAUAGUAUCUAUGUUAUUCUGAUCAACAAGGACAAGUAUUCUCUCUUGAGCCACAUGAUUCUCUCUUUCACCCUCGGCGGCUCCCUGUGGUGUGGUCUUCUUUUUCUUCGUUUGUCGCAUCGUGGGUUGUUUUACGGCUAAAACCACGGUGGGUGCCCUAUUGGUCUCAAACGAAUUUGAUACCGAACAGAUUUAGGAUUACAAAGAGAACAAUGUACACUUCUCAAUUGGAAAAACCGAUCUCCCUUUAUAAUGGGGUAGGGCUCCCCUUUUAUUGUGACUCAUGGCCUACUUUGUAUUCCGUAAGUACCCUCGUUCAACCACUAUAUUCUUAGGAUAUGCCGUACAUAAAGGUCAUUGGGGAACAUGUGUACAAAUUGAACUUCUCCACAUGUUCACAUUUAUCAUGUCUUCCGCCUGUUAACCUCGAGACUUCAAUUGCAUCCUGAGACAGUCAUCUAGCCUUCAAGCUUCAUUCGCAUCCCGAGCUGGGCCCGUAGCCUCGAGGCUUCAGCUUCUCAAAGUCAUGAUGAAAGGUCUUAACCUUGAGCAAUUCCUCCUCGAGCAUCAUUCCUGAGUAAAGAGUAAAAAGAUGAAAGCUCGGUGUCCAGAACCAACUCCAAACACUCGAGGGUUAAUCCAAUGGAAGUUAGUCAUUAUUGUUGUCGAUCGCUACACUCGAGACCUUCCAGGGGUAGAGGCAACGCGAGGAUACAAGAUUUACUUUGAGGUGCCUCGCACAGAACAUGCAAGGUCAAAGGGGCUCCGCUUUCCUUGCUACCGAUGCGCAACUUGCGAGGUUAGGCUUGGAAUCUCCUACCGACAUUCGAGGGUUGCUGAGUUUUUAAGGAUCUCCAACACUCGGCCUUCUUCUUUAUACUAUAUAUCCCUACCCAUCCUCCUUUAUAAUAUCCCUGCAUGCAGCCUGCAUAGGGAGACUCUCCUUUAUACUAUCCCUGCCCAUCCAUAUAUUCUUAUUGUACCUUCUCUCUCCUUGUCACACCCGGUUUUUAAAACAAAAUCAAGUAUUAACUAUAUGUAUGCCAGGAUCAAGUUUCAUACAUAUAGUGACGCCAUAAGUGAAUAACAGGAACAGUAUCACGUAAAAAGAUACAAAAAGACUUACAAGACUAUCAGAGACACACCUUAAACCUUGGAAACGAAGGCUCCAAACAUCACAGGCACUCGACUGGGGGUUGCGUACGCCUAGAACUCAGCAGCAUCUUUAGAACUUCACACCUUCUUCUUCUGAGCAGCAGUUAGCAAGGGUGAGUACACUUAUGGUUGGUACUCAGCAAGGCCAUAGGAACUAACCGGAAUUAACGAUUUAAGUCCAUCUUCAAGUUUAAUUAAUCAUGUGAUGGUCCAAGCCGCUCUUAACCGUGAGCACAGCUGAUAUAUCAGUUUACACUCUGCAAAGGUUGUACACUUUACCCACAACUCAUGGUCCCCCAUGUCGCCCGGGUUUGCAAAGCCCUUAAACACUUCCCUUGGUGAGUGGCUGGGGGUUCCACUACGAAGCUUUUACAAAGACAUAUAGACAACUAGUAGCCCGCUAGAGUUUCAGUAGCGAUGUGGGUCACAACCCAUUGUAAUGAGUCAGCACCUUAGAAGGCUACAGCUCCGGGUCAUACCCCCAACACCUUCCCCCUCCUUGCCCUUUUGGUAAGGCCACUAGUCAACCAUAUGCCUAAUUAGUCGGCUAAGAUCAGAGCCAUGUGAUGUUGUGGUUGUACUGUUUUCUUAGGUGGUUCUCCAUGUUCCAAUUAACAUUCUCAUGGUAUUGUGAAUAAAGCAUAGGUAGAAGGAUGGUUAGGGACACUUGCCUUUCUCCAACGUCAAGUUACACUUAUUGCUCUUCAGUUAUUGCUAUCUUGAAACUCUUUAUCUUCAAAGUUUCGAACGAUGAUCCUUCUAAUCGAAGCAAACAUCGGCAACAAACAAUAAGAGCAACUAAGAACAAUACACCAAAACAAAAGAAAGACUUAAAACAGCGUACUAAAGGACAAGGCUCGAUCUAAGGAUCACGCAAACGCUUAAAAUGAACUAUCGAGAGAUUUGAUGUAUAAAAGAAAAGACAAGAGCUACUUGCUUCAUUUAUUUUAGUUGAGAAAACAAUUUAAAGAUAUUUCGGAGAAAUACCUUUAGUUGGAAUUAAUCAAGUCAUAUUUAUAUUUAUCUAAGAAAGACGAUGUAGUGCCUAGUCAAACUUUAUUUAUAAAUAUUUAUGUACAAAUUAUGCAAAUUAAAUAUUUAAUUUUAUAAGAAACAUGUAAAAGCAUCUAAGCGUAUAACUUUAUAUUUCGAGUUCAACUAAGCAUAUUAUAUUAAAAACACAUUUAUAUUUAUAUUAGCCAAAUUAACAUUUAUUUAUGAAAGUUCGGGUUAUAACCUAUAUAGCUUUUAUUUAGAAGACAAAUUGAAUAAUUAUUAAUCAAAUUAAAUUUAAUUUAAGAAAAGUUGAGGUUUAACUCUAAAUAGCUUUUAAUUGUAAGAAUUAUUCAAAUAAGUGUUAAUCAAAUUAUCUUCGGUUUAUGAUAAACCGGUGUAUAUCCUAAUUGGCUUUUAUUUUGGAAAGGUUAUGAAAUAAGCAUUAAUCAAAUUAAUGUUUAUUAUGAAAAACAGUGGAUAACGCUUGGUAACUUUUAUUUAGAGAAACACAUGUUCAUUAGGUAUUAAUAAAAUUAAUAUUAAAUUUAUUUUCAAAUACAUGAAAUGUAGGAUGACAUCAAUACUAACGUGUACUUCAUGUGUGUACUUCAUGUUGUUAUGAACCUAACGCAACUUGAACGGAUUAAAACGGAACUAAAACGCAAAAACUACGGACUAAACAAGAUCUAGUGACCUAAACGCAAUUAACCGUAGAUCUCAGGGGUUAGCAGAGAAGAUUACCAAGACACAGGAAACAAGGCCCACGAAAAGAUGAAAACCAAGGGUUAGAUCUGCAAAAGAGUAAGGGUUGAAUUAGAUUGAAGGAAUCUCAAUGAUUCAGGGUGUUUUCUGUGAAAGGUACAAGACACAAGAACAGGUACUGGGAUUAAAAGAUUCUUCAGGGGUUUCAAUGCAAAGUCACCUUAUCUCUUCUGCUGUCUCUCAUCUUUCUCUGGUUUCUUCCGUCCGUUCACAAUGGUGACCGGGAGGGUGCUUCCGGCCGGCGGCGACCAGGCGGGCAGCGACGGCGGCCGGGCCAGGGAGGCAGGGCGCGCGCGGCUGAUGCGGUUGAGGCGCACCGGGCCAGGGAAGCGGCGCGAGGCAACGGUUGGCGGAGAUGCGGCGGCGGUUGGACGGCGUGGUGCANNNNNNNNNNNNNNNNNNNNNNNNNNNNNNNNNNNNNNNNNNNNNNNNNNNNNNNNNNNNNNNNNNNNNNNNNNNNNNNNNNNNNNNNNNNNNNNNNNNNUCAGGUUGGGCUGGUGGAAAGGAGAGAUCCUGGGCGGGUUCGUGGGCUCGGCCCGUUUAGAAAGAUUUUGAUUAAAUAAUUUCAGUGCAAAAACAAAUCUAGAAACUCCAGAUGAUGUUUUUAGAGCACGAACAAUAUUUAGAAAAUUCCAAAAAUUCUGGGAAAAAUCCAUAGAUUGGGACAUAAGGAAUCCAAAUAAAAUAUUUGGAGCUUAUGAAAAGAAUUUGAGAACCAUCCGGAAAAUUGGAUUUAGCUCAAGGAUUAGAAAAAUUGGAAAAUUCUUAGAAGGGUCUAAUCAACGUCUAAACGCAUUCUAAAACUUUUUCACUCAUGAAACACCAAAUGCAUCGGCAUGAAUGCAUAGACAGAGAACACAUUAUUUAAUUUAAAAAAUAAAUAAUUAUUUUUCCUAUACUAAAUUUCUUGUAAAUAAAAUAAAUGUUGGAAAAAUUUAAAAAUUAUGAGAAAAUUAUUUUUUAAUUAUUUAUUUUAGUCACAUCCUGAAAUUUUUGAAUUUCCGGAUGUGACACUCCCCACAGCCUUCGACGCUAGGUCCCUCCUUGGUGGCGUUUGGCCUGUGUGUGCAAUGUGCGUGGGCCCACAAUGCUGGAGGACAUUGCGGCCCAGCUUUUUUUUAUUUUUUAAUCAGUUUUCAGUGCAGGGUGACGAGGUAUCCCGCCUCUGCAACCGUCAGCUUGUUCGGCUGGCUGCUGCUGCUCGGCUCUCUGCCGCAGUAGCUGCAGCACACAGCAGCUCUCUGCCGCAGCAACCAGCCAGCCGAACGAGCUGUGUAUUUAUUAGGCUGGACUGAGUCCUGCCCUACAGAUGCCUCAUAAAUGCAAUUUUACCUGGUGGUAAAAACGUUUUUUUUUUAUGUAGUGGUGGCGCUCUCGAGUCUCCACAAAUGCAAUGAACAUGCUGCGCCUCCCCUCGAUCCGACAGAUAUAUUAGUGUUGUUACAAAUCCUAUUUUUGUGACCAAAAGUUGCAAACGGUCAAGCACAUUUUAGUUAUUUUAUUUUACUUUCUUAGUGUCAUUUUUUUGUUGUUAGGCAUCUGAGUGGCACAUCGUAAGCUUGUCCUGGUUGCUCAGCUCAUAAGCAAUAAUUGAUGCCUGACAGUGACUGUCGUUGUUUGACCUGUCUCCACUGCUCGCUUGUGAAUUAUUGGGCCAUGUCCAAUGGCAGUCUUGCAGCUGAUUAGGUGAGGCAGCAAUCUUUUUGAGGGCCUAUAUGUUUAUGGACCAUUCUAAUUAAGUGUCCUUUUGUGGUCAGCCAUCUGAGCCACUGCUGCACAUAAUAACCACGAGGGCAGGCCCAGUGGACGCUCAGGCGCGUGCGUUAUGUCCGACUAGCUAGCUAUGGACAAAGGUCAAGUGAAUAUAUUUAUUUAUUUUUAACAUUACAAAUAUUAGACAUUUCAUGUUUUUUUGGUACCAAAAAGUUUUCAAGCAAGGGCACACAGCUCACCUGGAAUCCUAACUUCACCCUUUGGGCCCUAAUUUCACUUUCCCUCUCAUAUCUCUCCCUUUUCAAUCUCUUUGUGUUAAUUUUUAUCUGAAAAACGUGAGAUUGAACUAACUGUACAUCUCAAGACGUGUGAAUUUAAGAUAGAAUAUUUCAAAAAAAAAUAUAAAAAUAGAUCUUCAAUUAUGUAUAAAAAUAUUAACAAUAUAGUUUCAACAACCAUUCAUAAAUUAAAUAUUAAUAACAUGAAAUCGAAAUGCAAGGUGUCGGGUCCCUGGUGUGCUAUCGCUGUGUGAGGCGGAGAGAGACUGAGAAAGGAUGGAGAAUAUAGAGGACGGAAUGCAUUGUGAAAGCGACAUGUGAUUUUUUGCCCAUAGCCCCUGCAUGCUACUCUCACUGUCCAAUGAAAGAGUGCAAUUUUUCCAGAUAGAGGUGGUGUGAAAAGACACUCACAACCACAUUUAUUGACCAACUCAUAACCACAUUUAUUAACCCCAUGCAGGAAGUUUUGGCAUGCAAAUCAAAUAUAGGUAGUUACAUCUAAUUCUUAGAAUUGCACUCUUUUAUGGGAUUCUUUUCAAACGCUAGAACGACACAUAUGAUGGAGUAUAUACGUGCGCCUCAUGCCGUCACGUGGUGUGUGCUGACUAGACUAGGUGCCGGGGCCGUUUUGGGCAAGGUUUUAAGAUUGAUAAAGUCGAAAUAGAUGCUUCACCAUAGACGACGGUCACCUAGGUAAGAUACGUAUAUACGAAUGCACCACGUCAAUGCAAGACCAGUGAUGUACACGUUUUGAGCUAGCAACAAUGGCCUUUGUACACGUUUUGUCUGUGGCGGGAUGUAGGGCGCCCGUGUGUGAGCACACGCAAAUGCCUCCCCUUGGAUCCGACUAGUAGAUUUGUGUACUGACCACUGAUGGCAUAUCAUAGCUUGUCUGCUUGCCACAUCAUAGCGCGUGAACCACGAGGGCAGGACCAGUGACCUGGCCAGGUAAGGUGGGCGCUCAGACAUCGUGCAUUAAGUCUGAGGUGACGACUCUCUGCUUUAUUCCUAUUCGAGUGAAUUUUCAAAGAGAUCAUUUGAGUCCUUCAGCUUUUAAAGUGGUUCAUUUCACGUGUAAAUUCAGGUCCGUGGUUGGACCUCGAGUAAACAGUGGUUCAUUUCACUCUUUCUGUCAACAGUUAAACAUGCAUCCAUCGGUCAUGCUUUUGUUAAGUACCUGGAUUUAUUACAUAAUGUAGCAUUUCUCAUUUAACUAUUAACAUAAGGUUUCCAUACACUGCACAAGACCUUCAUUAACUCUUGAUUGCUUUUUGAAACGCCGAAUGCACGAUCGUUAUUAACAAUGAGAUAUUUGUUAGUUCCGGUGCUAACAAGUAGGCCUAACCAUGAUACAGGCCCAAGCAGGAGAUAAAAGGAAUAAGAAAAAUAGAAGAAAUGGGUAUUUCCUACUGGCAUAAAUUCAGAUAGAUGAUACAAAAGAUAUGUUAACCCUGAAUAAAUCCAGGAACAAUGAUAAGAAAUUAUGCUAAGCAACCAAAAGUUAUAUGCAGCAGCAUGAAUGUAACAUACAAAAAUAUAACAUAUGAUUCUUUGAAUUUAAUUUAGAAAACAAUUAUUUUACUACACUAAAUAUCUUGAUAAUACUAUAAUUUUUCUAGAAUUAAAUAAAAAUAGAAAAUAUUGCAUUAAUUUACCGUUAUCAUUCACAUUCCAAAAUAAUAAAUUUUGGGUUGUGACACUAACACAUCUGACGUUGCUGCAAAUUAUGAUAAUGAUGCACCAUGUCAUACAUUGCUUUGCAGAGAUACUUUCUUUUGACGUGGUCCUAUAUAUGUCUUGCCAUUUGCUUCGGCUGUCACCAACUUUGUUUAGGAAAGGAAUGAUGAUAUGGAGUUGAGAGGGCAACUGCAAUUCAAAAGAAAGGGAGAAUGAUGAGAACAUCAAGCUACGCAUGAUCCUGCAUCAGUGUAUACCGUUGGUGCUUGCCGUUAUUUUGCCAUUGUAAAAGUGAACCGUGGGCGCUUGUGUUACAAAGCCUAUUUGGCAGGGAGCAAAAGUUGCAAACAGUCAAGUACACGUCAUUUAUUUUCUUUUACAUUCUUAGUGUCUUUUUCUAUGGUGAGGCAUCUGAAUGGCUAUAGUGAAUGAGGCCCAUUAGAUCAUAAUUUAUGAUUUCGGUGAUUGAGUGACAACAUAGUCAAGGAACUAAUAGUUUGUAAAGCAUGUGUCAGUCCCAAGUGUGCAAAUCAAAUAAUGGCAAGGUCCAAAUCAUGUUAUUCAAGUAUCCAAGCUAUGGUAUUCAAGUGACCAAGCCAUGAGGAUACUUAGAUUGGUACUAACUUGAGAGUUUCAGAUUUUUCUAGAAAAUCCUCCGGAAUAUUUCGAAGUUUACAGAGUUUCGGGAGCAGUUUUGGAGGUCCAGAGUUUUUCAAAAAGUUUUUGGGAAGAAUCCGAAGGUUCUGGAAGUUUCCGGAAAAAGUUCCGAAAAAUUCCGGAACUUAACCCCCAAUGGCUAAUUUUGGGGUGAAGGGGUAUAAAUAUCCCCUCACCCCCUCCCAUAGUCUCUCUCUCGACCUAACAUUGCGCUGAGCCUCUAAAUAUCAUUCUAGUCCCCCUCUUUAAUCCCGUUGGUAUUCUUAGUGAGAUUUGGUGGGGAUUUAAUGAGGGAUUCAAGGGAGAGCAAAGGGAAAGUGCUAGUGAGCUGAUUUUCCAUCUCUUGAGCACCUUGUUUUUCGUCAAGCUGGUGGUUCCGCGUUUGUUACUCUUGGAGCUUCAAGCUCCUAGCUGGCUAGGCGUUGCCCAUGGAACAUCCAAGGAGUGUGGUUGCCUAUAGGAAGUUUGUAUUACCCCGACGAUUGAGUAAGUGACUCUAGCUUGAUCUUUGUGGUCGCUAGAGGGAGGAAAUUUGCUUAGGAGUGAAAAGUCCACCCGUCGUGGAUCCUCAACGGAGACCUAGGCUUCAAGGUGUGAAGCAGAACUUCGGAAAACAAAUCCUUCUAUCUUUUGUGCUUGUUGUUCUUAAAUUGAUUCAUAUUCAAGCAUAGACCAUAUUUCUAGGGUUUGUGCUUGAUUUACAGUUCUAGCAAGUUUCCAGCUGUUCUAUCUUGUGCCAAAGGCCUAGAAUAACCUACUACUUAACCUAUUUUUGACGAUUUACUUUUCAGCAAGUUUUUUCAAAAGAUUGUAGUUUAAAUCCUCUAAUCUCCGGCGAUCUGAAGAUUUCUCCGAAAGUUCCAAAAGUUUCAAAAUUUCCGGAACAAUCUUCGGAAGUCGCUAAUAAACUUGUUCAAAGUUGUAAAAAAUUUUAGGUUCGACUAUUCACCCCCCCUCUAGUCGACAUACUAGAUCCUUUCAAUUUGUAUCAGAGCUUUUGUUUCCGGAUUAAAGCUUAACCGCUUGGAGUAUCGAGAUGUCGACAUUGGGAAGUCAAGAGGUGCGUCAAGGAGGUGAUGUCUCAAAUCCAAAUAUCACUCAACAACCCGUGGUGCCACAAGGAGCACAAACAGGUGCUCAAGGAGGACGUGUCCGUGGAGCAAGCACAAGUGCAAGAAGGCAUCAAGAAAGCAAAGAUUCCUCCGAUGACGACUCCGAGUAUGAUGAUGCAAGAUCAACCCGCUCCGGACUUUCUGGUCCACGAAGGGAGUUUCACCAAAUCCCUUUCAAUUAUUGUCGCUUCAAUUUUAACACCUCAUCCGGGUCUAUCAACUUGGGAAAGCCUCCUCGCUUCGAGGGGAAAGAGAAGUCGUCUUUAAGUCGUACUAUCCCCCAGCUUGGGGAUCUACCAGAUAAAGAUGCUCAAACUAUAGCAGCAAUGCGCUUAGAACAACAAAUCCAUGUCAUUGGAUUUAUGAAAGAUACAGGUAUGUCUCUUGCUGAAGUUCUAGGGCAAGUUGAACCACCAGCUCCAGUGCCAGUUGUAGCUAGAUGGACCUUUGAGCUAGGCAAGCCUCUAGUAAGGCAUGAGUUGGUACGGAAACUAUCCAUGAAGAUGUAUGAUUUCCAUGAAUGGUACAUAAAGCAGUCUGCCAACGAGAGGCAAAUGUUCGGUCUUUGAGUUAAACCGAUAGAUUUUUUUAGCGAAGGUGACAAAGUCUUGUGGAUGGAAUUCAAGGAUAUAUAUGAAGUGUACCAUUAGGAUGCCCUUGACGUCUCUCUCAUCAGCGCCUGGCUUCUAUAAGUGUCUGUUUAUCUACAUGUAAAUUUUAGCUCAUAUCAUUAUUUUUUGUGCGUGUGUCGCCUACUAACUUCGUCUUCCAUUUUAUGUAGGAUGCUAAUCUAGAGCUGCCACAGAGAAUCGUACUUCAAUGUUGGCUUCAUGGAUCCAUCACUUGUUAACCAAAAGCAGAUACGGGAUUAGCUAGACAAAACAUUGGAGGCAGUAUACAAUUUCAUGGACAAACAACAUUACAAGAGUUACAUACUACUGCCAUACAACUUUGAGUAAGUGUGGGUACCGUAUAUUUUUAUUUUCUUUUUCCUUACCUAAUUAAUGUUAGUUACCUCUAAUAUGAAGAUUUAACUACAUAGUUUCCACUGGAUCCUCAUAAUAAUUGAGAUUGAUAGAAGCCACGUCAUUGUGUUCGAUUCGUUGAGGAAACCACCGAAGAAGUACCAGGACAUUCAAGGCAUGAUAAACUCGUAAUAAUUCUUGACCUUUAUCUCUAUGCAAAAGUUUGUUUCCUAAACUUUCAUGUAACACUGUAUCAUUCAUUAUUUUAAUUCGCAGCGUAUGGAAAUUAUUCCUUACGAAACACCAUGGUCCAUUCAGAGAAAAACUUUCAUUCAGAACAGACUUCUCGGUAGGUACGAAGUUUGCACAUUUUGUACAUUCUAUAACACGAAUAUUUCAUAACUUGUUUUUUCCCACUAAAGUGUUUAAGGCAGGAAUCCGGGAAUAAUCUAUGUGGAUAUUACGACUGUGAGCACCUGCACAAUUUUGUGGGACCCAAGGUGCUGACGUAGCAUGAUAUGAAAGUACGUAAAAUCAAACUAUUAAUAAUUAAUUAUUUUCUAGCUCCUUAUAUUUAAUUGUUCGUGUAACAUUCACAUAUUUCCAAUUACAGAUGUGGAAUAUUCAACAUAGCAUCUUGGAGAAGGAGAGAAUAGGGGCAAUAUGUGAAGGAUUCCUAGUGGACCGGGUGAUAAAUCCAGAGGGAGAAUUUCAUUACAAUGGACAUUUAGUAGACGCACCGAGCAACACCACGAAAGUGGAUCCUAGGAAUGAAGUGGACAAAUUUUUGUAUAUAUAGUAAUUGUAUAAAUACUAGUUUGAUUUGUAUAAUACGCUAAUAAUUGUAUAUACAUAUAUAUACACACACCACUGCAUGCACACAUGCAAACCAACCGGGACUAAAGGGGCCCGUGCUGCACCUAGCGUGGCCCCCCUUUAGUCCCCAUUGAGUGACCCGGGACUAAAACCCCCCCUCGUCUCGAAUAGUUUAUCCCGGAUGGAUUUUCGAGAGAGUUGAGGCCUACCAACCGGGACUAAUGCUCAGUUUUCUACCAGUGCAAGGUACAAAAGAAUAGCAGGCCCAAACAGAAAUUCAAAUCUCUAAAGCAAAAGAUAUGUUAACCCUGAAUAAAUUCUGGAACAAUCAUAAUAAGCAACCAAAAAAUUAUAUGGAGAAGCGUGAAUGCAACAAACAUAAUAUAACAUAUGAUUAUUUGAAUUUAAUUUAGGAAACAAUUAUUAUAAAAUACUGGAAGACUGAGCAUUGAUCCUAGCCCUUAAUACCGGUUGGUUUUUGACCCAAUACUUAUGUGAGCAUUAGUACCGAGUCUAACGGCUAGUUCCCCAGGAGCCCCCUAUGAUCCCCUUUAGAACCGGUUAGGGGCUCCAACCGGUACUACACCGGUACUAAAGGUCACCCAUUAGUACCGGGUGGCUCCACCCAGUACUAAUGUGUCUGAGGGUCUUUAGUACCGGGUGAAACCUCCAGGUGAUAUUUUUGUGAGAACUUUCAAGGCCGGCGCCCUCCUCACCCACCUUACCCGCAGCCUGCCCUCAGUCCCUCCUCCCCCGAGCCUUAUCUGCUCACUCCCUCCCCGUCCGCUCCCCUACCCCACCGCUCCUCCUCUACCUCCUUCCCCACCUCCGCUCCCCUCCGCCUCCCUUUCUCCUCCUGUGUCUCCCUCCCCAUCGGAGCUCCCUCUCGCCCCGACCCCCUCUCACUCUCCCUCUCCCGCUGGAACUCCCUCUCCCGCUGUCCCUCCCCUCCCUCUUUCACGCGUCCCUCACUCAUGGCAGUGACGAGCGGCGGCGGGGCGAAGAGUGGUGGCAGCGCACGGGGCUGCAGCGGCGCACAGGGCUCGUGUGGAUGUGGCGGUGGUGGGUGGAUGCGGUGGUGACAGUGAGCCCCCCUCACUCUCUCUCUGAUCUAGAGGCGGAUCCAGCCGGUGCGGUCGAGCUCUGGCGGGUCAUGCUACUGGGGCGUGUGGCGACACGAGGCCGGGGCACGCGGCAGGGGUGGCAGUGGUGGGGCCUGUCUCCAGCGAGGGGCCAAGUGUCCGGCAGGGGCGUGAGGCCCAAGGGUGGCAAAGGGGGCAAGGGCGGUGGCCGGUGGGAUGCAGCUCGCCCCACAGCGGCGGGGUGUGGCUCGAGCUCGGGCUGGGUGCGGCGGGUGCGGCUCGGGCGGGAUUUUUUUUUGAACUUUUUAAUACCCUUUAGUACCGAUCAUUUGAAGGCGUUUUCCCCAGCAGUGAUACUACACUAAAUAUCUUGAUAAUACUACAAUUUUGUAAAAUUAAAUAAAAUUAGAAAAGCAUCGCAUUAAUUUACCGUUAUCCAUUCACAUCCCAAAAUAAUAAAUUGUUGCUGCAAAUUAUGAUAUUAGUGCAUCAUACAUCUGGCACUUUUCGUCCUGCUGUCACUAGCCUUCUUUUUCAGUACGAUGGAGGACGACUGCAAUUUAUGGAACGAGUACGGUCCUGUUUAGUUGCCCGAUUUUGGACAACCAAAAUCACUAUGCUAGCACUGUAGCAUACUGUAGCAUUUCGUUUGUAUUUAUGAAUUAUUGUCCAAACAUUGACUAAUUAGGCUUAAAAAAUUCGUCUCGCAAAGUAUAACAAAACUGUGCAAUUUGUUUUUGAUUUCGUCUAUAUUUAGGUUCCGUUUGGAUACCUCGUGCUAAAGUUUAGCACAUGUCACAUCAGAUGUUUGGAUGCUAAUUAGGAGUAUUAAACAUAGGAUAAUUAAAAAACUAAUUGCACAGAUGGAGUCUAAUUCGCAAGACGAAUCUAUUAAGCCUAAUUAAAUUAGGCUUAAUAGAUUUAUCUCGCGAAUUAGCACAGGGAUUUGCAAUUAGUUUUAUGAUUAGCUCAUGUUUAGUCCUCCUAAUUAGCAUCCGAACAUCCGAUGUGAUACUGCUAAAGUUUAGCACCUAAUAUCCAAACGCCCUUUUAGUACUCCAUGUAUGUACCACAAGUUUGAUGUGAUGGGGAAUCUUCCUUUUGCAUAUUGUCAAAGUUGGAAUUUUGGGAACUAAGCAAGGCCUACAUCAGCACGCUGGAUACAGACUGAGCCUGCCUCAGUGCAUGCCGUCAGUGCUUGCCACUCUGCCAUUGUCCAAGUGCAACGUGGGCGCUUGUGAGUGUCCACAUGCAAUGCAAGAUGCUGCGUGCCUAUUUGGCAGUGAGCAAAAGUAGCAAACAGUCAAGUACACGUCAGUUCUUUUCUUUUACUGUGGUCAGGCAUCUGUGUGGCACAUGGUAAGCCUGUCCUGGUUGCUCAGCUCAUAAUUAAGCAAUUGAUGCUUGACAAUGACUGUCAUUGUGUGAGCUGUCAAUAACAGUGUUGCUCGAUUUGAGGGCUUAUACAUGCACCACGUGCAUUGCACGUCAAAAGAAAAAAAAAUAAAGGAUGCCUGCUGGUAUUAGAUGUGUGCAGCACUCAAAUAUUGAGCCUUGUACGUUUUGUCAGAGUCUCUGACAGGCGCCCGUGUCUUAGCACAUCCAAUGCCUGGCCGACACUUGUAGACGACUCUGCUUUUAUUCCUAUUUCUUUCAACAGUUAAACAUCCAUCGGUCAUGAUUUGUUAAGUACCUGGAGUUAAACAGUGGGCAUGGUAGGUGCUCACUGCUCAGCCAUCGCACGUGUUGAAGAACGUGUGUGGUCUUAGCUAGUCUCCUAGAGGCAAUAUUUUAAUCAGUCACCGGAAACUUUUAUUGCUCAGCUCAGCAAGCUCAUCUUGUUUGCCAACAAGUAGAGCAAGCGAGCACAGCGCGACGCACACAGCCAUGGCGAGCAUGGAGAGCCGAAGCCUCCCCAUGGCAGCAGCCACCUCCAUGUCGGUAGCUAUCGCCAUUGUCUUCCUGAUCAACACAGCCGCACCAGUGGGAGACGCGGCAUCCGUCGAGCACACGUUCAUUGUAAAUAUGCAUGAUGCUGUUUCGUUCCGUUUGAUCGACCUCUCUAGCGUCGAUCGUAUCUAUAACAACCAUUCAUGCGCCAUUAUCCACGCACUUAUGCUUGAUUUCCUUGAUCGUGUACACAUGUAGGUGAAUCAGACGAAGAUGACGCGCCUGUGCAAGGAGACACAGGUCACCGUGGUGAACGGGCAGCUCCCAGGGCCAACCAUUGAGAUCACAGAAGGAGACACGGUGACUGUUCAUGUCAUCAACAGGUCACCUUACAACAUGACAAUCCACUGGUAAGCUACGAUGGCAUACCAAUAAGUUCAUCCAUUUCAGAGGAUAAAGCUAUAUAUGGCACUGCUUAUAAGAAACAGCUAAGGUGGACCGUGCAUUUUGACGUCUAGAUUUUUUGUACGAUUGUCACCCGUUUUUCAAAAAUAUGGCUUCAAUUCUAGGAGUAUAUGUUAGACAAGAAAUCAAAAUAUUUGAUGAUAAUUACACGAUGAAAUUAUAAAAUAUAUGAAGUGCAUCAAGGAUAAAGCUGCGAAGGAUCACGUUUACUUCGUAGUAAGAUAUUUAAAAUUUAUGAGCACUUAUAAUUAUUCAGAUUGUAAAACGUUUUUUAAACAAAAUUGCAGCACUCCACACCUUUAUAGUUGACAACCUUUUGUGAUGUAUACGACAGAUAAAAUAGAGGAUAGUCUUGGAGGAGUGAGCAUUCGGGUUACUCGACAUGUUCGGGUUGGGUAAUUUGAGGUUUCAAAAGUUCGGAUUGCUCAAAUCCCUACUCAAGAUGUACCAUGGGAGAACAGUACCUGAAGUUUCACGCCUCGUUCGGCUGGCUGGCUGCUGCGGCAGAGAGCUGUUGCGUGCUGCAGCUGCUGCGGCAGAGAGCCGAGCAGCAGAAGCCCUGCAAAGCAGCCAGCCGAACGAGCUGUCAGUACCCAAAAUGUCGGGUUCGGGUGUCAAGAAAAUUUGAGAGAGGAACAAGAACAAGAACCCGAUGAACAAGAACAAAUCCAAGAGAAAGGAAAAUUUGAGAAGAAAAAUUAGGAGAACAGGUAACGAAACUUAGCAGCGUGUCAAAAAAAUUUAUUGUCGGUCCUCGCUUUGCAUCCACAUCAGGUUCCAAAAAGGAAAAGCAAUAACCAAUAGCACUCGCAUCUCGAUUCCCUCGAAUCCUCUAUAAGGUUCCAGCAUCUUCGAUUCCCUGGAGUAGGACGUAGCAUUAGCAGGGAUGUCAACUGCUAGUGAACCAGGAUCAGGGAGAUGGGACCUCGACGGCGCCGCGCUUUCCUCCACCAGCGCUGCGCCGGUCUCUUCCUGCCGCGCGCUCGCACACGCCGGCCGCCGGCACGGUCGUGCCAGGUUUGGAAUAUACUACUAGAAUAUGAGCAUUCUAGUUGAUUUUUGUACCGGAUGGUAUUUCGUCCGGUAAUAACGUUUGAAAUUGGUGCUGGAUACAAAUUUUUGAUCCUCGGAGAUAUUUUAGUACCAGACAAUAACACUAACCGGUACUAAAUGUGGUGUUAUUGCCCGGUAGUCUAGAUCAUUUAGUACUCGACAAUAACACCAGUACCUCGUGGAGUACCAUUUAGUACCGGUCAAUAACACCAACAGGUACUAAAUGUCUUGGUAUUAUUGACGGGAACUAAAAGCCUCUCCAUGAGUUACUUCAAAAUGACAGUAUUUCUAACUCAAUCACAUGUGCUACGUAGAUGAGAUGGUAAGGAAGGUUCACGUGAGUCUUGAGGUCGUGGGUUCGAAUCCCACAGACCGUGCACGCGCAUAUUACGCGAUACCGGUCAGGCGCCCGGUACUAGAGGGGGUUACUGAUCAGUACUAAAGGUCGGUUCUCCAGUAGUGAUAAGACUCUGUAGGGCAACUGGAUAAUUGUAAGCCGGACGGUGCAGGUUCCAUGGGAAAUAAUGAAGGUGGAUCUUGCAGCAAGAUUUCUUGCUCUGAUAGAUUUUUAACAUUCCGCUCUAAAAUCUGCUUACAACCUAACUCCUCACGUGGAACGGAGGUGCUAUAUUUUGAAUGAUAAGGAUUAUAAGAUGAUCCUCCUCACCUCUCCAAACUUACAAUGUGAUAAACCCACCACACUACAACCACAAUUAAACCACAUGAACCAACAACUACAGUACUAGAAGAUAUUGGGCUGGGGUAGAGUUUUUAUCUUUUCUGAGAACACAAAAGUAUUUGUGGUUUGUGAUGCAGGCACGGAGUGAAGCAGUUUCGGAACUGCUGGGCUGAUGGGGUGCCAAUGCUCACCCAAUGCCCUAUCCUGCCGAACAAAAAUUUCACCUACCAGUUCAAUGUCGUUGGGCAGGAAGGCACCCUGUGGUGGCAUGCUCACGUCCCCGGACUACGGGCAACUGUCCAUGGCGCAUUCAUUAUUCGGCCAAGGCAUGGAGCUGAGUCAUAUCCAUUUCCUCAGCCUCAUAAGGAGAUCCCAGUUAUUAUAGGUUUGUGAACCUUUCAGAUUUUUAUUGUUUAGGAUAUGAGAACCUUAACUUCGUGCAAAUUUAAUUGGUCCCCAUUUUGAGAAAAUAAAAUAUGUCAUGUCCUAUGGGAUUUAAAUUGUGCGCAAUUUUGCAAUGGUUUUGCAAGUAUCUAGUAGAUGUGAAAUGAUCCUGAUGAUUACAGGGGACUGGUGGGAGAAGGACCUUGCAGAGAUGGCCAGGAAUAUGACGAAGAGCAUCUUUCUGUCUUAUGCUAGUGCAUCCACAAUCAAUGGCUUGGUCGGAGAUCUCUUCAAUUGCUCAGGUAAGCAAUUAUACGAUUCUAAACAGCCAUUUAGCACAAUUAAACUCUAUUUAAUUACUGCACAGUAGCCAGCUGAUUAAAUUCUCAGUCUUAAUGGUCUUGAGUUUUAGCCCGUACAAAUGGCCGUUUAGCAUAAUUAAACAGCCAUUUUGGUGAAAACUGUAUACAAUUGUGCGUUUGGUGAAAACUAUAUUGGAUAUUUGUCCAUGUCGAAACUGAUAUACACUACGGGAAAGCUAAAAAUUGCCGAGUGUAUUUUUUUUGCCGAGUGUUUUUUUCAAGCACUUGGCAAACAAGCUCUUUGCCGAGUGCCAAGCUAAAAACACUCGGCAAAGAAAAAACACUCGGCAAAGAAAAAACACUCGGCAAAUCGGGGCUUUGCCGAGUGUCAAAUAAAAAACACUCGGCAAGCCACCCUCUUUGCCAAGUGUCUUAAAAAAUACUCGGCAAAGAGGGGGCUUUGCCGAGUGUCAAAAAAGACACUCGGCAAAGAGGGGGGGUUUGCCGAGUGUUUUUUUUGACACUCGGCAAAAAAAUAAUUUUUUUUCCUCUUUUCACCUUGAAAUUUUUUCUACUCCUCACAUACAACAUGUGGUACUCCAUGUUAAAGUUUAGUAUAUUUUUGAAUUUAUUUGCUAUAUUUAUUUAAUUAAUUGCAUUUCAAGGGAUAUUUUGGUAUAAGUCAAAUUUGAACUGCAAGUGAUUCAAAUUAUGGAACAAAAUAAGUAUAAAAAUGAUAUUCAUGUUAUUUGGCCCAAUUUGAGACCUGACCCAUGAAAUGAAAAGAAAUUUCGAACAUCUUGUUCAGGAAACACGAACAUGAACCUGUGGCAGUAGUAUUUUUAAAUUGUAAAAAAAACAAGCAAAAUCUGAAAAUCAAGAGAUUUGUCAUGAUGUGAUGAUAUAAUAUGUGGAGGCUGUGGAAAAAAGUGAGAAAGUUUUUCACAUUUCAUCAUGUAUGAUGAUUACAAACCGAAGCAUCUCAGAAGAAGAAUAGUAACUUUGAGAAGGAUUCGAUAAAAUUUAGAGUCGAAGUGACGGUCGAGUUCGGUUUGACUACAAAACUUUUUAUAUAGUCAGUAGAGAACAUAUAUUAUUUCGUGUGAAAAUUUGGUAUUUUUUUUGAAACUGCUAGAUAUUUUUUAAUUUUUUUUAAAAAAAUUUGUUGAGUGUCCUAGGGUGGACACUCGACAAAGAAACCCUUUACCGAGUGUCCACACUGGACACUCGGUGACGUUUUUUUCCCUGUACCGGCCAGGCCUGCCUCCUCUCACCGCCCCCGCCCACCCCCCCUCGAGACACCCCCUGCCCCCACUCCCCACGAUAUCAAGGAGAGUCCGCUCNNNNNNNNNNNNNNNNNNNNNNNNNNNNNNNNNNNNNNNNNNNNNNNNNNNNNNNNNNNNNNNNNNNNNNNNNNNNNNNNNNNNNNNNNNNNNNNNNNNNNNNNNNNNNNNNNNNNNNNNNNNNNNNNNNNNNNNNNNNNNNNNNNNNNNNNNNNNNNNNNNNNNNNNNNNNNNNNNNNNNNNNNNNNNNNNNNNNNNNNNNNNNNNNNNNNNNNNNNNNNNNNNNNNNNNNNNNNNNNNNNNNNNNNNNNNNNNNNNNNNNNNNNNNNNNNNNNNNNNNNNNNNNNNNNNNNNNNNNNNNNNNNNNNNNNNNNNNNNNNNNNNNNNNNNNNNNNNNNNNNNNNNNNNNNNNNNNNNNNNNNNNNNNNNNNNNNNNNNNNNNNNNNNNNNNNNNNNNNNNNNNNNNNNNNNUUGGUCCCACAUCUCUAAACCAAUGGCCCGGCAUGGAUGCACCAUAUCAGUGUUGAUUCUCAAAAAGUCCCUGAUACGUUUAGUAUCCAUCUCAAGAUUCCUCUAGCAUUGGGCACAGAUACCGUCUACACAUAUCUGUGGGAAAUUUUUGUAAUCUCAACAUAACAACUUAGAUUACAACUUCUCACUUAUGUGUCCCUCCUACGUAUGUGAUUAGGACUUAGGUGCUGUGAUAUGCAAGCACAUCUAAACGUAACAUUCUAGGACUCAGCCCCAAUCCUUGGUGCGACGUAUAUGAAUUGGAGGGGUGCCCCGUGCAUCAACCUAAUCUCGGCAUUAGGCUAAACACCAAUCAAUUACAGCACUGGGGGGAUAAGAAGUACGAGAUCCAUCUACUGUGUGUAGCUGAUCUUCACCAAUCAAGAACCUGUUCUUGAGAGGUGAAUCAGUUCUACGUCAAACUCUUAAUCAACCAGGAGUGAGAAGUUCCUGAUCUGGUGAAGAUAAGACCUACUUCAUCUACAGUAACACAUCUACUACUAUCGGUGGCAUCANNNNNNNNNNNNNNNNNNNNNNNNNNNNNNNNNNNNNNNNNNNNNNNNNNNNNNNNNNNNNNNNNNNNNNNNNNNNNNNNNNNNNNNNNNNNNNNNNNNNNNNNNNNNNNNNNNNNNNNNNNNNNNNNNNNNNNNNNNNNNNNNNNNNNNNNNNNNNNNNNNNNNNNNNNNNNNNNNNNNNNNNNNNNNNNNNNNNNNNNNNNNNNNNNNNNNNNNNNNNNNNNNNNNNNNNNNNNNNNNNNNNNNNNNNNNNNNNNNNNNNNNNNNNNNNNNNNNNNNNNNNNNNNNNNNNNNNNNNNNNNNNNNNNNNNNNNNNNNNNNNNNNNNNNNNNNNNNNNNNNNNNNNNNNNNNNNNNNNNNNNNNNNNNNNNNNNNNNNNNNNNNNNNNNNNNNNNNNNNNNNNNNNNNNNNNNNNNNNNNNNNNNNNNNNNNNNNNNNNNNNNNNNNNNNNNNNNNNNNNNNNNNNNNNNNNNNNNNNNNNNNNNNNNNNNNNNNNNNNNNNNNNNNNNNNNNNNNNNNNNNNNNNNNNNNNNNNNNNNNNNNNNNNNNNNNNNNNNNNNNNNNNNNNNNNNNGGAUGUUGGCAGCAGUUAGCACGCCAGUUUGAACCACAAGCCCAUGGAUUAGUUGUAACUCUUUCCUCAUAAUAUUCGUCUAAGAUUUAUCAAUCCGUGGAACUUAUAUUGCAAGAUCAGCUAAUGUUUUCAACAUGAUUUAAGUUUAUAUAUGAUUCAGAUCUAAUCUAGCAUGUACAGACAGAUAGCAGAUUUGAGUAAGUUUAUAAAGGAUUAAGAUGCUGCCUCCCCUUCGACCCCGACAGAUAGAUUCGUCUUGCAAAUCCUAUUCAUCAGUGACAAAAUGUUGCAAACCUUCGAGUCCACAUCAGUUAUGUUCCUCACCUUUCUGNNNNNNNNNNNNNNNNNNNNNNNNNNNNNNNNNNNNNNNNNNNNNNNNNNNNNNNNNNNNNNNNNNNNNNNNNNNNNNNNNNNNNNNNNNNNNNNNNNNNUCUGUUACAUGUGCAGGAGGAGAAUAUUAAAUUGUGGAAACCACUAUCUCAGUCUAGUCGUAUAAACACUAAAAACCAUUGCCCCCCAAAAAUAGUUUAGUCGCUAUGAAGAUACGCAAAAAUAUACUAAAAUAGAAAAGUCUCUAUGAAGACAGCAUAACAUCCUGCUAGAACAAUGAGUGGACCCUAACAAGAUAUUAACAGAGUCUAGUGAAUUAAGUUUAGACAAUAUCUUGCUAAAAAUGAGAAGUUUGGGCCUCAUUGACAGCAUAAGAUUAUGUCAGUUCCUUUCAUUGCUAAACAAUGAGAUUCAUCAGUACGUUCAGGUUUCUUCCAUUAAUUGUUAUGCUGUGCAACAUCAUGCUUAAACUGGGUCUAGUGGGACAUGAAAAAUCUGAAACAAAAAAAAUGUACAUGAGCGUACUUAAUUUUUUAAUCUUCCAGUGAACAUAUAUAUUUGUAGAGUCAGAAAAACAAGUAUUAUAUGAUAAAACGGUGCAAAAUUGAUAUCCAUAACAAAUCAUUUAUAUUCUGCUGAUUACCAUAUUAAUUAACCUUCAAUCAGUAUCAUUCUUAAAGUGCUUGGUUUAUUUACAGUAAUUAUACUCCAUACCUUUAGAUAUGGAUAAAAUAGGAAAGUGGCGAAAAAUAUGUCUCGAAGUUGCUGGACUUACGUUUGGUGUAUUGUAAGAACAGCCACAUACAAUUUGAUACCUUUACUCCAUUAGAUAGGGACAAAAUGGGAAAGUGGAAGCAAAGACAUGUCCUGAAGUUGUUGCACUUCUAUUUAGUGCACUUCUAUUUAGACACCUUUACACACGGAUCUCAAGGAGUGAAUAAUUAAGUAUACCGCAAUCCUUCAACAAAACUAGAACCAGAGUUUUUUCCUAUAAAUAUUUGAUCAUAUUUAUUAUCUUAAUUUCAUAAGAUGUGCUGCCCAUAUUUUUUUAUCCUAGUUUGAUGCCCAUGUACGACCUCCAAGAACUAAUUCUCGAUCUUCUAUGGUGUAUACAGGUGUUUGGUUCAUGCACUGCCACUAUGAGUUUCAUCUUUCGAUGGGCAUGGCGGCAGUGUUCAUAGUAGAGAAUGGGCCAACAAUGGACACAUCUCUCCUUCCACCACCUGUGAACUUUCCAACUUGUAGCCAUGACAAUAGUCUCAUCCAAACUAUAUGAAAAGUGAAAUCUAGCUAAUAAAUGGAGCAAGUACAAAGAUAACUCCGACCACUUGUUUUAAAAUAUGUCAUUAUGAAUAAUGAAGGUGCGGUAUGAGAUAAAAUGUAUCCGUAUUAUUUAUGUUAACAAAUCGAACCUGGUUUGCAGCAGAUGAAUUAUCCUGCAUCUGUAUGAUUUGAACAUAUUACGAUUUACUUGUGGUUGAAUCACCACUGUGAACACCUUACCCAUGUUAGCCCUGCCGUGCCGACCCAAAACACACCGGUACGGACGGUUCGUCCACAUCUCUAAAACAAUGACCGGCAUGGAUGCACAAUAUCAGUGUUGAUUCUCAAAAAGUCCUGAUACGUUUAGUAUCCAUCUCAAGAUUCCUCUAGCAUUGGCACAGAUACUGUCUACACAUAUCUGUGGGAUAUUUUUGUAAUCUCAACAUAACAACUUAGAUUACAACUUCUCACUUAUGUGUCCCUCCUACGUAUGUGAUUAGGACUUAGGUGCUGUGAUAUGCAAGCACAUCUAAACGUAACAUUCUAGGACUCAGCCCCAAUCCUUGGUGCGACGUAUAUGAAUUGGAGGGGUGCCCCGUGCAUCAACCUAAUCUCGGCAUUAGGCUAAACACCAAUCAAUUACAGCACUGGGGGGAUAAGAAGUACGAGAUCCAUCUACUGUGUGUAGCUGAUCUUCACCAAUCAAGAACCUGUUCUUGAGAGGUGAAUCAGUUCUACGUCAAACUCUUAAUCAACCAGGAGUGAGAAGUUCCUGAUCUGGUGAAGAUAAGACCUACUUCAUCUACAGUAACACAUCUACUACUAUCGGUGGCAUCAUAUAUCUAACUAUGGUGAUACAAAGAUAACUUCCUGGAAGGAGUGAUAACUAGUGCAACCUAGCAAAUAAAACUCGAAGGCAACCACCGUCUUCAGCCAGCAAUCUAAAUCGAGGAUUCACCCAACCACACUCACAAAUAACAAACCAACACAACUUAGAAUCAAACGGAUCAGAACCACCUGGAAUCUAACUUCUUUGAUACAAGGAUUCAUUACACUAGGGCCUCCAUAUAUAACUCAUUGUUGUCUAAUUCCUUAGAUAACCUUUAUUGGGAAGUCAACUAAAACAAAAAAAUAUUUUUAGGAUCGGAUUAAAACGUGGCGUGCCAGCACCUAUUUAGGAGCAAACGAACCUAUAGCCCAUGCAUAGAAAUAGAUUUUCAAAGACAAGUAAGGGGCGAGCCACCCCUAGAAAUAGGGUUGUUUCCAGGUGUGGAUGAUGGAAUGACUCGCCCCUGAAAAUAAUUUUAUGAGGUGGCUUGGCCCAUGACCCAUCCCUGUAAAUUAAUCUUUAGGUGCUGGUAGGAUGCUACAGUAGUAUGUUCUUUUUGUGGAAGCAGGGAACUUGUCGCCGGAUGUUGGCAGCAGUUAGCACGCCAGUUUGAACCACAAGCCCAUGGAUUAGUUGUAACUCUUUCCUCAUAAUAUUCGUCUAAGAUUUAUCAAUCCGUGGAACUUAUAUUGCAAGAUCAGCUAAUGUUUUCAACAUGAUUUAAGUUUAUAUAUGAUUCAGAUCUAAUCUAGCAUGUACAGACAGAUAGCAGAUUUGAGUAAGUUUAUAAAGGAUUAAGAUGCUGCCUCCCCUUCGACCCCGACAGAUAGAUUCGUCUUGCAAAUCCUAUUCAUCAGUGACAAAAUGUUGCAAACCUUCGAGUCCACAUCAGUUAUGUUCCUCACCUUUCUUAGUCCACAUCCGAGUACUACUUUUUUAGAUAAAGGAUAAUGUUCUAGCCUCUGCGACGGCAUAAAACCAACUUUUAACAAUGUUCUCAUCCCACAGGCAGAUUAUGAAUAGAAGGGUAAGGGCACACAAAUGGUAGGAAGGAAUCAAAAGCAAACUCUAUUAUUAUUUCUCUAUCCAUUCUUGGCAGUACAAAUAUCCAAUGAGAUGACUUCCAAUGCCUUAUUUGCUAAAAGAACAGUCUUUCUUGUGUUCUCACGCUAUACAAGGGACUAAGAUCGCAUCAGUAUGCUCCCCGGAAAACAGUCUAUAUAAAAGAGGUAAAACUUUUUUGUCAAAAAUCAAAUCAUUACGUAUACACCAGAUGCAUCUGGCCCACGUAAGAGCUGCAUCCCAAAAUCCUUAUUUCUUAUGGUCAUUAACAUUAUUUUUCGAAGGAUGUGCGCUAUUGACUUUGGUUGGGUUUGCUGCUUGCUCAGCUAAUAAGCAAUUGAUGCCUGACAGUGACUGUCGUUGUGUGAGAUGUAUUAUCCUCUGAAAAAUAAUAGUUGCGUCGCAAAAGCAGCUCUUUUUGUCCGGUUGAAAAUAAGAAGAAAAAACCAAGGAUGCCAGUUGGCAGUCAGCAAUAUGAGCUAGCAAUACUAGUGUUAAACGUUUGUCUAUAACGGGAUGUACGGUGCCUGACAAUCACAAUAAAAUCUCCAUUAUCACCUACCGGAACAUGCAAUAUGUCUGGCCGAAAUAUACAAUAAAAUCCCUUCGACCCCACAGAUAGAUUUGUGUUACAUUCCUAGUAUUCCUAGUAUUUUUAUUUUCUGCCCAUGACCACUGACAAUUUUGCUAUACACGGUACAAUUCUAAGUGUCCUUUUGUGGUCAACAAUCUGAGCCACUGCUGGCCCUAUUAAAAGAUUGACUGCUGGCCGCGUGAACCACGAGGGCAGGACCACAGUCUGAGUUGAGCUGCCUUCCUCCUCAGCUCAUCAUAAGCAAAGUGAUGCCUUACAGUGACUGACAUGGGCCAAUGGCAACUAUGCAAACACAAAAUCACAUUUGGAAUCAUUUUGGAAAAAAAAGAGCGUCCAAUUUUGACUUCAUAUGCAAAAGUUGCGCCUGUUUUAUUGAACACUAUGCAAGUCAGUUAUGCAAAAGCCGCUGACCGAAGCUUGCAGACUGCCGAGUACAAGUCAGUUAUUUAAUUUUCUCCUCAUGCACUCCUAACUAGUUUAUUCUUUCCGUUCCAAAUUGUAGAUUUUUCUAGAUACAUAGCAAACAUGUAUAAACCUAGAAAAAAUCAAAACCAAAACGGAGGAAACACUACACAUGCUACCUUUCUGUGUGUCCUUUUUAAUUUGCUGGCCGCAUAAUAGCUUGUCUGCUGGCCACAUAGUACCACGAGGGCAGGCCCAAUGGGCUCUCAGACAAGGUGCAUUAAGUCAGAGCUGAUAAGCAGUUGAUGCCCUACAGUGACUGACAUGGCCCAAUGGCAAUCUUGAUUGCAAAAAUAACAGUAGUAGCACCACGCGCAAUGUGAGGAAAAAAGUGUGCAAAAUGUGCGGCACUCGAUCGAUAAUUGAGCUAGCAACAUGUACUUACGCUUGUCUGUGAGGGAUGCAUUGUGCCUGACAAUGACAAUGGCAUGCAUCUCUCUCAGUGCUCACCUACCUUCUGACAUCUCUCUCAGUGACAUCUCUCUCAGUGCCCACCUGCCUUCUGACAUCUCUUUCAGUGCUCACCUACAUGUCAGUGUCUACUGACCACAUAGCUUGUCUACUUGCCUGGUGCGCGUGAACCACGAGGGCAGGACCAGUGGUCGUGCACUACUAGGAAUUGAUGGCGCGGCGUGGCUUCUAAGGCGGUGUUUGGAAACAUCCUGCUAAACUUUAGCACCUAUCACAUUAGAUAUUUGAAUACUAAUUAGAAGUAUUAAAUAUAGUCUAAUUAUAAAACUAAUUGCAUAGAUAGAGUCUAAUUUGCAAGACGAAUCUAUUAAGCCUAAUUAGUUCAUGAUUUGAUAAUGUGGUACUACAAUAACCAUUUGCUAAUGAUGGAUUAAUUACCUUUAAUAGAUUCGUCUCGCGAAUUAGACUCCAUUUGUGCAAUUAGAUUUGUAAUUAGCUCAUGUUUAGUCCUCCUAAUUAGCAUCCGAACAUCUGAUGUGACCCUGCUAAAGUUUAGCACCUCGUAUCCAAACACCAUAGUAUAUGUAUUUUCUUCAAUCGUGUCAUCACCCAUUAGUUGUCGUCGCUGAAAUCAAGAGGCGAAAGUGUCAAUGUGAUGAAGUGUAAUCUAGGCCUCAGUCUUCCCCUAGUUUGAGGACCGUAUAAUGGUCAAGUGCUCCUUCGUAUAUGGAGCGACUAGGGAUGAUUGUUGCAGGACUGUGAAGUGUGCAUUACAAAAAGUAUCCUCAUCGAUCUCCAUCCGAGCUUUCCUCCCUAGUGUGCCCUUUCCCUUCAGUCUCCCCUCGUGGCGUGAUACAAGGACUCUAAUCGAACUCAAGUCAUCAAUAAAAUCAACACAAAACUCAAUGAUCUCCUCUCUUCCAUAUACCUUUGCGAUGCUUCCUUCUAGACGGGCACGAUUAUGAAUAUACUUCUUUAAAAUUACCAUAAACCUCUCAAAAGGGAACAUAUUGUUUAGAAAUAUAGGAUCGAGAACAAAAACCUCUUCAACAAGGUGGACUAGAAGGUGGGUCAUGAUAUUAAAGAAGGAAGGUGGAAAGACCGUCUCAAAGCUGACAAGGCAUUGCCCACGUCAUUCUGCAGCUUUAGUAGAUUGUCUGGAUGGAUUGCCUUCUGAGAAAUUUUGUUGAGGAAUGCACAUAGCUUCAUGAUUGCCAUUCUCACAUUCUCCGGUUGAAUACCCCUAAGUGCAACAGGCAGCAAUUGUGUCAUCAGGACAUGGCUGUCAUGGGCCUUUAGAUUUUAGAAUUUUUCUCGUUAAUAUUUAUUAUUCCCUGUAUAUUUGAGGAGUAGCGCAAUGGGACCUUGAUACUAUUUAAGCACUCAAACAUGCUUUCCUUCUCUUCUUUGCUGAGAGUGUAACUAGCAGGAUGCAAGUAAUGUCCAUCAUCUCCCUUUUCCGGAUGUAGGACAUUUCGUUGUUUCAUACAUUUCAAGUCCCGACAUGCUUCAAUUGUAUCCUUUACCUUUCCAUAUGUACCGAGGAAGCCAAGCACAUUCACACAAAGUUUUUUCAUCAGGUGCAUCACAUCAAUUGUAUUACAGACAUCAAGGAUUUCCCAAUAAGGUAGCUCCCAAAAUAUAGACUUUUUCUUCCACAUGGGUGCAUGUUCAUCCUCAUCGUUCAGAAUAGGUUGGCUACCAGAGCCCUUGCUAAAGACUACCCUCACAUCCUUUAUCAUAGAAAAUACACACUUACCAUUAUGGUGAAUGGGCUUAGAACAUUUUUCUUUCUCCCCUUCAAAAUGCUUCCCUUUCUUUCUUAAUGGGUGCUUAGCAGAAAGAAAUUGACGAUGUCCCAUAUACAUGACCUUCCGAUAAUGUUUCAAAUACAUACUGCAAGUAUCAUCUAAACAGUGUGUGCAGGCUUGAUGUCCCUUGUUUGUCUGUGCUAAUAGAUUACCAAAUGCGGGCUAAUUAAUUAUGGUUACGGACAGCAAUGCUCAUAGAUUAAAAUUCUCCCUUUUGUCCUCAUCCCACACACGUACACCUUCUUCCUUCCAUAACAGUAAAAGUUCACCAACCAACGGUCUUAGGUAAACAUCAAUGUCAUGGCCAGGUUGUUUUGGGUCUUGGAUAAUACCAGCAUCAUAAUGAACUUCUACUUCAUGCACAUUCAAGAUGGAAGGUUGAACAUAGAUAAGGUCAUAGGCCAAGUGCUAUGACCACUACUAAACUCACUAAAUGGAUUGAAUCCAUCCGUACUUAAACCAAGCCUUAUGUCCCUUGCAUCCUUUUCAAACUCGGAAAAUUCUCUGUGUACUGUUCUCCACUGAGACCCAUCAGCAUGCAUAUCUAGGGCGAAAGGUUGAACAUACAUAAAGUCAUAGGCCAAGUGCUAUAACUAGUACUGAACUCACAAAAUGGAUUAAAUCCAUCCGUACUUAAACCAAACCUUAUAUUCCUUGCAUCCAUUUCAAACUCAGGAAAUUCUAGUCAACUAUUCUCUAAUGGGACCGAUCAGUGGGGUGUGUGAUCAUUUCAUCUUACUUACUUUCUUCUUUGUGCCAAUACAUCAACUUUGCAUGUGCCUUGUUUUGGAACAAACACUUAAAGCGUGGUACUAUAGGGAAAUACCACAUUACCUUCGCAGGAACUUUCUUCUUGCUAGCCUAGCCCUCAACAUUACUAGGGUCAUCUCUUCUGAUCUUAUAACGCAGCGCUUUGCAUGCAGGAUAAGCCUCCAAUUUGUCGCAUUCCUCACCACGAUAGAGGAUACAAUUAUAAGGACAUGCAUGUAUCUUUUGUACCUCCAAACCUAAAGGGCAAACAACCUUUUUCGCUUUGUACGUUGAGGACGACAAUUCGUUCCCCUUAAGAAGCAUGUUCUUUAUGAUUUUGAUUAACUCAUCAAUACCCUUGUCAGAAACUUCAUUUUUUUUGCCUUCCAUUACACCAUUUCCAGUGUGGUACCUAACUUUUUGUGCUCCUGUUUGCAAUCUGGGUACAACAAUUUCUUAUGAUCAUCUAACAUACGCUCAAACUUCUUUGACUCCUUCACAUUCUCGUAGUCUUCCUUUGCAUCUCGCAACACUUGACCUAGAUCAUUGAUAGGAUCUUCUACCUCGCCCAUCUCUUCUUCAGCCUCGCCCAUUAGAGCAUCUACAAAGACACCUCCUUGAGUCCAGUCAGGAACGUUGUCAUCUUCUUCUUCAUCAUCAUCUUCCAUCAUAACUCCUCUUUCCCCGUGCUUAGUCUAAACAAAAUAGUUAGGUAUGAAUCCAGAACUGUAUAUGUGGGCGUGAAUAGUCUUCCUUGAUGAGUAAUCUUUCCCAAUUUUGAAAUUUCUGCGUGGACAACAAAUGAAAUCAGAUGGUGGCUUGUUGGAUUUUGCCUGAUCGAGAAAACCACGCAAGGCAUUAAUGUACUCCAUGGAGCGUUUGGCUGUGUUGUACAUUCAUUGCCGAUCCAUCUACAAAGUAUUAUCGAACCAUUAAGAUAUAAUGAUCAUGCAUAUAAUUAUAAGCAUAUACAAAUUUCAUAAAACUUAAAUAUUGCUGAAAGUUUAGAUAGAAAUACACAAAUUUAAAGUUCAAACCCAAACAACAUGAUACACUACGACAAACUCAAAUGUUCCUUAAAGUUUAGAUAGAAAUACACAAAUUUAAAUUUUAAAUCCAAACAACAUGAUACACUACGACGAACCAUCCACUUGAGUACUAUCUAGGAGGACUUUAAGUAUCCUUGGGCAGCGGAGACGAAGGUUUAGCUGACCUAGCCUCAUCCUGUUGAUUAUUUGUGCCUCCUAUGGGUAGUAUUCAGUUGACUUGAAAACAUCGGGACUGGCGGUGGAGCAUAACGACUACCAAAAAGAGGUUCCUGACCCACUGCAAUAGCAUCUUCAUGACAUCUUUCCAAAUAACGAAGCAUUGCUCUCUCCCACGUGGUUAUUUUCUUCAGCUUAUCAUGAGGGCCAACUGUGGUUCUCACCUAGCCGCAAGAGGAACGAUGAUGGGGCCCACUAUCGCCACUCCCUCUAGCAGUAGUAGCCAUCUCUAUGUACCAUAAUUUAUUUUGCUCAUAUUUGCAAAUGACUAAACUAUGAACAAACUAUAUUUUCCCCACAAUUUAAUCUUAUUAUCUCUAUGUACCACAAUUUAUUCCACAUAUUUGUAAAGGACUAAACUAUGAAAUUAUUCCUCUAACCUCAUAUUAAUCAUAGCAUCCAAAAAUUUGUAGCUCAAACAUAAAUAACACAUGCAUAAAAUUUCUCCAUUGUAGCUUUUUCUAAAGAUAACAAAUUACUCUAGCUCUAAAGCAUAAAAUUUAGUAUACUAACCAUGUAUCAAGGGAGAUGGAGUUUCUAACCUUUAGAACACUUGAAUGGGUGAAAUCCCCACGAAAUGGUCAAAAAUCUGGCAGCACCUCCCCUAUUUCGCCAUGAGUGGAUGAUGCCCGAACUGGAGGAAAUGGCUUGGGCAGGAGGAAGAAGACGCCUGAUUUAUAGGAGGAAAGUUAGUAUCAAGUGGAGGCUUCACCCGGUACUAAAGGUUGCCAAUUAGUACCGGGUGAAGUCUCCACCCGGUACUGAAGGUCCUUAGGCACAUUAGUACCGGUUGGAGGCUUCAACUGAUACUAAUGGAUGACCUUUAGUACAGGGUGAAACCUCCACCCGUUACUAAAGGGGGUCACGGGGCACUACUGGGGAACUAGCUGUUAGACUCGGGACUAAUACUCACAUUAGUACCAGGUCAAAAAACCAACCGGUACUAAGUCUCGAGGUGAAUGCUGAGGUUUCCAGUAGUGGAGCCAACCUAUAUUACAACACAAUCAAUCAAUAAAUGCAGUGCGCAUUGCGAGGGACAUCGAUCGGUGAAGGGGAAUAGCAACACCAGCUCUCGUAGGCAAACCAUCGUGCACAUGGCGUGCAUGCAUCUCCUGUGUCCUUUCUAUACCUACGUGGAGCUGGAACUUGGAAGUAUGUAUCGGUGUCGUGAUUAGCGUCAUGGCGUGGCAGAGGCAUCUCUGGAGAUGCUGAGCUAGCGCUGCCACAAGGCAAAUUGGCCGGCAUGUGCUUGAGGAAUCUGUGUCGUUGUGGCCUUGUGGCUUGUGGGUAGCCUGGUACGUGCUCAACCAUCGCAUGUGUUGAACGUGUAUGUGGUCCUAGUCUCCGAUAGGCACUCAAGUCUCCGUGCUCAGCGAUCUACCUAGUAGAGCGAGCACAAGCAAGUUGCUACCUCCAAAUGUUGUAUUUGUGUCCGCUGAGCCCUAUAUCACAAAACGUUUUCUUUUGACUGUGUCUGCUACAGAAAACCUAAUUGUUUUAUACAUGUUUGAAGGGCACCUAAUUUUUCCAUCACUACUGUUAGCCAUAAAAUGAUAUAAAAAUAAAAUGGCAGUCAUAUUUAUUAUGGCAAAUAUUAAUAGCAGUGUGUUGUUGCAAGCGGAGAUAACUAGUGCAACCUGACAGAUAAAACUUGAAGUCAACCUCGAUCUUUAACCAGCAACCUUAAUUGAGGAUUCUCCCAACCACAAUAUCAAAGAACCAACCAACACAACCUAGAAUUAAAAGUACCAGGAGCACCAAUUGGAAGCUGAUGACGCAACCGCUUCCAUAACCCCUCAAGGAAAUUGCAAGAGAAAAGGGGUGGAGAUCACUCUCCUAAUUUGUUAGCACACAUCUAAACAAAAGGGGUUACAUUCAAUUAUCAAAGUCUUGUCUAAAUAUUUGGAUACAAUGAUUUUUUAUACUAGGAACAACCCUCUUAGUUGGGUCUGAAUGGACCUUGGAGUUUCUAGAGUUAUGCUAACUCGAAGGUCACCAUGAACAGAAAUCUCAAAAGAGACUCGCGUGGCUGUUGGCGUUGUAUGCAGUCUCCACUAAAUCGAUUAUAACUCUUGUUUGGAAAGUCCACAUGAAAUGCAGUCUAUGCAGUCUCCACGAAAUUGACCUUAGUUUCGUGGAUUUUGUUUAGUUCUAAUUUUUCAUUGAGAAACACAAUCAUUCAUUAUAACUAUAUAUGGCGACAAGUUCGUUUAGUAUGAUUCAGAACAGUUGUUCUUGUUCUUCUCGAUUGUGGUAAUUUAUCCUUUUGUGUUAAGAGCUUGAACCUCAUUUUCAGAUUCGCUUCAUAUACAUAUACAAUUUCAUAUUACAUUUUUUUCACUUUCUUUCUUGUGUUCUUCGAUUUGCUUUAUGGGGAAAGUCUUAUUGGCGAGGUCAAUUGAAUUGUACUUAGUUGAUAACCAACAGAGUAGUGGUGUAGCAGUUGCAACAGUUUGAAUCACGUCAAGCUUCAUCUCAUCCAAUUUAUCAUAUACCUAUCAGAAGAUCAGGCCAAUGCAAUAUAAGCUAGGCACGCAGCAUAGCCAUGUACCAAGGGUGUGGUUCUGGGAGUUUUCUCCAUAUGUAGUGAGCUAAGCAGGGUCCAUCCCUUAAGAUGAGGUGAAUAAAAUAUCCAGCAAAAUAUAAUCUACUAGUUGUUUUUGGCCCAUGUGGUUAGUUAUGGUUCUAAUUGGUGGGUUUAGUACCACCUUGGAAGUUUUGAGGUCGGGUGAGGGCAAGUUUAUAAUCCUUGUCGCUCCAAAGAAGCACCUUUGGGUUAACCCUUUUAUAUGAAGCGAGGAUGUAAGUGUAAGAGACUUGAUAUGCGUAUGCAAGUCCAUUCCAUGUGAGUAGUUAGGCUGUUAUAUUAGUAGACUUUGGAGUGGGGUUUUACAGAAGGUUUUCAGAGCAUGAAUCCUCACUUCACGUGCGUGCGCAGUCAUGUACCGAGGUGUGUUUCUAGGAUUCUACUGCGUUGUGGUGAGCUGUCCAGGGCAUCUGCCUAUAAUGUGGGGUCCUAACUCAAUAUCUCAUGUGGUCUAGUUGUGUUUGUAGUUGGUGAGUUUAGUACAACCUUCGAAGUUUAGUAAGGUGAUGGCUACAUUAUAAUCUUAUUGUUCCAAACACAACAUCUUCAGAUUAAUCCUUUUACUCGAAAUGAGAACGAUAGUGUAAUAGAGGUGCUCUGCGUACGUAGGCCUGUUCCACGUGAGGCGCGUGUCUUAAAAGAAGAUAAACAAAGCAUGAGUGUGUGGGAUCCUUGGCAUCCACAUUAUUGUCAAUGCAGCCACACUUUACCUAUAUGUAGUACUACUUAAGAGGCACAUUGCAGAGCACAUUGAGCUAGCUAGCCAAAUCUCAUACCAUGGACAGCCGGAGCCUUCCAGUGGCAGCCACCGCUGCUCUCAUCUUCUUCUCUGUCAUAGCCCUGUCAGCGGGUACAGCCAUCGUCGAGCACACCUUUGUUGUAAGCAUGCUGCUCUUUCAUGAUUUUAGUUCCAACCACUGAUCCGUUCUUAAUUUGGACAUUUAUAUGUAUAUUCAUUUACUGAUGUUGAAGCAUGUACAUAUGCAGGUGACCCAGGUGACUAUGACUCACUUGUGCAAGGAUACGCUGGUCACCGUGGUGAAUGGGCAGUUGCCCGGGCCGGCGAUCGAGGUCACAGAGGGAGACUCCAUCGCCGUCCAUGUUGUCAACAAGUCACCCUUCAACUUAACAAUCCACUGGUAAUAAAUUAUGCACUAGUCAAUUGUUCAGUUGAUUCAUGUGUUCCAGAGAAAAGACCCUACCAGUAACACUCCAAGGUCCAGAAAUUUCAGCACUAAUACAGAUCCAAUUGGUGUGUUUCAAGUUCCUGAAACCGUAUUGAUUCUAGCGCCGCCAAUGAUGACAUUAGUAAAAAUUAGUUAGUUUCCAUCACUUCAAAAUGUCACUGAUGGAUGAACAGAAAAAUCGGUCACUGCAUAAUGACAUAGAUUUUCUUUUUGCAUUGAUCUUUUGGAAUUCAUUGUUUCGAGUUUUCCUCUUGUAGGCAUGGAGUGAGGCAGCUGCUCAACUGCUGGGCGGAUGGCGUGCCGAUGAUUACCCAGCGCCCCAUCCUUCCAGACCAUAACUUUACCUACCGUUUCGAUGCUUCCGGGCAGGAAGGAACCCUAUGGUGGCAUGCUCAUGUCCCCUGCCUCCGUGCAACAAUACAUGGCAUCUUGAUCAUCCGGCCGAGGCAUGGAGCCAUCUCCUAUCCAUUUCCUAAGCCUCAUAAGGAGAUCCCCAUCAUUAUAGGUAUGUGAAUUUUCACCAUUUGACAGCCUCAUAAAAUAAAAUCAAAAUUGCACACUGUUUUCAUACUGGACGCAGUCGUUCCCCACUGGCAGCUAGCGCGCAAAUUCCAUGGGCGCCGUAGGACGGGACGAUGGCAUACUGUUCCGGCUCCGGGAGGCAAUCCGACGUCAGGACGAGCCGCCGGCGCGUCCGAGGGACUUCCUUUUCAGUUUUCCUUUGUUGAUUUGCCCCGUUCCAAAAUUGCUGCUCAGUCUCGUCAAUUCUCCUCCGUAUCGGCGUAUUUAGCUUCUUGCGUUCCCACGAUUCUAUAGGUGUUCAUUACCAUCAUUAAGCAUUAAGCUAUGGCAGGUUCGCGUCUAGGAUCCUAGGCCAUCGUCCAAAAAUGCAUUCUCUUCAUGGUCAUCGGCAUGGUCCUUGCCUCCUCAUCUUCCUCGUGGCUUCCAGCAACGCGGCAGGUGCCUCUGUUAGCUCUGGGCCUUAGAUGCAGCGUUGCACAGGCACACGCGCGCACACCAUGCCACGCAGCAGUAUACAGGUCCGGCGCGGCGUCACGCGUAGCGUUCGAGGAGGCCCGCGGCAUCCGGCCCGGCCACAGCGUGAGCCAGAACGGUACGGUGAUCUAUACCACCGGGACCUGCUGUGGAUCCAUAACCUCGACCACGACCCGCUCGAUGAAAUGUGCCAACCCCGAGCUGUCGAGCGAAGCCAAGUCAUCCAGCCACUUCAGCGCUAGGAGCUGAUGUGGGGAACGGUGCACCAAUUAACCAAAGAUGCAUUUUAAGAGUUCGUGCAGCUAGAUGGCACGAAGGGACAAGUAGAAGUACCGCCGGGCGUAUUUUACUCUAAAAAUUUCAUUAGAAAAAGGAUUUGGCUCCGGCCUGUGCAACUGCUGGCAGCCAUAUAUAUGCCAACAACAUUCUCAGCACAUUAGCCGAUCCAAAAUAACAAGGCAAAUAGUGCACAAAGAGAAUCAAAUAAUUAUAAAGCAAAGUCGGAAAUCUAGCUGGCAUACGUUCUAUACUUUUAUUUCACAAUGCUGUGGCUGAACUAUUUACUGUUGUGUUCCUGGUAAUGACAGGGGAGUGGUGGGACCUAGAGGACCUUGGACAGGUGGACAGGCACUUGAGGCAUUAUGUGGCUGACGAUUACUUCAAAGCGUCCACAAUCAAUGCCAAGCUUGGAGAUCUCUACAACUGCUCUGGUAAUCAAACUAGUAUUAGACUAAUUCAUGUCCACGUUGAAAUAUUAUGUUUUAUCUCACUGAAGUUUCAUGAUUCAACUUUGAAGGCGUCGUCGAAGAAGCCUACAAGCUGGACCUGGAGCCCGGCAAGACCUACCUGCUCCGAGUACUCAAUGCUGCGCUCUUCUCUGAGUACUACCUCAAGAUAGCUGGGCACAAGUUCAUAGUGGUUGCUGGCGAUGCCAACUACGUUAGCCCCUAUACGACGGACACCAUCGCGAUCGCUCCCGGCCAGACAUUCGACGCCCUCGUGGUCGCCGAUGCGUCUCCUGGAAGAUACUACAUGGUCGCCAUGCCCAACCAGCCUCCAAAGCCCGACUAUCAGAGCCCAGUCUUGCCCACUAGAGGCGUACUGCAGUAUAGCAACGGAGCAGGAGGAAAUCAGCCCGGUGAUGUUCCAAUGUCACCAGAGAUGCCUGACAACCACAACCAUAUGCUAUCGUUCUACUUCCAUGGCAACCUUACCAGCUUGCACCACCCAAGACACCUACCAGUGCCGAAGCGAAUCGAUGAACGCCUAUUCAUAACGCUCGGGCUUGGCUCCGUUUGUCGGCAAGGCCAGUCCUGCGAGAGAGGAGCAGAGAGCGACGAGGUCAUCGUUGUGGCAACCAUGAAUAAUAUAUCAUACGAGCUCCCCACCGUGUCGAGACCACUGCUAGAAGCCCACUACCAGAACCCCAGCAACAUUGACUGGCUGCAAGAACUCCCUGAUGUACCACCGCGGGUGUUCAACUUCACUGACAAUUCCUUGAUCCCAACAGGACCCAAGGAGGAACAGCUAGAGCCGACGUCCAAGGCUGCGUUGGCACGGCGAUUCCGGUAUGGAGCUGUUGUUGAUGUGGUGUUCCAGAGCACGUCAAUGUUGCAGAGCGAGUCCAACCCGAUGCACCUGCACGGACAUGACAUGUUCGUGCUGGCACAGGGGAGCGGCAACUAUGACAUGGAAAGGGAUGUGGCGAAGUACAACCUAGUUAAUCCUCCACUUGUGAACACCGUGCUUGUACCACGGCUUGGAUGGGUGGCUGUCCGGUUUAUUGCGGACAAUCCAGGUACGAACGUGAUUUUAACUUUCUUUUUUUUGGCCAAGGAAGAUACAAUUAUGUAGAACAUAACAACUCUUUCUCUUUCGGAAUUUGUUAUAUGAAUAACUGUCCUACGAUACAUUAGCUAGGUUUAAAGUUUGAUUUGUAUGUAUGAGGCUGAAAAGUACCACAUGUCAAUGCUAUAACUUUGUUGUUUAUGUUUGCCACGUGUCAUGCCUCAAGUCUGUAGUGCUAUUAAAAGUUCUUUUAAAAAGGUUUAUUGCGCUUUCCUAGUGCAGUGUGAAGUUAAAAAAUUAAUAAUUAUUUUCUGCAUCUACUAGGUCCUUUGUUCUAUUUGGAUAUCAUUUUAUUAUUAGAUCCUUUGUUUUAACCAAAUGAUUCAAGUACCAAUCGAUCAAUUUCCUUUUAGUUUUCCAACAUCUCUGCCGUUGAGUUCACAAAAACAAAAAUUUGAAAUAUAGGAAAGUGUUUUCAAGAGCUAGCACCUCAUUGCCCAAUUUUUCAAGUUUCAAUGAAGCCUAUUUUGAAAGUACAAGUUUAGAAAUUUUAUAUAAGCCAAUAAUUGUAAAGAAAUAAAAGGACUAGACUUAUUAUCCACGUAAAAGUAUUCACCUUGAGUUCGUCAGUGAUCUACAACUUUUUUAUAGAAGAAAAUAUGUCAUGAUUAUUGCUGCAGUAAAAGAUUUAUUAACUUAUCACUUGAACUACGGAUAUUUUUAGAUACGCACUCAUAUUUCAGUUGUAGUUGGGAUGGGGUGGGUAAGUAGAAACAACAGAUCUGAUGCUCUCCUUUUUGUUGUAUAGGUGUAUGGUAUAUGCAUUGCCACUUCGAGUUUCAUCAAUCAAUGGGCAUGAUAGCAUUGUUCAUUGUGGAGGACGGACCAACAGCGAACACAUCGCUCCCCUCACCGCCAGUGGAUUUUCUGACAUAUGGCGAUGAUAAUAAUCUCAUGCCAGAUGAAUACUACCUUUAGAAUGAGCAAAUUAAGUCCCACGCGUACACUACAACAAAACAUAGUGGUAGUCAUGCUUGGAUUGCUAUGCUAUUGAAAGCGUAUCUAUAUUUCUUAUGCUCCCGGCAGUUGUUAACACACUUUAGUAAAGCACUUCAAAACUUGCAACGUAGAUAUGUUUUUAAAGUGUUGUUUCUGAAUUGUAGACACGUUUGACAAAACGUGUUUAUAGUUCUUGACAUGGUCCAUAGGGAGACGCUCCAGACACACUUUAGUGAAGCGUAUCUAUAAUUCACUAGAGAUGAAAUAAAGCGUAUCUAACCUAAAAAUAAAACGUAUCUAUAGGGGUUGUUUCUUGUAGUGGUAAAUGGUGUCUAGACGAUAACUAUCAUAAUGGGCUUUCCAAUAAAGAAAUAAACAUAUGAGCUAUUAGAAGAUGUUAUACAGAUACACGCAUACUUGCUAUAAUAUAUUUUUUUCACAAUCUCCUUGAAAUUUGAGUUCAAGUGAUUUUGUUGGACUUUUGCUGUAUUGUUUCUCUACUUGUUUGCCAUUAACUGAUAUAUUUCUCAAUGUAAGUUCAAUAGAGAAAAAAUAUAAAUUUCAGAAAAACUAUGUAAGGAACUGGUGCUCGUAUUUAGGGGUGAAUUAGGCAACAUAAAAACUUAAGGAAAAAGUUCAAAUUACUCCCUCCAACUAUCGCCCAAGUUCAUAUGCCCUAUAGAAAGGGAGAUGAGCUGGAGCUUAAAAUCUCUAGUGCAUAUCGGAUUUCCAUCAGUGUAACUAUAAUUCAACACAUCCAAGGCUUGAGCUAGAAUCGCAUGAAAGCUCUUUGCCAUUGUUUGACCAAAGAUAUCCUAAAAGAAACAUGAUGAAAGUUAAAAAAUGUAACAUAACUCACAAAAGAAUGAUUAGAUAUGUUCCAUACCAUGCCAUAUAAAUUGAGCUGACAAAGCCUCUUAGUAGUCAUAGUCACAUUGCUUUCUCCCUCCUCGAGCACCUUUAUUCAAAAAUAUGAGAAGUCUGGUACAAACUACCCAUGAUCUUUAAGCUGUUGUAGACAGGCCUCCAUGAUGGAACUUCAAUAAUGCUCCUAAUUGGUGCUUCAUCACCCCAUGCGGCAAUUGAUACCAUCAGGAUGGCCUAUCCUGGUUGCAUCGAGUUAGCCUGUCCUCCUCGAACAUGUACUUGAAAAGAGAUCUUUACUCUCAUAAAAUUCCUUGCACCAACUACCUCGGAUUGCACUAAAGGAGAAGUGCCACCUAGAGCUUCGAUAACAUCUUUGACCUAUCUAAUAGGUUCGAUAAGCUACAUUGUAUGUAAGUAUAUUUAGGAAUUAUUCAUGUGUAGCACAAAAGAAACAAUUACAAGAGGGAAAGAAUAUUACUAUGUUAGGCAUCCAUCCUUGGCUUCGAUCGCUGCAAGGCAAGUCAAUGACGCGAUUAGGGAAGUAAAUUCCUAGAGGACAAGCCAACGGUGGCUCCUCGAGAAUAUAGUGUCCGCGGCCACAACAAUCAUGGCCAAAAUAACAUCCACUGGCCAUAGGCCUAGUGGCGGAGGCGCGGCCGGCGGUGCAGUAGAGGUCGGAGAGGAAGGGCAAGGAGCCGGAGCCUGUGAGGAAGAGGGCAAGGUAAGCACCGCGGAGGCCCGGCAAGUCGGAGCCCGCUAGGAAGAGGGCGAGGUAAGCACCACGAAGGCCCGGCGGCAGGAGCCCGCGGGGGAUGGGAGGUGCCGCGGCGGCGGAGUGUCACUCCGGGUUUUAAAGGCAAAACCAGAUGGAUAAAUUACAUGUGCACCAGGAUCAAGUUUCACACAUGCAACGACUUCAGUAAAUACCAUAGGCAGCGCCAAAAUGUAAAGAGAGAGUAUUAAAUUUAUUACAUGACCGAAAGUCUUUAUUGCGAAUGGCAAAAUGAGUCUUUAUUCUAGCAGCUGAGCUCCAACGAUGACAACGACUCCAUAGGCAGUUGACUAGUGGCACACGUACGCCUAGAACUCUUCAAAGUCUUUAAGAACCUCCUCAAAGUUGACUUGGUCUGAGCAGCGAUUUUAGCAAGGGUGAGUGCACUUGUGGUUGGUACUUAGUAAGCGUGGGGAAUGUGUAGUGCAAGAUUAUGCAGGGAUAGGCUAUUGUUUAAUAGCAUUUCAGCAUUUUAAUUGGUUGGGUAGAUUUUAUUAGCAAUUACUAAGUAUAAGUUUAUACCACCCACAUUAAGCAUGCAUAAAUAAAUAUAACAGCAAUAAAUAACAUCAGCUGAAUUCAACUUCCGAUAAAUUAAUCAUGUGAGGGUCCAGGCCGCUCUUGACCAUGAAUACGGCUAUUAUAACAGUUUUACACUCUGCACGGGUUGUACAUAUUUACCCACAAGUCACGUAAAAGUUCAAAAGAACUUUAGACCCAACCAUGUUGUGUGGGCUAAGAACAAUACCAAACUUCCAAGGUGUGAUUGCAUAAUGAUGCUACGAGGCCUUUACAAAGAUUCCCUAGUAAGUAGUAACCCGCUAAGGUUUCAGGUCGAAGCAAAGCAUAAACCUCUCUGAAGACUGUGAAACUACCAUAGAGCAGAUAAGCCUGAGCCUCCCCUAUUGCCCUUUCAGUAAGAUUACCUUAGACUAGAGUCUCUAAUUAUUUCACCACGUAGUUCUUAUGGUUGUACUGUUUUCCUGGGUGGUCGCUCCAUGUUCCAAUUAACCAUGGUGAUCUUGUAUUAAUGGAAGGUAUAGCAUAAAUAAAAUAAGUUUAAGAAUUGGUUCAUUAAUAUCACCAUACCCAGUUAGAGCAACUAAGCAAGAACUAUCCAACAAUAAAGUAAACCCAGGUUGUUCAAGGUGUAGGGAUAAAACUAGGCACACCUUAAAUAGGACCCAUCAUGUUUAUAUACUUAAAGUGCAUAGCAUAUGUGUAUUGAACAUGAAAGUAAAGGGAUGCAUAGGAUCAAAUUGUGGUCAAGGGCACAACUUUCCUUCGCGAACUUGCUCUUGCUGCUCAAAGUCUUCAAAGCCUUGCGAUUCGAAUUCCUCAAACUGCGAUCCUUCUAUGCACAUCAAGCAAGUACAUACAAGCAAACAAAGGACUAAAAUAACAAAACACUACAUCAAGCAGUAGCAACAGAGUAAAACAAGACCAUAAAACUAAUCUAUGCAUCAACACAAACUCAUAGGUGCAAGGAUCGCUUAAAACAAAUUUAAAACACUACAGAUAUGAGCUAAACAAGGUUCAGAGGCUUAACUGUGAGGAAACUAAACUUCCAGGGGCUAGACUCAAAGAAACUGAGGGCCAAAACCUAAUUAAACAUAUAAAUAGAAGGUCUAACAAGUAAAAGAGCAAGAUAGUGGGUAGGAUUUUAUAAAAGAGUAGGGGCUAAACAGAAAAAAAAGGACUAGAACCUAAUUACUUUUGAACUAUGCAGGACCUUGGGUUCAAUAAAGAAAUAAGCAUAUGAGCUAUUAGAAAUGUUAUCCAGAUACAAGCAUACUUGCUAUAAUAUAUUUUUUCACAAUCUCAUUGAAAUUUCAGUACGAAAUGACACUUUUUAACUUUUUGAUUCAUCAUAGGUCGAAAGAUUUCGUGUAGUGUAACUAUAUAGUCUAGUGUGUGUAUAAAUGCACUAUCCAUAUCAAUAGUCAUAGUCAUGUAGGGAACAACUAAUGCCUAAAUAAUCAUGGGAUACUAAACCAUCUUAAUUGAAAAAUAUAUGAACUAUAAAUUUUAGGUCUGUUUGAUCAGUAGAACAUUGAUAAGAGCUGCUUUACAUCGAGGGUUGUUUGAAAAAUUCAGAAAUUCUAGAUUUCAAAAUUUGAGAACUGAUAAUGAUUUUUUGGACUAUUAAAUGCCAUAGAUCUUGUCAAGCUCUACAAUUUUGAUAUUAAAUUUUUCUUCAUUCGAGAUCAUAUGAAAAAGUUAAAAAGUUAUUUGACAUUUCUAGGGGCGAGCCAUACCAUCACCCUCCCCUAUAAAUCAUUUUUGGGAGCAGGUGAUGCCAUCGCCCGCUUUUAGAAAUAUUUUUCAUUUUCAGACGCUAUAUUUUUAGGGGCAGGUCACCCCCAUCGUCCGCUAAAUGGUGGGAUGUCUUACCCAUGGCCCAGCCCUACGAAUGCUUCUCCAGGGUGGCCGGAAAGCUACAGUAACCCAGCUCCUUUUGUAGGUGCGGGUGACCUUUUAGGCCAAAAAAAAUUGAGCCGCUCCUACAAAUCUUUUUUCUUUCUAGUAGUGUUUUGUUAAGGCACUGAUGGUUAGAUUGUCUCUUUCUAGUAGUGUUUUGUUAAGGCACUGAUGGUUAGAUUGUCUCUGUGUUACAUACCGCCAAAUUCUAGUAUAAGGUACGGUAGAAAAACUCCAUGAGUUUUAGUAGAGAUGGGGAUGGACACGAUAAAAAAGAUUGUUGCAUGCCAUCAAUUACAAGGAUUUUAAAAGCAUAUGCAAUGACUAGCUGAUUACAAAUAGAUUUUACAAAAAACUAUCUACGAUGACUAUAUAUAUACAUUUCUCAGAUCGAAACAUUUAAGAAACUUGCCCCUGAUUUUAUAAAUUUCAUAUGUGUUUUGUUACAGAAUGAACGUUGAUGUUGUUGUACCCUUUUUUCAUUCCCCGCCUAACGUAGACCCAAUACAAACCGUAGUAUCCCCUUCAAAUCUUCCCCAAUUCCUCCUCAUUACUAGGCGUCCACAACCUCUCCUCGUCGAUGAUAAUAGCUGCGUCCAAAACGCGCACCAACUCUUCGGUAUUUCUUUGCUUGCAAGCCUUCCUAGACGAGCACCUCCACUCAGCCCAACCCAUCAGCUUGGCCUGCACCCCGCAGUCUCUCGCGCACGAGAGAGAUUCAUUUAUUGGGCCUCAAUUUGUUAGCCAUUCAGAAUUUGACCGCCAGUCGGCCCAACCUCGGCCCGCACUUCCAUCGCUUCCUUCCAUACGUAUAAUAAACGAGUAAUCACCCACAUAGCUCCCAGAAUUCCAUUCUUUCAUAUUUUUUCUGUCCUCUCCUGUAUCGGAACCAGAUAAAAGCCUCGCAAAAGUUUUUGGUGUUGGCGCCUUUUCCGACCAAGAGUGCGCUAGUUCGCGCGUGCACUAGAAGAUCAACUCGCCGGAGUCCUUGGACCUAGCCGGUCAGACUGGUUGUCGAGGAACUUCUAGAAAAAUCUAAGAUCACCAUCUCGGGAAGGACCCGUCGGAGAUGGUGAGUUUAGGAUUACUCUGAGAUCGGUCAGGCCACUCAGAACGUCUUCAAACACUGCUGGGACAAUGGAGGAAAGCAAAGUGGUUGGAAAAGCCAGGGUUUGAAAUAAAAGUGUAAAAGAUAUGUUUGACGAUUAGGUAUUUAACCUCAAUCGGCCAGGGCCCUUUAUAUUUUAUAUUUAUAGGGUGGAAGGCCUUUUUGCGCAAGGAAAUUCCGUUUCAACUCCAAUUCGACCAGAACUCCAAAAUUCUCCUCGAACUCAAGGUGAGCAGUCUGAUCGGUCGGGACCACCGGUCAGACCGGUAGGCGCAUACCAGACCGGCUACAAUGGCCAAAACGGUCAGACCACCCAUAGAGACCAGUCUGACCGGCUGGUCCAGCUUGGUCGGCAUUGCUGCCACUUUUGGGCUCCAACACAUGCCCCCUGUUUCUUGGUAAAACUUGCGGACCAAGAAAUAAAAUAAACCUAAGGGCGAUAAAUUUCAUCGACCAUUUGUUCUUAGGGCGAUAUCUCAAAAUAUUGGCCAUAUUGUUUCAAGCGUCUUGCCAAACACUUCAGAGCUCUAGGUAGCUUAAAUCCAUGCAAUGUCUCUACCAUAUAGGAAUUCUCAUGAAGCACACUUGUAAUUUUAUAUGGCCCUUCCCAACUUCGAGACCACUUUCCAAAUUUAUUGCUCUUGGUUCCUAUAGGUAGAAUUGUCUUCGAAACCAGAUCCCCCACCUGAAAUGUCUUGGCCUUGACCUCUUUGUUGUAUGCUCUAGCUACUUGAAUUUUAUCCUUUUCACCACUUCAUUGAGCGGGGUCUCGCACUGCCAACUUGUGAUUUCUUCCGGGGCUUGCUGGAUUUCUAUAAGUUGGAGUUGGUUCAUCUGAACCCCAAUGGGAUCUUCUACAUUACUAUUUUCAUCCACUUCUACGAAGCCUUCCUAGGGAUUAGGCAACAUUUUCAAUUAUUCCGGAAAUUUUUCCGUGUGAAGCCACAACCCUCAUGGGAACACACACGUUUGGUUGCGGGCAUCAGAAUUUGGAUACGGGAGACAGUCGGCAGCCAGUAUUUGGAUUACGAGUUGAUAGACUCCAAUGUAGGGUGGAAGGAAAAAUGGUGCAAUAUUGGCAACCAUGAUUCGAAACUCCAUAAGCUGACAGGACAUUGUCCUUCUUAGAAUAACAGUGGCUUGAGGCAAUUGCCCGAUUUGAUGGGUAGAAUCACCCAGCUAAAACAAGAGGGCCUUACUGAAGUAGGAGUAGCCUUUAGCUUUAUGAAGCAUCACAUUCAACAUCUGCAGCAGCCGUGCUAUUAUGGCUAUGAGUAUACCGGCCUCAAUGAUCCAUCUAGAUUCACUUUGAAUGAAAUCAACACGGAUGAAGUCAUGGCGAGGCUCAAGCGAAUGUUCCAGAAUGUGGGCGGGAUCCCCGCCAAAUCCUGUAAGUACUCGUGACCGUAGCCCCCGAGUAUUGAUUUUUAAACGUACUAGUCAACUGACUUGUCUCAUUUUGCUAGAAGAUGUUGCUUUGUAUUUCUCUACUCCUCCUCCUCCCGGAUCUCAAGUAGUCUGUGAAGCUGCUCCUCGCUUGUUUAUACGGAAAGUCAUGACAGGUGAUGAUGCCACGGAUGAAGUCAAGGCUCAGCCAUAUGCUAAGUCUGGGUCUUCCUCUAUAGUGAAGAAACACUCUGCAACAGGUGAGCUUAAAGCUACAUGUUGGGGUUCACCCAGACAACAGUUAGAAGGCCACGACAAACGAAGAUAGUAACUGCUCAAGCAAACAUAACAGUGGCUAUCCUACCAGUUAUUAAUGUUUGUUUUGAGGGGGGGGACGGUUUGUCUCCCUUUAUAGGGUCAUAAAGUUACAUUUCCGCAUUCCCGUUAUACCCAUACCCAACAACUACAUCUUGAGUAUAUUCCGUACAGGACAGUAACUUGGCCCCUACUCAAAAUAUCGCUUUCAUAGUGGGAUUACACUUCUGACCCUCUCGCCAAGACUCUUAUUACAAAAUUGCCCUACUAUAAUACGGUCCCAGGGCUAUCUUGAUUAUUUCCUUCCCCGUUCAUGAGCUUCGUCGGGGCUGAGCAAGCUUCUGUAAGCUUUCCGCCUUCUUCGGUCGGAGUCAGCUAGCUUCGGCUUCUGGUCACAGAACCUCCCCGAAGUCAAAUCACCGGUGGCUCCGUGGGGGCUUCCACUUUGUGAGUCCUCGCCUGCAAAAUCACAGAGUGGAUAUCUUCGCGCUAGUUGACUUUGGUUAAUUGUUAGCUUCGUAAAAGGGGAAAUGGACGAGGUUAGAGCCGAUUAAGAGAAAGGGUUCCCGCCAGCCUCGUUCAGGGUGCGUUGUGGGGCGGUCCCCAACAGUAGCCCCUUCAUGGGCGAGGUCAGAGGUGCCGUUGACCGAUCCCGCGAAAAGUCCAAAAACGCCCUCAAAACGUCACCCUGAGCGGCGACGCGGGCCGAGGCGUUUUACCGUUAUAUGGGGGUAGUAAGGUCAUUUUCUAUGUGGCGGUUAGUGAUUCGAGGCGGUUUUUACCGUGCCUAUAUAAGGUUUACCGGGAGGACGGGCCAUAUUUUGUGCUGUCACUUUCGAGUUGUAAUUUUCGCCACUUGCGCCUUCGCUACGUAGCUUCGUUGUGCUCUAUUGGCUCCGUUUGGUUGGUGGGGUGUUGACUUCGUUUUCAUUGCAGCCAGUACCAGGCAGAGUUGUAGACAAUAUCUUCGGAGGAGUUGGCCCUUCAGGCUGCCUCUGGUGGUGGGGGUAGUCCUGCUUCACAGUCGGUGUCUGUGAGUAGUGGAGAGUUUGAAGGGAAGAGGUCAAAGAAACGAAUCUAUACGAAGGAUGGCCUGGUUUCUGUAGAAGAGGGAUCUUCCGGGAGUAGUUCGCCUGAUUGGUCCUCUGACGGGGACGAAGGCGAAGGUGAACAGGGCCGAACCACAAAAGGUAUAGCAGGGACCGAAGUUCAUGCUGUAUCUUUGGAUGAGGAGGAGGGGGAAGGCAAAGAGGCUGGCGAGGUUGAGGGGGAGGAGGAGGAGGAGGAGGAGGAGGACGCUGAGAUUGGAACGAGGUCGGAGACGUCAGCCGGGGGGAAGGUUCAAUGUGUUCCUACUCUGUACUUCGGGCGCUCCCAGGUGACUUCGCGAGACAUUGCAUUUUUUGAGGAGAGCAACUUCUUCCCUAAGAGGGUGGGCAGAGCUCCUGGGAGCGAGGCGGUUCCUACGCCCGAGGUUGGUGAAGCUGUUGUUUUUAGGGACCUGUUUACUACGGGGCUUCGGUUUCCCUGUGAUAGGCAGUUGCCGGUUAUAUUGGAUCGUUAUCGUGUUAGACUGCACUAGUUGACCCCUAACGCCAUCGUGAACUUGUCUAAGUUUUACUGGGUGCAACGCACAUUUGGCGGGAGCAUUGAUGUGGAAGGUUUCGCGAGGUUGCAUGAGCUUCAUAUUCAGAAGAAGAGGACUUAUUCCGAUGAUGGCAAAGGUGCUUGUGAGAAUCACUUUGGAUGCUGUACCUUCGUGCUGCAUCGGAAGAACGAUAAGAGGAAUCUGCCGAGGGUAGAACUUACCUUCGCGCAGAGGAAUAAGUGGGAUGAUGCGUGGCUGACGCAUUGGUUUUAUGUGAAAGUUGAAAUGGUUGGGCUUGGCACUGGAUUCCCAUUCUACGCACCGUUUGGGCCGAUGGACGUGCUCACAACUCCUUCGUUUAUUCAGACGGCCAUUGUGACGAAGUGCGAGGCUGCUUAUAGGGCUGCUGGGCCCUUGUUAUCUGGGCGUGACCUUGUGAAGGAGUAUGUUGCCGCUCGAGCGUGGCCCUUGUCUGCUGAUUUUGCAAAACCGUUUGAACACGUUGAGAAGAAGGUAUCUUGGUGUGAGAAGGCUGUGCCAUAUCCAUGCUUUGAGCUUAGUAAGGAGAAGGGUGCCGACCUAGACUCGUUUGUACAGACAAUAGAGGACUUGGCUUAUGAAAUCUUAGGUUCGGUGACCCAGCCCGAAAGGCGUUCUUUCGAGUCUAUUGUGAGACACGGGUGUCAUGUCAAUCAAAUUUUUGACUUGCUUCAUAUUGCAGUUCCGCCUCGUCCCGAAGUUGUGGGCAAGAGGCGUCGUCGUGGUGCUGGUGCUGAGCAAAGGAAGAAGGUGAAGUUUGAUUCUACUCACGCCACGAAGCUCGUUGUUGAGUCACAAGCGGCCGCUAAGGCGAAGCAAAAAACCCUUAACCUGAAAGCGCAGAAAAGGAAGGAUGCUACCGCGGGUGCUUCAUCUGCCAUGCUGCCGUCUGGGUCGACAGCUUCGUCUGUUGACUUGAACAAACCGGCAUAUGUUGUGCCUGUCUUUGUGCGUCCUCCUACUGUUGCACCUUCAUCCGCUGGGCCUGCUGCACGGACCAAAAAAGGAGCUAAUAAACCUCGUUUUGCACGUGUUACUAUACCGGGCGCCAAGGUUGAUGCGCCCUCGGUGACCAGCAUGAAGACUGCAGCGCCCUCCACUAGUUCGAAGACUAGAAGCGCGCAGCCUCUCUUGAUUGAAGCUGAUAAACAUGAGAAGAGGGUAGCUGCCGAAAAGGCGAAGCUUGUGGAUGCGUUCUUGUUUGAUCCCAAGGGUGCUUGCGUCGAGGCUGUGAGAUCUGGUAAGCAUGUAGAGGUGGUUUUGCCGAAGCUUCGGUUCUUUGAUUGUGGAAGGGCUUCGACGGCAUUUUUGAGGGAUUUGGAGGAAACUAUGGGAGACGUUGGUGAGGUUAAUUGCGAGGAUCAUGUGAGGCUGAAAGUUAAAUGUUAUGAUGUAGGUGAGAGCUUUCCGGCUGGUCUUCAAGGGCUUAAUGAAGGUUUGGGCUUGAUGAGCGGGCGCACAGAGGUUCUAGCGACGUGCACCGAAGGUAGGGUUUAUAAUCCACACAACCUAACUUUGGACUGGGGGAAAGAGGGUGAAGAUUGCAAGCGCUGUGUAGAUGCUGGUGGUUCGAAGAAGGUGGAGAAGGCGGGCGCAGCGACCUCGAGUGGGGUUAGAGAAAUUGUUCCGGUCGCCAUUGAGGCACGAAGAUACGAAGGUGGGGGCUAUUUGUUUGUGAUUAUUGUUGUUUGUGGCCUUUGUUGCUGUUGUGGCAUACUUAUAAUAGUAUCUUUUGACUUGCAGAUUUUCAGCAGGCUGUAAAGUCGAUGAGCUCAGAAGAGCUUUUCAACUUAGAGGCCAACCUCAUAAAGAAGGUAUGGUUGCUGGCUGAUUUGAUGAUAUGUGUGGUGUGCACUAUCUUUGUUGUGUCUUUUGCGACUUGGCUUAAUGUUUUUUGUUUAAAACUUGCAGGUAUCUUAUUCGUCUAUGAUUACGAGGGAUCGGCUUGCCAAGAGCGAGAAGACAGCUGUGGAACUUGCGAAGAAGGUUUCUUUACUUGAAGCGACUAUUGCAGCUAUGUCCUUGGAAAUGAAAAAGGUCAAGGUUGAGAAUGCAGAGUUGAAAGAGGACUCUCGCAGACUCGGUGAAAAUUACGAGGCCAGGGGCGACGAGAUUGAUCGCCUGUCAUCGGAAGUGGUGGAUCUUGAGGGCCAAGUGAAAGAGAAGGACCAGGUUAUCAAAGGCUUACGCGAAGGUGCCCAGCGGGACAGCGAGACUAUCUCGGUUUUAAAGUCUAAGGUCGGCCAGAUGGAGCCUGAGUUGGAAACGAAGGCAAAAUUGCUGAGCCAAAUAGAGACUACCCUAAGGGAGAGGUUUUAAAAAGUUCAUGAAGUUUAUAAAGCCUCCCUUGGUGUGUUUGGCGCCGAGCCCGAUGACUGCCCAUUGGAAGAAGGAUGUGAACGCAUGUUCGAAUGGUUGCUAGACGAGGUCAAGAGUCUCCCCGAGGUUCUUGAGGGCUUGAAUGACUACGCCGCUGUGUUCUGCUUGGAAAGCGCCCUUCACUUGCUGGAGCAACAAGGAUGUGAGCAUGUUAAGAAUCUUUUCAAAGAUGAUUACGUUGCGCCAGCUGCCUCGGAGAUUGGAUGUGCUACGAAGUCUUUUGUUGUGGAGAACGCCAAGAAGAACUUAUUCGAGUGCAUGUGGUCAACCUCCAGGCAAGACUAUGUGAAGAGGCUGGCAUGUGAGUGGUUAGCUCAGCUUCGCUCGCAGUCUAGUGUUGUUAACGAAGACGAGGAUGCUGCGGAGUAGAUUUUUUAUUUAUUGGUUUUUUUUAUGUAAGGUUGAUGAGGUCAGAUACUUUUGAUUGUGUAUGAAGUUGUGCCUUAUGAAGUACUUGUGCGCCUAUGUAUUUUUUAUAAUUGCUGUACUUUUGUUCCGCUUAUUCGUGGGUCCAAUGCAAGGUUAGAUAAGUCAAAGCUGGGUUGCCAUGUCAGGCAACCUGCUGACUUAGUUAUUGCGAGAGCCGGUUGAUACAACGACUUGCGGUCGCUUCAACCUCAACUGGGCACGCUGUUGCAUCUUACGCUGGUGACCUCGUGCGAGGUCGGCGUGGUUUAUUAUUUUUUGAACUGCAUGUGUUUCCAAGUGUUUUUGAAAAACGUCACCCCACCCUUUUGUGACGUUGCGAGAGGGAGGUUAGAUAACUUAUGCUUGGAGAUUCUCCUCUUGCGAAGUCGCAGAAAUUUUGCACGUGUUUUUUGAAAAGCGUCGCCCCCCCUUUUUGCGAAGCUGUGGGGAAGAGGUUUUUCCUGAUCUGCGAAAGUUGUUGUGUUUAGGUGUUAGGCUUUUUGCGCGCUUUUUAUUUUCAUACGUGAAAAACUCUACCGCGCACUGGCGCGAGGUUGCGCAACUUGUUGUUGUUUUCACCCACGGAAAACCUCUCCGCACAUCGACGCGAGUUCACGCAACCUGUUGUUGCUAUUAUAUGGGUGCGAGGUCACGCAACUUGUUGUUGCUUUCAUAUGUGAAAAACUCCUCCGCGCAUGGGCGCGAGGUCACGCAACUUGUUGUUGCUUUCAUACGUGAAAAACUCCUCCGCGCACGGGCACAAGGUCACGCAACUUGUUGUUGCUUUCAUAGAUGAAAAACUCCUCCGCGCACGGGCGUGAGGUCACGCAACUUCUUGUUGCUUUCAUACGUGAAAAACACCUCUGCGCAUGGGCGCGAGGUCACACAACUUGUUGUUGCUUUCAUACACGAAAAACUCCUCCGCGCACGGGCGCGAGGUCACGCGACUUGUUGUCGCUUUCACACACGAAAAAACUCCUCCACGCACGGGCGCGAGGUCAUGCAACUUGUUGUCGCUUUCAUACACGAAAAAACUCCUCCGCGCACGGGCGUGAGGUCAUGCAACUUGUUGUCGCUUUUCUACGUGAAAAAUAUUUUUAGGGGAAGUUUCCUUUCUUUCUUUUGCAAAAAAGAUGUACAUGAAUCUGCCUCGUUAAAAACCUUGCCUCCAUUAUGGAGCCCCUAGCAAGGAAAAGAGUGUAGACCAGACUCUGUGACCUUAUAGACGAGGUAAACUUAAAAAAGAAAAAAGAAGGUAAAAUCACUCUGUUACCCUCGGUACUGCUUAUAGUUCCGCAAGCCGAAGGUGAUGUGUACAAUUAUGGGUAGUAUUUUUGUAGGCUAUCAAUGUUCCAGGUGUGAGGGAGAUUGUUUCCUUGUUGGUUUGCGAGAUGGAAAGAGCCGGGUCUGCCACUCUUUGUGACAAUGUAGGGGCCUUCCCAAGUUUCUUGCAGCUUGCCUGGGUUUUCCCAGUUCUUUUUCCUCUUGAUGACAAGGUCACCGACAUUGAUUUGUCUUUCUCGGAUGCGUUGAUCCCUCCAUCUUCGGGUUUCUUCCUGGUAUUUGUCCAGAUUCUCAAUGGCCUCGUUGAUGUCGAGUUCGAUCAUGUCUUUCUCUAUUCUGUCGAUUUUGUCGACGCCCUCGUGUUUGAGGACUCUUAGGCUUUUGUUUUUUAUUUCUUCAGGUGUUACAGCUUCGGCUCCGAAUAAGAGCUUGAAUGGUGUGAAGCCUGUUGCCCUGGAUUCUGUUGUGUUAUGGGACCAUAUGACUCUUGGGAGCUCGUUGACCCAUUUGUCCUUUUUCUGAUCAAAGAGACAUUUCUUGACUGCGGUGAAUAUUGUACUCUUGGCUCUUUCCACAGCUCCAUUUGAUUGUGGGUGGUACACGGACGAGAAUUUUAUCUUCGUGCCUAUGUUGGCGCAAAAAUCUGUGAAUGAGAUACAAUCAAACUACUUGCCAUUGUCGAUGGUUAACUCCCUUGGGACUCCAAACCGACAGACAAUGUUUUGCCAGAAAAAUUUUUGUACCGAAGCUGACGUGAUGACGAUGAGUGGUUUGGCUUCGGCCCAUUUGGUGAAGUAGUCUAUUGCCACUACUGCGAAUCUGCAAUUUUCUUGUGCUGCUGGCAGUGGACCAACUAGGUCCAUCCCCCAUCUCUGGAGAGGCCACGAGGGUGGUUUGAGCUGGAUGGGAAGUGAGGGUGCAUGUGUUUGCCUUGCUGUUUUUUGGCAUGCCUCACAGCUUCGUACAAGCAGGUGUGCGUCCGUGUGGACUGAUGGCCAGUAGAAUCCUUGCCGGAUUGCCUUUCCUGCUAGGGCUCUUGAGCCAAUGUGGGUUCCGCAGAAACCGCCGUGUAUUUCUUUGAGCAGCUCGCUGCCUGUUUCAUAGUCGACACACCGAAGCCAUGGUGUUGAGAUGCCUGUUUUGUAUAGCUGCCCUCGAUGAUUGCGUAGCCCCUUGCUCUUUGCUUUAGGCGUGUGCAUUCAGUCUCGUUUUGAGGUUCGAAGUGACCUCUGAGGAAAGCCAUUAUGCUUGCGCGCCAGUCGUCACGCUGGAUGGUGUUGAUGGUGGCUGGGUCUUCUUCUUUGAUUGAAGGCGAGGUUAUGACUUCGUAGAAUGUAUCUAGUGGGAUUGGCUCGCCUUCCGCUGCUGCUUUUGCAAGCAUGUCGGCGUUGUCAUUUUGUGCUCUCGGUAUGUUUCUAACAUCAAAUCCCCUGAAAUGUUUUUCCAUGGCUCAGAUUGCCUGAAGGUAUUUAAUGAGCUCUGGUUCUUUGGCUUCGCUGUCCUUCUUGAUGUGAUCACGGAUUACCUUCAAGUCCGUUCUGAUGAUGAAUGUUUGUUUCCCUAUGGCUUUCAUUUUUCUUAAGGCCAGAAGAAGUGCCUCGUACUCUGUGGUGUUGUUGGUUGACUUCGCAGUUGGUGGGAAAUCUAGCCUCGCUGCAUACUUGAUUCUGAUGCCUGUUGGCGAGGUGACCACGGCUGCGAUGCCUGCUCCUUUGCGGCACCAGGCUCCAUCGCAGUGGACAACCCAUGGCAUUUCUAGCUGCUUUGGCUCCUAUUUAGGCGACGUCCAAUCGACGACAAAGUCAGCCAGCACUUGGGAUUUUAUAGCCGUGCGCCUUUCGAAGUCGACGACGAAUUCUGAGAUACGGCUAGAAGCUUCUCUGUUUGAGAAGGGAUCAUGAAGAGGUUGGCUGGUUACUAUGACUGUUUUAUGCCCGUCGAAGUACUGUCAUAGUUUCCGUGCUGCCAUGACGACUGCAUAUGCGAUUUCUCUAGCUCAGAGUAAUGUAUCUUUGAGCCGCUCAGUGCUUCGGAUGCGAAGUAAACUGGUAUCUACUUGAUUUCGCCUUCGAUUUCUUUUUCUUGAAUCAAUGUAGCGCUGACAGCUGUUGCUGAGGCUGAGACGUACAGUAGCAGUGGUGAUUUGGGUUCUGGUGGGCAUAGCUUCGUCAUAGAUUGCAGGUACUCCUUGAGGUCCUGGAAUGCUUUGCUUUGCUCGUGUCCUCAUUCAAAUAUUUUGGAGCUUCGAACUGCUUUGAAGAAAGGAAGGCUUCGCUCUGCUGCUCUCGGAAUGAAACGGUUUAGCGCUGCGACUCUGCCCGUGAGUCGUUGGACUUGCUUGAGUGAGGUUGGCUCUGACAUGUUGGCUAACGCCCUGAUUUUGUCUGGGUUGGCCUCAAUGCGCUUCGUCGUUACCAAGUAGCCUAAGAUCUUUCCCCUUUGGACUCCGAAUACACAUUUCUCUGGGUUUAGCUUUAGGUUGGCUGACCUCAGUUUAGCGAAUGUUUCUGUGAGGUCCAUGAUGUGGUCGCUUUGUUUGGCGCUUUUUACGAUGAUAUCGUCCACGUAGGCCAGUAUAUUGCGCCGAAGCUGAUUGCCCAGGACUGUUGCCGUCAUCCUUGAGAAUGUUUGGCCUGCAUUUUUUAGCCCCUUUGGCAUACUGACGAAACAGAAUGUUCCAAAGGGUGUCACGAAGCCUGUUUUUCCUUCGUCCUCUUUUUUUAUUCUGAUUUGGUGGUACCCUGAGAAGAGGUCAUCCACUAUUUGCAGCGUCAUCCACUACCUUGUCAAUCCUUUCAAGAGGGUAGUCGUCUUUUGGGCAGACCUUGUUGAGGUCAGUGAAGUCUAUGCACAUUCUCCAUUUGCCAUUUUUCUUUUUAACUGGUACUGUGUUGGCUAGCUAGUAGGGAUAUUGAAUUGGCCUGAUUACGUUGGCUUCGAGGAGCCUAUCAACUUCGGCAUUUACGGCUUGGACCUUUUCAUCGGACAUUUUUCUUAGCUUCUGUUUCUUUGGCCGAGCUCCUUGCCUGAUGUCGAGGCUGUGCUCAAUGAUUUCCCUGUCCACCCCCUUUAGAUCUCCUGCGAACCAUGCGAAGAUGUCUAUGUUCUUGUUGAGGCACUCGACGAGGUCAUGCUCUUCAUCUGGGUUGAGGUUCGUCCCAAUUGUUACAAAUCUGUCUGCGAUGUACUCGUCUAGGAGUACCCGCUUUGUUUCGCCGUCCGCACUGAUUUUUAUCUUCUCUUUAUCUCUCUUGGGCUCGUCUUGGGCCUUUUGCUUUGCUGGGCUUUCGGCUUUGUUGGACGAGGCUAGAUGGUGGACAUUCUUUUGGCCCGGAGCUACCCCUUUUUCUAUAUUCCUUGCCAUUUGCUGAUCAUUGUACACUGUUAUGACCCCUUUGAGGGCGGGUAUUUUCAUGCAUAGGUACAGCUGUCUACUUGUUGCGUCCAUUUUGGUGAUGAAGCCACGGCCGAGUAUUGCGUUGUAGGGGUAAUGCAUCUCCACCAUGUCGAAGGUAAUGUGUUUUGUCCUCACAUUAUCACGGUCCCCGAACGAAACUAGGAGAGCAAUUUUUCCCAAGGCCUUCACUGGCUUUCCACCGAAGCCGAGGAGCAGGACGUCAGCUGGGUCGAGCGUGUUCAUGUCAAUGUUCAUUUCUCUGAAUGCAUUUGCAAAGAGGAUGUCUACGGAACUGCCCGUGUCUACCAGGACUUUCCCUAUUGUCCAGCCUGCUAUCAAUGCUUUGAUAACCAUCGCAUCGUUAUGCGAGGUUGUCUUGAGCUUGAAAUCUUCCCCGGUAAAGGUUAUGGGCAUGUGUGCCCAUUCUAGCUUUAUUGGGGGUCCGUCGGGAAUGAUCACGUUGACCUCUCUGAAGUAAUUCCGCCUCUGCCUCUUGUUUUCGAAUUCUAGUGAGGAGCCUCCAGUGAUUGGCAUUAUCAUUCCGAAGGUAGGCAAGGAGUUUUGGUUGUUAUUUUGUGUGGUGGGCUCCGGCUUGGGCAUUAUGGCUGGCAUGCUUGGGGGUGGAGGUAGUGUUUCUUAGGGUUUCUGAGGUAGGUUCGAAUUGGCAUGCUGCAGAAUUGUUUGGUGGUACGGUUGUAUAUGUGGUGGAAGUGGCCAAGUCAUUGGUUGCUAGAAGUUGGCGAAGCUAGGCUGGUUGUGGUAGAAGCUUGGGUGUGGGUAAAAGGCUGUGUGGUGGAUUGUUUUGGGUGAUUGUGCGGCUGCCUUUGCGGCUUCUUCCGCAGCUUUUCUCUCUUCCUCCUUUUUGGGGCACCACUCUGUAUUGUGAUGAUUCUGAUGGCCGUGGUUGACAUAGUAGAAUGACUUUUGUUGUCUUCCUCGACCUCGUCCUCUACCAGAGUGGCCCCAUCUUUGGGUAUUGUUAUUUUGGUUUUGGCUCUAGCUUUGGUUUUGGUUUUCCUCAAUGUUCAUGAUACGGUUUUGGUUUUGGUUUUGAGGCUUGUUGUAAGGCGGUUGCCAGCUUCGGCUUUGGUUUAUUUUCCUCUCUUUGUUGCGUUCUGCGACUCUUCUGCGGUGGUCCUCGUCAGACCUGAUGUAUUCAUCGAGUUUGCUGAAGAGGGCACUCAUAGUUUUGGGCUCUUUCCUUGAUAGCUUCGAUGCUGUUGGGCCGGGGGUAAGGCCCGCGAUGCACGCAGAUAUUGCUACAAAUUCCUCAAUGUGCGGCGCUUGAGAGUGAAGCUGGACAUAUCUUCUUACGUAUUCUGCGAGUGGUCCUUGUCUUUUUGUUUGCACUGAAAGAGGUCUGCCUGGGCCGUAUGGGGGUAAUGGAAACCCUGAAAAUUUUGUGUGACCUUCAUCUUGAGGUCAUGCCAUCUGAUCACUGUGUGUGGAGGUAGUAGUGAAUACCAGUUCAGUGUCACGCCUUCGCAAGCAAUUAUGAAAGAUUUGGCGAGGACGACAUCAUCUCCCCCGGCCGAAGCUACAACGGCUUUGUAACUCAUUAGGAAUUGCUGUGGGUUUGUCCGUCCGUUGAAUUUGGGCAGGGUGGUUGGCUUGUAUGUUGUUGGCCAUGGUGCGGUUUGGAGCCCUAUUGAGAGCGGUGAUGUGGUGUCGACCACAAGGGACACCCCCGGCGAGUGGUGUUUGGUGCCUUGGCCGAAGUUGAGGCUGGGCUGGAGCUGUGCUUGAUCAACACUGGGACUUUGAUAAAAAUAAGUUGUGGCCUAGUUUGUGUUCUCGAGUGGGCUUUCAAGCUCCGCGACUUCUUUUUGCAGUGCUUCUAGCUGCCGUCUGGCCUCGUUCAGCUUUGAUAGCCUGGUCGCAGCCUCCCUCUGUCGUUGCACUUGUCGUGCUAACUGCUCCUUUUUUCUUUUGACUUCUUCUAUCUCUCGGAGGACUGAGUCUAGCUCGUUGUCCAAGCUGGAGGGGCUAGUAGCUUCGGGCGUUGCGGGCUGGUGGCUUUCAGUGCGAUUGGCAGCUUCGUUUGCUGCAGGUUAUUGGCUUUGGUGGUUGACUUCGGCUGCAGGUCGCUUGCUCAUUGCUUUUGCCCUUAGGGCUUGCUCGACUCUUGCAAGACAUUCCUCCUUGUCGGGGAGGACUUGAUCUGUGGCUUUGGGGGCCGUAGGCUAACCGACCUCUACCGUGUCGUCUUCUCUCUGAGCUGCGGGUCUCUUUUUCCGUUGUGGUGGCAUCGUGGGCUGUUUAACGAGUUAGACCGCGGUGGGUGCCAGAUGUUGGGGUUCACCCAGACAACAGUUAGAAGGCCACGACAAAUGAAGAUAGUAACUGCUCAAGCAAACAUAACAGUGGCUAUCCUACCAGUUAUUAAUGUUCAUUUUGAGGGGGGGACGGUUCGUCUCCCUUUAUAGGGUCAUAAAGUUACAUUUCCGCAUUCCUUUUAUACCCAUACCGAACAACUACAUCCUGAGUAUAUUCCGUACAGGACAGUAACUUGGCCCCUACUCAAAAUGUCGCUUUCAUAGUGGGAUUACACUUCUGACCCUCUCACCAAGACUCUUAUUACAAAAUUGCCCUACUAUAAUGCGGUCCCAGGGCUGUCUUGAUUAUUUCCUUCCCCGUUCAUGAGCUUCGUCGGGGCUGAGCAAGCUUCUGUAAGCUUUCUGCAUUCUUCUGUUGGAGUCAGCUAGCUUUGGCUUCUGGUCAUGGAACCUCCCCGAAGACAAAUCACCGGGGGCUCUGUGGGGGGCUUCAACUUUGUGAGUCCUCGCCUGCAAAAUCACAGAGUGGAUAUCUUCGCGCUAGUUGACUUCGGUUAAUUGUUAGCUUCGUAAAAGGGGAAAUGGACGAGGUUAGAGCCGAUUAAGAGAAAGGGUUCCUGCCGGCCUCGUUCAGGGUGCGUUGUGGGGCGGUACCCAACACUGCAAUCCCUCCACUACCGAAGAAAAAGAGGACCAUCAUUGCAAAAUGGGAAGUGAAGAAGUCUAUAUCAACAGAUGAUGUGCCUCCCAAGUUAAUUACCUAUGAGGAAGGACAAAAUCCUGAUUAUCAUGUACUCGCAAAGGAUAUUUCCAAUGUCACCACCGUGUCUACUCAGGGUAACACUGGUGGACUGCAGGUACUCGAGUCAGCUACGGAUGCUAAAAAGGUGGCUGCUUUGGCUAUUCAAUAUGAGUCACCGGUGAUCGAAGAAGUGAUUGAGAUUGGCGACGAUCCAUCAUCUCAUGAUGCUGCUGAAGACCAUGCAUCUAGUCAAAUGGUGGACCCUACCAAUGCAAGAACAACUCAAAGACCGGAGGGAGUACAAUAGGCUGGUCAAGUUCGCAUUGUGGAGGUACAGACAGUGACAUGGUACCCUCCCAAGGCAUCAAGCCCUUGCACUUGAUAGGAGAGCCCAAGUUGAAGUUAAAAAGAUCGUCCUUCUCCAACUACUUAUGGUAUCGCGUUAUCUUUGCUACUCAAAUUUGUGACUUCUUGGUUCUGUAGGAAAUCCUCAGACAUGGAAUUGUCAAGGCCUAGCGAAAAAUCGAGUACUGAUGGCCUUGGCCCCUCAGUAGAAGAUCCUGCCCUGGUGCCACCAACCACAAUGCCUCAAGGGCAACUUGAAGAGACUACGACUUCAUUUCUGAGAAUUUGACUCCCUGUACCCUUGUGAUAGACCUUGGAUCAGUAUCUAUCAUGUACAAAACUCAUUUCAGCACAAUAUCACUUCCAUACAAUGGAAUCAGAGUACAAAAAUUGAGAUUUAUUGGAAUACGAAUAUGAUAUAGGCCCCUUGGGCUUAAUGACAUACAAAACUCAUACGCAACGGAAAACUAGGGCUUCAAGUCUUCAUCUCUGAUCUUCACCACAGGCAUCCUUGAGUGAAGCAACGCGACCCUUCCUUCAUGAAUCCUUCAAGAUUAGUCUUUCGCUCCAAGUCCAUACCUGCUCACUCACGAUCUAUCCCCAAGCAAUAGGAUAGGUCCACAUCACCAUCUGUAUGCAAGCUUUAAGUGGCCUAAUUCUAGUAGUCAAAAGUAGUCAAGGAAUAGGCUCGGGUUUUCCUAUGCAGUAGCAAGCAUAAAGAAUAAACUUCCAUAUCCAUCAUCCCAAUCUCUCAUCAUGCGAGCACACCUGCCUCGACAGGGUCCCUAUCACCAACAUCCUAUCUGCAUACUAGGGUCAAUGCGAAAGCUCCCUCCCUUCGCAUCUCAACAAUUAUAGCCGGAUCCAAAAGGCAGAAGGGAGCAUCUGCUCCUCUCCCCGACCGCAAUUGCGGCUCACCACACUCAAAUGUAUCUAAAAGGGGGAGGUAGAAAUAACCCAAAACAAUGGAGAGUCAUGAUGAUACAGGGUUGUCCAUGACCGAGGACCUGGCUAUACAUAUAGUUUUUAACUCUGCAGAGUGUGUACACCUGCAAAUGGUGAUCAGCCGACUGAACAUCACUCUAUCGAGUGAAGAACCUGGGAGUUAUGAUAGCACCCUGCAACCGGGCUCGAAUGUGAUGCCCUGCAGUGGACCACCCCGGAACUAUGAAGCAUGCCAACCGGGGCCAAUCGAGGGCAAAAGCAUAUCAGGGGGCUAUAGGUCAACACCUCUUCCCUCUGCACUGAUACUCCAUCCUAUGGCAGGUAUGGUACCACACUUGCCAGUCUUGACCCGGGACUAAACCCAUAAUUCGACGAGUGAAGUGCACGUUUAACAUAUUCUUGUGAAGCAUGGCGACCCACUCGGUUCCAGACCAAGGCAAGCUCCUAAUCUACCACAAAAGUGACUCCACCACUUGGAUCGCAAUGAUAUUCAUAACAGUUAUCACCACCAACUCCUAUGCUCCUCAACCAUGUACUCGCAACAAGUACCAAACAGGGAACAUCCGAGAACGAACCCCAAGCCCCCAAUCUAACGAUUGGGUUGUGUAAAGCUCACCCCCGUCAAAUAUCCCAAAAACACCUUCUCCUGCCAUAUUUCCCCCUCCUCUCCACCGUGGUUAUGGCCGGGAUCGCCGGAGUUCCCCCUCUUGGCGGCCCUAAAUUCUACCAGUGAGGUGUCCAGGAGGUCAACGGGCAGCGGUAGGCAGCGGAGCACCUACUUUUCCUGCGGCAAUGCAUGGGCGGCUCCGGUGAAGUCACGGCGCGCGCAUUGGGUGGCAUUCUAGAGGUUCAAAACUAGCACUACGGCUACCUCCUCGGGAUCUAACGGCGCACGGGCCCGUCGCUUACCACGGUCGCGCCCUGGUUCACGACAACAAGCGAUGAAAACAGAGGAAGUAGGGGCUCACCAUGGUGGCUCGGUGGUGCGGGCGCGAUGUAGCGGUGAGACGAGGCUAGGCAAAGUUGAGGCUGGGGAGGUGUGAGCAGAGAUGGUGGCGUGGUCGCACAAAGGCUGGCUUGUCAGCUUCAGCGCCAUGGACAGCUCUGGUGGUAGUGUUCUCCUUCCUCCGCUCCGGCUCUCCUCUUCCCCCUUCUCCCUUUCUUUUCCCCCUUGGUGGCGGCGAUAGGUGGGAGUGCCCCUAGGGCUUGCGGUGCGCCGGAACAAUGCGGGUGGGGGUUAUAUAGCGGCGCACCUAGGGCUCGGGCGUCGAGGUUGAACGGACGGUGGAUGAUCCUUGGGAUCCACAUGCAGGGGUGGCGUGGUGAGAAUCCAACAACUCUGGGUUGCGGUCACGUUGAGUGCGGGGUCAUAGGGGCGCGCGCACAGGCUUAGGAAGGCUCGAUAGCUUCCUUUGUCACGGCACAAGGUGGCGAAUAGUAUGAGGCAGUGCGACAGAGCAAAGCAGUUAGCGGAUGAGGCGGAGGUAGAAGAAAGCCGACUGGUGGGGCCGGUCUAUCGGUGAGAGGGGGCGAAGGAGCGGGUGUGGUGCUGGCAAAGUGCGUGGGCAGGCCGAGUGGGCCGUUUGCUAGGCCGAGGAGGCGCGCGUGGUUUUGGCCUGGGUGGAGGGGUCAGCAGGCUAGCGAAGGGAAAAAGGCCGAUGGGGUCUUGCAAGCCGCAGAUGAAUUCGACCCAGGUGAGCUUAGGAAGUUUGUUUUUGUUUUUCUAAUUUGAUUUUGAUUUUAGAUUUCAAAUUUUGAAUUCAGCCAAAUAAACUCCAAAUAAGUCGAAAUAAAAAUUCAACUCAUUCAUGCAAGGUCAUGACUAAAUAUUUUGUGCAUCAUUUUCAUUUUCUAGAGAUUUUUGGGAGAGGAAUUUAAAUCUUAAUUUGCAAUUUAUUCUCAUGGUUCACACAAGUCAAACAAAAAUUUUGAAAUUUUCACUCUUUGCUAUAAAUAAAUAUUUCGCAAAUUUGCGGGAUGUGACACCGAGUGUCGUAUCUAGUGUGGCUGCAUUAAUGGACAAAGUAGUCGAGUCAAUGGAGGGUGUAGAAGUGCCAGCCCCCGAGCCAUUGCCAACAGCAUCGACUUUGGAAGCCAUUUUGACGGAAGCAACAGCAGCUGGGCCAUCAAGUAGUCAUGCUUUGGUGCUGCAAGGUGAAUUCCAUGCAGAUUCUGGAGCUUAUAAGAAUAUCCGUCUGGCGGACAUCCAAUAGAUCGACGACCCAUUACAGAACCCUGAAAUGGUGUCACUGAUGAUGGAGUCGCAUCGUCGCGUGGGCAAUUAUAUGCAAGGUAUAUCUUCUUGUCCUUGUUUUUUUGAGAUAAUCAAUGGAUUUGUGCUCAUGAAUUGCCACGAGUACUGAUUUUUGUGCUAUAGGACAUUAUUUAGCACUCCCGCUGCAAGUCACACAUGCUUGAGGGAUACGGAGAUACAGUGCUUCGUGCGGAGGCGCUAGAGGAGGAGCUUGCCAAAGUAAAAGAGUACUCCUCAUGGCUGCUUAUGAAAUUUGAUGGGACGGCCGCCAAGUAUUGCAAUCAUAUUUAGGAGCUUACGGAACAAAAGGAUCACCUUGUUGGGCGGAAAAGGUCCUUGAGCCAGAAAGUGAAAAGUAAUCCUCAACUCUUAGAACUUUAUGUUUGUUGAUUCUGCUUUGUAGUCUUUGACCCUUAUUGUACAUCCAUGUAUAGCUUCAAAAAAGGUCAAGAAGGAUCUCAAGGCGCAAGUCACGGAUUGGAAGAAUUCUUAUUACUGUGUGACCAACCAACAUGACAAGCUUGUUCUUCACAUGGAGAAGCUGGAGCAUCACCUUGAGAAGGACAAGAAGAUGCAUAAAGAUGGCAAUGCUGACCUUGUUCAAGCCAUGGAGACUUUGAAGAAUCAUGAGGCAGGAGUGGAGAGUACUUCCUUUUCUCUGAAGCAAAUCUGUGUAGCCACUCAGCCCAUUACGGACAUGAUAGAACCUCCGGUUGAAGGUGUGGAGCAUCGUCCGCUGUCAGAGAUACCCAAGGAUAUGCCCUAGAAGACUUAUGGCUAUAUUCAGAAGAUGGCAAAGUCUAUCUCCCAUCAAAUAUUGAGCUUUGUGAAGUCUUUCUAUCCCUGGGUGAAUUUACAACCAAUUAUCAAAGGGAUGGCGUCGGACUGCUCGGAUGAGCAAUUCAAGGAGAUUAUGUAGGAGAUGGAUCCCAUUGCUGAAGAAGUAGCCCAGCAGCUAGACCUUAAGUAAUUUUGAGUUUUUUGCCUUUGGGAGAUAUCAAGAGUACUCUCGCACCGGUGCCCUCGAGCUUGAGUGAUCCAUUGAAAUACAUGAUCCAAUGCUCUAGACGCUCCACUAGCGUUGGUAGUUGAUUCUCCCACUAGUCUACAAUGAAAUCGACUAGGGCCUGGGACAUAAUUGCAGUCCUUGACUUGAAUUCCAGGGACAAUGCUCUAAGUUCUAUGGCCCACUUAGAUAUUCUUCCUAUAGCAUCCCAAUAGUGGGGAAUUUCUCCUAGAGGAAAGUCGGUAAUAAUGGAGAUCUUGUGCUCCUGGAAGUAAUGUCAUAACUUCCAUGAGGUGAGCAGUAUCGCGUACAACAACUUCUGGACCGGUGGAUAUUUGGUCUGUGAAUUUGACAGCACCUCGCUUAUGAAGUAGACGGGCCUCUGUAGUUUGAAUACAUGGCCUGAUUCCGGUCUUUCCACCAUAAUAGCCAUGCUGACAACGUCAGUAGUCGCGGUGAUGUAGAGCAACAAAUCUUCAUUGGGGUUUGGCGCCGUGAGGACUAGUAGCUUUGAUAGGAAGUCCUUCAAUUGUUGUAGAGCUUGAUGCUUGAUGGGGCAUGCAUAUUGUUGAUGGCGAAGAUCUUCUCGGGGUUGGCUUCAAUGCCUUGGUGACUAAUGAUGACCCAAGUAGUUUCCCGGAAGGCACCUGAAGACACAUUUCUCGCAGACUUGCGAAAGUUUCUUCUAGAUUUGCAUUCAGGUCGUCAGGAUUUCUAGUCUUUACGACCACGUCGUCCACGAAUGCCUCCAUGUUGUGGUGUAGUUGCUUCUUGAAGCACUCCUGGAUUGCCCAUUCAUAAGUAGCAUCCACCUUCUUCAACUCGAAAGAUAUUGUUGUGUAGAAGAAAGCUCCGUAUGGGGUGAUGAACGCAGUCUUGAUCUAGUCUUCCUUCUUGAGAGCUAUAUGGUGAUACCCCGAGUAGCAAUCAAGGAAGUAGAGGAGGGCGCAUCCAACUGUGGAGUCAAUGACUUGAUCAAUCCUUGGGAUCCUGAAGGGAUCUUUGGAAAGUGCUAGUUGAGGUUUGUGUAGUCGACACACAUCCUCUACUCUUUGUUGUUUUUCUUUCGCACCAGGACGGGAUUAGCGAGCCGCUAUGGAUGAUAGGCUUUUUUUACGAAGCCAGUCGCGAGUAGUUUGGCCAGCUCGUUAUUGAUGGCUUCCCUUCUAUCUUGGGUGAAUCGUCAUAGGCGUUACCUUUUUGGUGUAGCUUUUGGAUUCACGUUGAGUGAGUGCUCAAUCAACUCCCUGGGCACCCCCGGCAUGUCCACUGGUUUCCACACGAAGAUGUUUCAGUUGGCCUGGAGGAAAUUGACGAGCGCGCUUUCCUAUUUAGGAAAAAGCCUUGUGUCAAUCAAGGCUAUCUUGGAGCUAUCACCAUUCUCACGGUCAAUGGCUUUGACGUCUACUUCACUUGUCAGCUUGACCUUGGUUGCCCCCGACUUUUUUUCUGGAAUCUCGAGCUCUGACGGGGACAACUUCUUGGAUUCGGCGAAGACUUGCAUCAUCAAGUUUGGUACUUGGGUAGUUGCUGCUAGCUCCAUGGCUUCUAUGUCAUAGUUGUACGACCUCUUCAAGUCUCCACGCAGGGACAGUACUCCCUUGGGUCCCAGCAUCUUGAGUACUAAGUACAUGUAGUGCGGGAUGGCCAUGAAUUUGGCCAAUGCUGGUCUUCUGAGGAUGGUGUGGUAUGAUGUUUUGAAGUUUGCCACCUCGAACCGGAUGUAUUCUAUUCAGUAGUGUUCUUUGGUCCCAAAGAUAACUAGCAAAACCACCUGUCCGAGGGGUAGAGCCACGUUGCUCGAGACAAUCCCAUAGAACGGAGAUUUCGUUGGGGUGAGCAUAUUGAUGACAUCGUGGCCCAUCUUCUUCAGUGUCUUGGUGAACAGGACAUUGAGACCACUACCGCCAUUGAUCAGUACUUUAGUAAGUCUUGGCGAACAGGACAUUGUCCGGUAGUGUUCUUCGGUCCAGGAUGAGGGGAUACUGUCCUGGGUCUGAUAAACUAUUCCAUUGGUCCUUCAUGAAGAAGGUAAUUGGCACCUCAAAUCAUUUGAGGAACGUUGGCGUUGUAGGUUUAAUGGACAUUAUCUCUCGAAGGGUGAGCUUCUGGGACAACAUAGUAGUAGUACCCAGGGUUCUACCAAAGUUGACGUUGAUGGUGUUGGAUGGGUUCUUGCCACCACCUUUCUUGGAUGACUACGAGAUUGCCGUGAGAGUAUUGUCUAGCUUGCAAUUGCGGUUCUGAUUUCUCGAGUAGUGUUUUUGGUUGUCAUUGUUGGGGCGAUCGUUGUAGUUCUUGUUGUUACGUUGGCCAUUGUCCUGAUUGUUGUUGUUCUGACCCUUGUUGCGAUUGGAAUCAAACCUUUCGAUCUCUUUAUCUUCUUCAUCUGCCCAUGCCUGUGCCACAAUCUUGAGAGAUUUGACAUCAGUGAGGCAUCUUCUGCUAAAGUCUUGAAAUAUCCAGCGGUUGCGGAGGCCGUUCUGGAAGCAGUCAAUGACAUCACGCUCCAUGAUAACCACAAUUGUAGCCUUCUUGUCGAAAAAGCAACGUAAAUAGCUCCUCAGGGUCUUGCUUUCUUGUUGCUUGACCUGGGACAAGUCGAUCCUGUUGCCAAAAUGCCACCUUGAGGUCCUUCCACGAGUUGAUAGAGUUAUUGUCCAACGAUUCGAGCCAUGUGAGUGGCGCCACCUCCAUGCAGAUAGGGAAGUAGAUGACUUUGGUGUUGUCGUUUCCCCCAGCUGUUUGUACUGACAGCGAGUAGCACCGAAGCCAUUGGACUAGGUCUUGCUUGCCAUCGUACUUGGUGUUGCCCGGGGGUUUGAACUUUUUGGGUAAAGUUGUCUUCCUCACAUGUCUGGAGAAGGUGGGGAACCCGUCAGUAUCAUCUCCUAGGUAUUCAACUUCUUACUCAUGCUUGCGGUGCUAUCCAUUGAUGAUGGUACAAGCAUCACGGUUGGUGUUGAUCUUGUUGCGGAGGUCUCCUAUUGGGCGUUUAGGCUCUGGGUUAGCCCCAUAGUGGCCACGGCCUCUUGAGGGUCCUGCCUGGUUACCUUCAAUUGCAGCUUGGCUUGGUUUGGGGCCUCCAGGUGGACUUAGUCUGGUGCCUCCGAGUUGACUUGGUCUAGAUGGAGGGCCACGGUGGCUGCUGCCAUGUUAACUUUGCUGGGAUGCAGUGCGCUGGACUAACUGUAUCGGUUUCUACUGAUCGAAUUAUUCGCACAUGAGUUCCGCCAGUUCAGCCAACUAUCUAUUGUACUUGUUCUCGGGCAUCGCGCGGGUGAUGAGAUCAAUAGACGCAACGGUAGCCAAGGGAGUAUGAUGAUGAUGCAUUUGAACUGCUUUAAAUGCGUUAUCAAGGUUUUGGAUUGGUAGAUCUGUUGCAUGGGGGCAGGGGCGCUCUACUUUGUGGCGUUUCUUUCUCGUCAUCGAUUUCUUUGAGCUUCGGUCUCUUCUUCGACAAUGUUGACGCUCAUGUCAUGGGUUUCUAUCCCAUUGCUCUUCUUCUUCGUCCUCUUAUCCAACGAUAACGGUGAAGAGUUCUCGUUCUGGAGAGUAGCUUGUCGAGCUUGAAGUGAUGACCUUCGUGAUGCCACCUUCCUCGUAGAUGGGCGAUAGAGGAGCUCCCUCCUGAUAUGGGAGAGUGUCGAGGUGGGCGAUACGGCGUGAAUCGCCAUCCUUGGCAGGAGCGGGUGGCUUCAUGUUAGGCUAGUAGACAGAUCUGCCUUGAGGAGUUGAUGUGAUUACCAGGCCCUGCUGCAGACUUGAUAAAGGAGUCUCGUCAUCCGGAUCCGAUUAGUAGUUGAGGUUCUCGAUCGUAUCCAUAUCGGAUUGUGAUCUAGACAGGGCCACCUGAUAAAUAGUGCUCACGUUGUAGAGUCCAAAUGGGAAUCGACUCUGGUGGUAAUUCGACUCGCACGAUGGCUUAUGCGCUAGCUCAUGAAAGUCAAUCCAACCGGCAGGAGUAGUCGACUUGAACUCGGACUCGUCCCCCCAGCCUCUGACUAGGUCAUAAAUUGAAUCUUCGUCAAAAUUCUCAAUGAGAUCUUCCGGAUCUUGGGGCUGGAGCUUCAUGAUUUGUUGCUUCUUCUCCGAGGUUGACGCAGUGUGGCGGUGGAAAUUUCCAGCGCCAUGUGCGAUGCAAACCUAGGAGCUGAAGACAAAUAUCGCACCUGCUUCGAACGCGACAAUUGGCUUGAUGAUGACUUGUGCCAUCGAGUUCGCGAGUGGAUUCUUAGCGAGGUCCCCUACUUAGCACGCUAGUAGUCGGUGUUUAGACCCGGCAACCUACCGAGGGGGUUGCCCGAGGUACUGUUUUGGUUAGUGUAGCUCAUCGAGAUCAGGAACUCGAAGGUAAACACAGACACACGAUUUAGAUAGGUUCGGGCAGCUAGAUUGCGUAAUACUCUAUGUCCGGUGUGUUGGUUGGAUUGAAUUACUUUGGAGGGGGUCCCUGCCUCGCCUUAUAUUGCUGGGGGCAGGGUUACAUGUCCAUUGGUUAUAAGAAUACUAGUCGGGUAUGACUAGAGAAGUUCUAUUCUUAUUAUAACGAGUACUUUCCUAAUCGUCGACUAGUUCCUCUCUUUCUAUAUAGACUACACCGUCCUACACUAUGGUCUCCAUAUCAGAUGUGUCUCGGUGUCCAACCUCAUAUUUAGAACUGUCCAAACCUUCUGGUGGGUCCAUAGAUGUAAAUACGACAGCCACUACUACCAGAUCAGCGUACUGGCUACUCAAGCACUCUAGCCAUGACAUGAACUCCUCCGUGGACAAUGCUCCGGUGAAUCUUCCAUUGCACUCAAUACAAAUUUUAUAAUCAAGCAUUCGGUGUAUUGAAUCUUGACACAAUGCACGAAAGCUAAUACUUCGACCUGUUAAUUUCAUCAACCGUUGGGUCAUCUGGCGUUAACAAUCUAGCUUCAGGGAUUUGUAGCUUCUUUUAAUUUGCAAUUCCAAACAUAGUCAUAAGCCAAUACUUUGAUCAUUAAGUCCUAUUAGACAAUGCUAAGUUAUAUACUAACAACCAUAUUAGCUCCAAUAACUAUGAUGUCAUUCAAUAACCAAAAUAACAAAUUACAAUGGAGCUGUCGAGCCUGGUAUCCGGUGUUAUUGAGAUAUUCUUUCAGAUGGGGCAUCGGUAGCCAUGCCCGGGGGUUGUAGGCCACGUUUCCUGUGACGCAAUAAGUAUGGUGCCAUGGUGUCCCUCUCUACUGCCGUCCUUCUUGCUAUGGCAUUCUCUAUUCUUGUGCGCUUCUGUAAUCAAAUUGGUUAGAUCGAGUACGUUGGCAUGUCACCAUUGCUGAUGCUUUUCUCUAGGACCUCGAGGAGCGUUAUGCGUGCCUGUAGGUGUGUCCUCAUCCACAGCUUCAGGUUUCUUAUAGAGAUAAAUCACCAUCUUGAUUCAGAGCAAAGUUAUUAGGACCGGACCGGUCAUCGAACCGGUGAGACCUUUGGUUUAAUGGUUCACCGGUCAAACCGUUAAAAACUGAUUGAACCAUCGGUUUGAUAACUUUGAACCGGAGAAGUGAUUGAUAGCUUUGAAUUAGAGAAGUGAACCGGCCAAAGAUACCUUUGAACCGGUCGAAUAUACCAGCCAUAAUUAAUACAUAAUUACAUAUACAAGUUCAAUAGGGACAAGUUCCCAAAUUCAAACAACAACUUGACAAUAGGGACAAUAUCCAAGUUCAACUAUUCAAAUGUUAAACAUGCAAACCACAAAUUCAAACAGCAACUUGACAAUAAGGAUAAGUUCGCAAAUUCAAACAACUUGACAAUAGGCAGCCACAAUGCACACAGCCACACAAUGCAUAGACAGCCACACAAGUACACAACCACAAUGCACAGCCACACAAAGUCACAAACAGGGACAAGUUCACAAAGCCACAACUCCACAACUAGUAAAAUGGCGCCCAAUCUUGAACUUCAGCUGCAGCACUCAGACUUGCUUCCAAACCUUCAUCAAAUGCAUUAUCAAGAUCAUCAAGCACAUUUUCGUUGACAGCAGCCAUUACUUCAUUUUCUUCCAUUGUAUCAGCCUCAGCCUCAUCCAAGUUUAGCUCUAAAUCUGAAAAACAUUAUUAAGUUAAAUGCUAGCAUAGGCAAACAUGUAUGCUGAUUGCUGAAAACAAAUAAUUUGAACACUUGAUAUUACCAUCACUACAUUGUAUACUCAAAGAAGCAAAUUCACCACGGAAUUCAUUUAGCUCUUCCAAGUUUAGAUGUGGUGGAUUAUCUUCUACGGUCCAUGCUUUAUUUCCCUUUCGAAUCUCAUCCAAACUGAUUGGAUCAUAAUUUGUAACCGUUUUUUGACCUAAUGUAGGAAAAAUUGAAUAUAAUCAUGUAUUAUUUCUAGAAACAAAAUGAACAGCAAGGCAUCUCUUGUAAGUUGUAAUGAAGCAAAACAAAAAGGUACCUUUGGUGCAAUCUCAAGUUGCAAUGAACAUAAACAAUAUCAUUUAGCCUCUCAUGCUCAAGUCCGUUCCUCUUUUUGCUGUGUACAUGCUCGAACAAACUCCAGUUCCUCUCACAUCCUGAAGCACUACAAGUUUGGCUUAACACACGCAAGGCUAGCUUUUGUAAAUUUGGAGCACUGCAGCCAUUGGUUUGCCACCACUCAUCUGUGUGAAAGAAAAAAAAAUUAAAGGUGCUGAAAUGUAACAGAAAAUUACAAGACAACAAUAUAAUGAAAGCGUAGUUACCAGCAAGCAUGUGUUGUCGAUCAUUUAUAGUAGUUGAACGUCCAAAAUCACCUUCUCCUAUUCUAAAAAUUCUCAUCUCUCUUGUCAAAGAACUCCGAAGAGCUAUAUCUUUCCCAGCAUAUUUUUCAAUGAUAUCAAGAACUCCAGAAAAAGUGAAACUAUACUUCUCUCUUAGUUGAUCAUUAUACUAGUUAUUAGGAUUGAACCAAAAGCCGGCAGCAUGAAUAUUCUUAUCAAAGUGUUUAUCCCAUCAUGCAUCUAUGUAUUCCAGAAAGGGCUUAACUAACUCCUUCUUCCUCUGAAACCUCUUCUCAAUUUCCUCUCGAGAAGCAUGGAAGGCUGCAAAUAGAUAGCCCAUUGCAGGUCUCUCAUCACUGUCCACAAUUCUCAACACCCUAACAAUUGGUUCUGAUAAUUGACAGACAACAGCACAAUCUUUCCAAAAGUUCUGAUCUAGCACAGCUUUGGUAAAUUUUUUCCCUUGUGGAUCCUUAUAAUAUGCAUAGUUAGUCCACUCACUACAGACCACCAUUGCAUGAAGAUCAGCCUUGUGCUUGUAUAUGCUUUGCAAAGCAACAAAAUUUGUAGCAAAAUGAGUUUGCACAGGCCGAAGAAUUUCAUGACACUUAGUGAACUUCCUCAUUAGAUAUAAUGGAUAACAAUGGUUGUAGAUAUAUUUUGUAAUAGAUGAUGCAUGAGCUACAGUGGUCUUCACUAAAUUUUCCUUGCCAAAGUCAGACAAUACUAAAUUCAAACAAUGGGCAGCACAAGGGGACCAAUAAAUAGAUGGGAACUCAUCUUCUAAUCUUCUACCAGCAGCAACCAUGUUUGAGGCAUUAUCAGUGACAAAAUGAACAACAUGUUCAGCACCAACAAAGUUCACUACAUCUCUAAAUAAUCUGAACAAGAACUCUGCAGUUUUGGAACUUUCAGUGGCAUCAACUGACUUGAGAAAGAUAGUACCUUUGGGACAAUGUACCAAGAAGUUGAUGAGGGUCCUUCUCUUCCUAUCAGUCCAUCCAUCAACCAUAAUUGUGCAACCAGUUUGCCUCCAAGUUUUACGAAAUCCAUCAACCAAAUUUCUAGUUUCCUCAACACACUUUGCAAGUAAUGGACCACGCAAACUAUUGAAAUUUGGCCCCUUGUAUCCUGAACCAUAUGCACACACAGCAUCAAGCAUUGGCUGAUAAAAGAUGGAGUUACUUGCAUUAAAUGGAAGUGAUGCAUCAAUAAACCAUCUUGCCAUACACAAAUCAGUCUUUAACUUGACUUCUUCUCCUUGGAGCACACUCUUUAUUGUAGGUUGAUCCCCAGGCCGGUUUUAGGCUUGAAAUACUUGCCAAUACUAGGUGUAGCAAUGCCUCUUUUUCUUCCUCUAGUUGCUGCAGUAGGAACAUGCCGGGUUGGGGCUGCUUCAGUAUUAGAGACAUCACAUGAUUCCUCAUCUCCAGGGUCAGGCCCAUACGGGUUUUCUUCCUCAUAAAUCUCUUGCUGCUUCCUUUUCUUAUCUUUCCAAUUUUCAAUACUUUGAUUCAUUGCAUGUUGAACCUCUGGACCAACCUUUGGACAUCCAGCCACAUUUCUUGGAUAUUUGGCUAAUGUUCCUUGAAUUGAUGGAUUCCUCCUCCUUUCAAAAUCAUGUCACAAUACAUGCACUUGAUCUUCUUUUUUCCUUCCUCAGUAACAUGUGUACAAUACCCCCAUGCCGGAUCAGUUUUUCUUCUUGUCCUUACUUCUGUUCCAACCUCUUGGCUAGGUGCUGCGCUAUUGGGAGUGUCUGAAGAAUCCACUGUGAAUGUUAAGUGCAAAAAAAGACAAAUCAGUACUUCAAUAAUAAGUAUACAAAACAGUAGUACCUACUCUAAUUUUGUGCAAUAAUAAGCAAUACUACUAAUUUGUAGUGAGUAGUGAGUACUAACCAUUAGCCAUGGUAGAUCAGAAAUUCAAAACUUGCUAUUGCAGUCGAUUGUCGAAGAUCGACUUGCUAUUGCUGCUCCUGGCUCCUGCCCUCGCUCAGGCGCGGCCGGCGCUCCGCCGGUCCGCCGCUCAGGCGCGGACGCGUGGUGCCACCGGUCCGCCACCCAGGCGUGGUGGUGGGCUGGUGGCCUGCCGGUCAGCCCACUCGCCCAGCGCAACGGCGCCCAGGCGUGGUGGUGCUGGCGCCCCGCCGGUCUGCCGCCGAAGCCGCCAGGUGUGGUGGCGCUGGCGCCCCACGGCAGCUGCCCAGGCGCGGUGGUAGCCCCGCCGCCGGUCGGCCCACUAACGGAGGGAGGACGGGGGAUUGAGGGAACCGGGAUGGACCUGGGGGCUGGGACCGGUGGACAGCGACGGACGGACGGAGGGGGCAGCGUGCGCCGGCCGGUAAGCGCCUGUCCGUGCAGCGCCGCCGCCGGCCGCAAUUUUUUUUCCGCGCGAUUUUUCCCUCCGGCCGAGUCUCUCUGCUGCCUACUGCGCGGCGUGCCUACUGCCUAACCGUAAAAAUUGAAGAAUUCCAUUUUUGCCCUCAUGGUGAUAACGUUCCCCUGAAUUGAUAGAGGGGCAUUUUGGUGAAGAAUCGAACCAGUCCGGUUCAAUCGGAACCGGCCGGUUUACCGGUUCCAUAAAAAACCAGCCGGUUCCACCAGUUUUUAAUGGUCCGAUUGCACGGCCGAUCUUUUAAGCGAACCGAGCCAGUUUAGGCCCUGGUUCAGUCUUUUACCGGUCCAACCGCCGGUCCAGUCCGGUUCAAAUAACUAUGAUUCAGAGUGGCUCUGGCAACCUUUUACAAUAUGGCAAUUCGAUGGUACUUUAGUAUAAGCACAUGGCGUUCCCAGCAUUAAUGAUGGAUCAUGCAUGAUCUUAGUCAACUUAUCUGUUCCACUUGCAUUCGUAUAAAACUAGAGAGAUGCCAAAGCAUCAGCAUCGCAGCCGGAUCCAGCCAAGAAGUUCCACGCGAGGCUCACCAAUCGCACGUGUUGAAGAACGUGUCUGUGGUCCUAUUCUCCUGGAGGCACUCAGUCACCGGAUACUUCUAUUGCUCAGCUCACCAAGCUCAUAUAAUGUCGUACCUAGUAGCGCGAGCACAGCAACGCACGCAGCCAUGGCGAGCAUGGAGAGCCGAAGCCUCCCCAGGGCAGCAGCCACCUCCAUGGCGCUAGCUAUCGCCAUUGUCUUCCUGAUCUACACAACCGCACGACUGGGAGAUGCGGCAUCCGUUGAGCACACGUUCAUGGUAAGUACGCAUGAUCCUGUUUCAUUCCUUUAAUCGGUUAUGGUGCAACGAUAUUUACAUUGUAUUAUAGGGUGUUUUUUAAGACAAGCAUAUACAUCGAUAAACGGUUCUAGAAAAUUAUUUUCUAAAUUAUUUCCUAUAGUCCCAGCUCUAGAUAAAUGGUGUGCAUUGGGACUAUAGGAAAUGUUGAUUCUAUUGAUUAUUUGUCACUUAAUCAAUUAAAAUUAGUAAUUAUGAUGUUAUGAUAUACACUCUAACUGAAUCAUACUGUUUGACAAAUCAAGCCAUAUAAUCCGAACUUGCCAUAUAACCUUUUCACUGCGGGCACAGCCGUCGUCGAGCACACCUUCGUUGUUAGCAUGAUGCUCUACCAUGGUUUUCAUCUCCACCACGAACCCUAUGAAUUCUUAACAAUUCAACCACGAUGUAGGUAUAUAUGUAUCCAUGCUUUAUUUCUUGGGACAUGCACAUAUGUAGGUGAGCCAAGUGAAGAUGACACACUUGUGCAAGGAGACACUGGUCGCCGUGGUGAAUGGGCAGCUCCCAGGGCCAGCGAUAGAGGUCACGGAGGGAGACUCGGUGACUGUUCAUGUCGUCAACAAGUCACCCUACAACAUAACAAUCCACUGGUAAUCAGCUGAGUACCUACUCAAUACAAUCACUUUUCUUCCCAAGGACACUAAAAAACCAAUUAAUGUACAUUCAAGCUGCAAUGGUAAAGGUCGAAGUAAAAUAAUAAGAUGCUUUCCAGUAAUUCAUCAAAAUAGAAUAUUUUAUUUUAUUUUAUCUUUCGCCAUCUUUUUCUUCUGUGUUGUCUGAUGUAGGCAUGGAGUGAAGCAGUGGCUUAACUGUUGGGCUGACGGGGUGCCGAUGAUUACCCAACUCCCUAUCCAGCCAAACCAAAAUUUCACCAACCGAUUCAACGUCAUCGGGCAGGAAGGCACCCUGUGGUGGCAUGCUCACGUCCCCUUCCUCCGGGCAUCACUGCAUGGAGCCCUCAUCAUCCGGCCAAGAAAUGGGGCGAGCUCAUAUCCAUUUCCAAAGCCAGACAGGGAGGUCCCAAUCAUAAUAGGUUCGUGAAUUAUCUACAUCAUAUUCACUAGCUGUGUUACGAGAACAGAACAAACUGCACCUGAUUUUUUAUUGGAAUCUGUUUGGAAAAGAGAGAAGAAUGGACUGUUCCUAUUUGAAUUGAACUGUCUUUGACUUUGGCAGCGGACUAUUGGCAGCUAGACCUUGCACAGGCGGCAAGGAGGAUGAUGCAUGGUUUCUUGUUUUCUUUCGCCAAUGCUUCCACGAUCAAUGGCAAGCUUGGAGAUAUCUUCAAUUGCUCUGGUAAGAAAUUACUUUCUUACAGCAUUGAUGUCCGUGCCAAUGACAUAUUCCUUUUUUCUGAAAAAAGUGUCUGCUUGAAUUCAACUAUGAAGGUGUGCCGGAAGAUAACUACGUAUUGGACGUUGUGCCUGGCAAGACCUAUCUGCUACGAAUAAUUAACGCCGCGCUCUUCGCCGAGUUCUACCUAAAGAUAGCUGGGCACAAAUUCACUGUGGUUGGUGCCGAUGCCAGCUACGUCAGCCCAUACACCACGGAUGUCAUUGCCAUCGCGCCCGGCGAGACAGUGGAUGCCUUGGUUGUUGCUGAUGCGCCCCCUGGAAGGUACUACAUGGUUGCCCUGCCCAAUCAGGCGCCAUUGCCGGACACCCAGACCCCCGAAUACACAACCAGAGGGAUCAUGCAGUACAGCAACACUCACAGUUCUGCUGAUGAUCCAGCAGGACUAAUAUCAGAUCGUGGUGUGGAAGAAGAAGAAGAAGAUAAAGGUUCAUCCGGUGAUGUGCCAGUAGCACCUGAGAUGCCUGAUAUACAUGACACAAUUACAUCUUACUACUUCCACAGCAACCUGACCAACCUGUACCAAACGGUGGUCCCUCAGCGAGUUGAUGAACGUUUGUUCAUCGUGCUCAGCCUGGGUUCAAUAUGUCAGCAUGGCCAGUCCUGCAGGAGGGGUGAUCACAAUGAGACCAUCCUCAUCGCAACCAUGAACAACGUUUCCUUCCAGGAUCCCACGGGGAAGACGCCACUACUAGAAGCACACUACUACCACACUGGAAGCGUGGACUUGAUGCAAGAACUUCCGGACAGACCACCAAGGGCAUUCAACUUCACUGACG